This 89324-nucleotide long non-coding RNA is filed under the name Ananas comosus (pineapple). RNAcentral's name for it is "long non-coding RNA (ACOM_LNC025374)". The record is from RNAcentral. Lineage: Eukaryota; Viridiplantae; Streptophyta; Magnoliopsida; Poales; Bromeliaceae.
AAACUAUUUUUUAUCUGUUUAAUGCUUUUUAAAAAUUUAAAUUUUAUUAAAAACUAGUAUUUUAUUUUUCAAUUCUUUUAUUUAAAAAAUAAAAACUUUAUAAUUUUAGGUCGCCCAUUUUUUAUGACCGAUCGGCUAUAAUAAUUUUCGAAUCAGUUCCAGCUCCGACUAUUGGGAGUGUCAGGUCAUGAGUUCGAUUGAAGCGAGUAUGUAAAAUUUUAGGUAAUGUUUGGUUCAGAAAUAAGGGGGAAUAAGUUCUUGUUCCCUCUUUGUUCCCAAACGUGAUGUUUGGUAUCCGGGAACAGUAGUUCCAAGGUUUCAAGAACAAGCUGGUAUAAGACUGGAACUCUUGUUCCACCAUUUUUCUGGAAUAAGUUUGUUCCUUAAUGAGAACAAGGUUAAUUAAAAUCUAAAUUUAAUUUUAAUGGCAGUAAAUUAUUAAUUAAUCUAAUUAAUAUAUUUAAAUUUUUAUUUAUUGCUUUAAUAAUUAAAUAAUUAAAUAAUUUAUUAUUUAUAAUUAAUUAAUAAUAAUUAGAUAAUUAUUAUAAUUAAUUUAUUAUUUAUCAUUAUUUAUUAAUAAUUAUUAAUAAUUAUUAUCCUUAUUAAUUAGAUAAUCGAUAUUAUUAUUAAUAAAAAUUAGAUAAUUGAUAUUAUUAUUAAUUUAUUAUUUAUAAUUAAUUAUUAAUAAUUAAUAAUAUUUAUUAAUAAUUAUUAAUAAUUAUUAUCCUUAAUAAUUAGAUAAUCGAUAGUAUUAUUAAUUUAUUAUUUAUAAUUAAUUAAUAAUAAUUAGAUAAUUAUUAUAAUUAAUUUAUUAUUUAUAAUUAAUUAUUAAAUUAGAUAAUAAUUAUUAUUAAUUUAUUAUUUAUAAUUAAUUGUUAAUAAUUAGAUAAUUAUUAUUAUUUAAUUUAUUAUUUAUAAUUAAUUAUUAAUUAUUAAUUUAUUAUUUAUUUUUAAGUAAUAUUUUGAUGUUAACUAAUUAAAUAAUAUAAUUUAAUUUCAAAUUAUAACUCUUAUUCCUGUUGUUCCAAUCUAACCAUCCAAACAUUAUUUACCUUAUUUUUAGGAACAACCCAAUUUUCAUCUAAACGCUGGUUACCUGAAUUUAUACCUAUCUCUGAAACUAGCAAUUCUUCUUUAUACCCAAACCAAACAAUGCCUUAAUGAAUUAAUGGGCGAUUUCUGUAUGUUCGAUUUAUUCAACUUUUUUUUUCGGAUGGCUUUUUGGAUCAUCCAUUAUCUAGCCAGAUCGGUUUUGGUUCAAUUAGCCCCUCAUUUGAAAUGAGUCGGAUCAGUUUGGGUCAAUUUGAUCCAAACCCGACCCGAAGGUAGAGCAAUCCGUUAGUUGAUUUGCGUACGAAUGAAUAAAUGAAUAGCUUUUUCGGUUUUUAUAUUUUCCUUAAAAAUCUUUAGAAAAUUAAUGUACUUAAAUAUUCUUUAUACUUAAACUCUGAGGCUUCGUUUAGUUCAGGGUUAAGUAAGAACUAGUUAUUCCAGAGAUAAGGUUAAGUUCUGGAUUAAAGUGGAAUUAGAGUAAUUUUGUGUUUGGUUGAGAACUGGGUUUAGUCCAGGUAUAAGAAAAAUAACGUUUGGCUGGAGUAAGUGGAAUAAGAAGGAUUGUGGGUUGUUAUAAAUAAAAAAUAUUAAUUUUGCCCUAAUUUUUAUAUUUGAAUUUAAUUAUUUUAUUUUAUAUUUCAAAUUUCAAAUUUAAAUAGAUAACUUUCAAAAUUACAGAAUUCAAAAUUAAAAUUUAUUUUUAAAUCUCAAAUUUAAAAAUUUAAAAUUUCAAUUAAAAAAAUUAAAUUUAAAAUUUAAAUAAUUAAAAAUAAUAUUUUAAAUUUUAAAAUUUAAAAUUUAAAAUUUAAAAUAUAAAUUUUAAAUUUUAAACAAUAAAUAUUAAUUUUAAGAUUGCAAAUUAUACAUUUUUAAAAUUUCAAAUAUAAAAUGUCAAAUUUAAAAUUUAAACAAUUAAAAAAUUUAAAAUUAAAUUAUUUAAAUUUUAAAAUAUUAAUAUUAAUUUUAAGAUUAUAAAUUAUAAAAAUUAUUAAAAAUUUAUAAAUAUAAAUUUAAUUUUAAAUUUAUAUUUAAAAAUUAAAUUGGGUGGAUUAAUUAAUCCCACCCCAAUUCUAGUGGGGGGUAGGGUUUGUUAACCGCAUUUUGAUGGGGUUAACAAACCCUACGCCCAAAAGUUUUCGUUUGGGGAUAAAGGGGUUAAACCCCUAACCCCCUUUUUUAUCCCGAACCAAACGCUAGCUGAAAGAGAACCCAGUGCUUCGAAUACAGUUAAAAUGAUCAUAUAUAUAUAUAUAUAUAUGAGCUAGUCUCCUAUACUAUCUAUAAUACCGGGGUCGCGUACUAUAGGUUCCGUUUUCGAUUUAGGAUGUUCAAAUCAACGAUCCACACCGUUAAACUGAUUUAGUAGGGUCUUCAAAGUUUUUAAAAAUAAAAUUUUAUAUUUUUUUGACACUAGUUUACUUUAGGAUCAAACCAUUCAAAAUUAUCAUUUUUCAAUGGCUACAUAUGCGAGGUUGGAGUUUAAAGGUGUAAAGAAGUCUAAAUUUCUUCAAAUUUUGAUAUAGAAAACUACUUUAAACUGAUCUGAUUAAGGUUAACAUUCUAAUUUGAAUUUAAAUAGUCCUUAUGCUCAAAUUUGUAAAGAUUAUAAUUAUUCACACGUCCAUUUUGAUAUAAUUAUUUACUCUGUAGAACAUGCUCGAAAAAACUAAAAUUUUAUUCUUAAGAGAACGUUUAUAUACCCUAGAUCAAUAUUUAACGAAUAUAGAUCCGUUAAUUUGACACCGCUAAGUGAAAACCAAACUAUAUGUACUCGGAGCUCCGGAUACUGAUAUAAAUAUAUUAGUACCUUAUAAUAAUAUAUAUAUUAUAAUAUAUAUAUCAUAUAUAAUUUAUAUAUACUAUUAGCUAUAUAUAAGAGUUAAGGUAACUAUGACUAUCGGAAGCACGAGCCUUUCAUGCUUCAGCCUCGUUUCGAUGUUGCGCUUUCGAAUCGUCGAUCGGCUCUGUUAAACUGAUCUGGAGUAUGUUGAAAAUACUCUAGAACAUAAAUUAUGUAAUUUUUCGAUAUUAUUUACUAGUGAAUGAAGAGGGCUCAAAAUCAACGGGCUGAGAAUAUAAAAUUUACACAAAAUGUGAUACAAUGAAUCAUUAAAAUUUUGAUCAAAGAUGAUUGAUCUUGUUUUAAUAUGAGUACUAAAAUCUUUCACUCAAAAAUUUCACGUGAUUUCGGAUCUUCUAUAACCGUUAAACUUCGUAAACGGCUCACUACGACAAUUAAAAUUAUUGAUUUUGGAGCCCCGUUCGAUCACUAGGCCAUUAAUACGAAAAAUAUAAAAUUUAUUUUCUAGGUACUUACAACUACUCUGAUCAAUGUACUUAAACCGGAGAGGCAAAUCGAUCGAUUCCGAAAGUCGCCGACAUAUCAAAAACGAGCUGGAAACACGGGAAGGCUCCGUUGCUCGAUAAGCAUAGUAACCUUUUUCAUUUUUCUUAAUCAUUGGGAUUAAAUAGCAUAACCCGGUGGACACUCAACCCUAAGGGGGACCAUCAAACUGCUAACCGAUAAUACCUACCUAUCUGGCAAUUUUUCAUCCAAGGGUGAAAAGCUGAUUAGGCAAAAACUAGUGUUUUAUAUUAAUAGAUAUUCCACAGCAAAUUCAUAUUAUAAUAUAGUAUUAUCAUAUAUAUCCGGCUACUAUCCUAUUAAUAGGAAUUGGAGCCAUGGUCCUAUCCGUCUUUUGACUGAUCGGAUUCAAUGAUAAUCCUCGGCACGUUGAAAUUGCGAUCUACACAACUUAAACAAUUUAGAAAACCAAAUUUUGUAUAUUUAAAAUCAUUAUCAAGCCUUCAUUUAAAGAGUUAAACAAUGAACGGUCAUAAAUGAAUUAACUCCCUUCCUAAAAUAGAAGGUUAGAGCUUUUUCAAUUCAUAAUCAGAGUUAUCAAAUAUUAUCUAAAUCGUAUUAAGAAAUUUUCUUAUCAAAAAUUCAAGCCAAUUUGGAUUGCUACACCGUUGUAAUACAGCAAACGGCUCAUAUACGACGUUAAAAAAUGUCGAGUUUACGAACACUGUUGAUACCUAGUAAAUAUUUUUAAUAAUUAUGAAAUUUGUUUCUAAGAUAUUUCAAACUACGCUAGAUCAACUUCACGCUCCGAUCAUCGAUUCCGAAUCUCGAUAUCAUCAAGAACAAUUUGAAAGGAUAAGUGCUCCUAUACCUAUUAAUAGGAUAGUAGCUCUAGCCUCCUAUAUAAUGCUGGCUAUUAUACUCUAAUAAGUAUAGAAGCCCUGUCUUGUACUACUCAUUAAGCCCGUUUGAAUUGGGUACAAGAGGAUGGGGAUUACGGCGGUUAUUCCCUCUCUAUGUACUCAAACAAAAAAUUAAGGGUGGGAAACUCGUUCCCACCCUACUUCGUUUCCACCCUUAUCCGGGUAUAGGGCGGUAUAGGGUGGGAACCGAGUGUUCCCACCAGGGGUGGAACAACUUGUUCCAGCCACGUACAAAGAGUGAGAUAUGAGAGAGAGAGACGAUUUUUUUAUAUUUUAAAUUUAAUUUUUAAAAUUUAUAAUUAUAAUUUAAAUAUAAAUUUAAGUUUAAAUUUAAAUUUAUAUUUUUAAAUUUAAAUUUUAAAUAUGAUAUUUAGUUUAAAUUUUAAUUGAUAUUUUUAUAUAUUUCAAAUUUAAAUUGGUCUUAAAUUUAACAUUAGAUAUUUUAAAAUUAAAAUUUUUGAAAAUUAUAUUUUGAAUUUUAAUUUCAAAAUUAAAAUGAUAAAAGUUAAUUUCGAAGUUAACAUUUUUCAAGUUAAAAUUUUAAAUUCAAUAUAAUAAGGGUAAUAUCAUUAGCUUUUUAUUCUAUAAACUACCAAACUAUUCCACCUUAUACUCACAUUUUUUAUCCAAACACAAUUUUCUAAGUUCAGCUUAUACUCACAUUUUCAUCCAACAAAAAAAUACCCGUUGUUCUAUGAAAUCCAUUCUUGUACCUAUCCCCGGUUAUAAUUAGUUCUUGCUUAUAUCAUGAACCUAACGAAGCAUAAGUUUUUCGACCGUUUAGAUGAAAAAAUAUCGGUUAGGAUGAAAGUGAUUACGGUUAGAUUGAUAGUGGGUCCCCUUAGGGUUGAGUGGGUAGUUUGGUUUGAAUAGUUUAUAAUCUUAACAGCGUGAAUGAUUAAAGGGUAGAUCUAACGCGGAAAAACUUUGAGUAUCAAAUAGCUCAUAAUACUAAUAAAAAGUAUAGUAGCCGGAGCUCUCUCUCUUCUCUUCUUUCUCUCUCUCUCUCUCUCUCGUCUCCUCUUCUCUCUCUCCUGAUAUAUAUAUUAUAUAUAUAUAUAUAUACUAGUAAAAUGUACGUGCAAUGCACGGUAAUAGAUUAUUAAGAAAAGUUAUUCUACCAUUUUUUAAUUAAAUAUUUUAAUUUGUAGUAUAUUUUAAUGGCAUAUAAAAUAUAUGCAAAAUAAUAAAAUUAAUUAUUAAAAAAAUGGUCGAUACUUUUUCUUUAAUAAUUAUUAACGUGCGAUUUGCACGUACUUCAUAGUAAUAUCCCCUUAGUAUAUGAUAUACUAAACUAUUUAUAAUGAAGAGUCAGCGAAGAUGAGAGAGAAGCGAGAGAGACAGCGAGAGAGAACGAGAAGAAGAGAGAGAGAGAUUCCGGCUAACUAUAUUUUAUUAGUAUAGGACCUAUUUAUACUCAUUAGUUUUUCCCUCGCGUUAGAUCUACUCUUUAAUCAUUUUCACCCUGUUAUAUUAUACGUUUCAAACAAAUACCCACUCAACUAGGGACCACGUAUCAAUCUAACCGUCAAUCACUUUCAUCUAACCGAUAUUUUUUCAUCUAACGGAUCGAAAAAUAUGCUUCGUUGAUGGGUUCAUAAUAAGCCAAAGAACUAAUGUAUGAUACGGGGAUAGCUGUACAAGAUGGAUUCAUGAGAACACGGGUAUUUUUUUGUUUAGGAUGAAAAUGUGAGCUAUAAGACGAACUAGAAAAUUUGCUGUGUUGGAUAAAAAAUGUGAGUAUAGUGGAAUAGUUUGGUAGUUUAUAAAUAGAAAUAAUGUAAUGAAUCUACCCCUUAUAUUGAGAUUAAAAUUUUAAACUGAACAAAUUUUAAUUCGAAAUUUUAACUUUUACAUUUUUAAAUUUUGAAAUUAAAUUAAAAUAUUAUUUUCAAAAAUUUUAAUUUUUAAAAUGACUUAAUGUUACAAUUUAAGACCAAGUUUAAAUUUGAAAUAUAUAAAAAUAUCAAGAUCUUAAAAUUUAAAAGCUCUAACAAUAUAUUAUCCUUAAAAUUUAAAUGUUAAAAAUUAUCAAUUCUAAUAAUUUUUAAAAUUUAUAAUUUAAAUUUAUAAUAUAUUAUAAAUUUUAAAAUUAAAAUUUAAAAUAAAAAAUCUCUCUCUCUUCUCUUACUCUCUCUUGUACCGGUGGCUGGAACAAGUUGUUCCACCCUUCUGGUGGGAACACUCGUUGCCCACCCUAUUACCCCGGUGGAUUAACGCCCCGGAGUACUAGGGUGGGCGAACGAGUGGGUGGAACGAGUGUUCCCACCCUGUAAUGUUUUUCGUUUGGAGUACAAAGAGGGAUAACCCCUAUCCCCUCUUGUGAUCCAAUUCAAACGGCGUAUGCAAGUAGACAAGAGGCUGUUAUACUAUAUAGUUAUUAAUAGCCCAGCAAUUAUAUAUGGAGCGCUAGAUGCUAUAUCUAUUAAUAGGAUAGCGAGCAUCUAUACCUAUUCAUAAUUGUUCUUGCGAUUGAUCGAGAUUCGAAACUUCGUGAUCGGAGCGUGAAGUUAUUCUAGCGUAUUUGAAAUAUCUUAGAAACUAAAUUUCAUAAUUGUAAAAUUAUUUAAUAGUGAUCAAAGUGUCAGUAAACUCGACAUUUUUUCACGUCUAUAUGGAGCGUUUGCUUGUUUUAACGUGCUAGCAGCAAUCAAAUUGCUUGAUUUAUUGAUAGAAUAAAUUUUUAUACUGAUUUGAGAUAAUAUUUGAUAACUUGAUUAUGAAUUGAAAAGUCUAACGCUCUAUUUAGGAAGCGUUAUUCAUUUAUGAGGCGUUCAUUUGUUUAACUCUUAAAUGAACUUGAUAAUGAUUUAUAAAUAUACAAAAUUUGGUUUUCUAAUAUAUGUUUAAUUGUGUAGAUCAAUGUUCAACCGAUGCCGAUUGAUCAAUUGAAGUCCGAUCAAUCAAAAGACUUGGAUAGGACCAUGGUCUCCAAUGUCCUAUUAAUAGGAUAGUAGCCGGAUAUAUAUAUAAUAUGAUACUAUAUAUAUAGAAUUGGCUGGGGAAUUAUCUAUUAAUAGUAAAACACUAUUGUUUGCUAUCAAGUUUUAACCCAUGAGACAAAUAAUUGCCAGAUAGGAUGAUAUUAGUCGGUUAGAGUUUGAGUGGUCCCCCUGGUGGGUUGAGUGUUCCACGGUGUAUAGUUUUAUCCAAUGAUUAGAAAAAUGAAAGGAAGGUUAUAUGCUAUCGACAACCGAGCCAUUCCCGUGUUUCCAGACUCGUUUUUGAUGAUGGCGGACUUCGACAUCGAUCGGAUCUGCCUCGUUAAAACUUGAUUAGAGUAUUGGAAGUACCUAGAAAAUAAAUUUUAUGAUUUUUCGAUAUUAUUUGCCUAUGGCUGAUCGAAAGGGGCUCAAAAUCAAUAAUUUUUAAUUGUCGUGUGAGCCUGUUUCAAGUUUAACGGUACUGUAUAGAUAAUCCAAUCACCUUGAAAUUUUGCAUGAAUAUAUUUAUACUAUAUUAAAACAAGCAUCAAUAUUUUUGACUAAAAUUUUAAUGUUCAUUGAUAUCAUCAUUUUGUAAGAUGUUUUAUUUUUCAGCCGUGUUGAUUUUGAGCACCUUGCAAUUCAUAGCGUAAAUCAAUAUCGAAAAAUUACAUAAUAUUAUUCUAGGCUAUUUCAAAUGACUCCAGAAUCAGGUUUCAACAGAGCCGAAUCGACGAUUCGAAGUCGAACAUCCGAAAACGAGCGGUGAAGCAUGAAAGGACUCGUGCUCCGAUGCAUAGUUAACCUUAUCAUAUAUUAUAUAUAAUAUAUAUACUAAUAUUAUAUAGUGAUAUACUAUAUAUAUAAUAUUAUAAUUAAUUAGGUACUUAUAUAUUUAUCAGUACCGGAGCUCCGUAUACAUAUAGUUGUGUUGUUCACUUAGCGGUUGUCAAUCAAUAACAGAUCCUUACUGUUAAAUAUGAUGUAGGCUAUAUAAAUGCUUCUUAAGAAUAAAAUUUUAGUUUUUUUCGACAUGUUUUACGUAGUAAUAUAAUAUUAUCAAAAUGGAACGUGUUGAAAAUAUAUAUCUUUAAAAUUUGCGCAUAAGCGACUUUUAAAUUUCAAAAUUAAAAAAAGAUGAUGUUAACCUUAAUCUAGAUCAGUUUAAAUAUUUUCUAUUCAAAAUUUGAAGAAAUUUAGAUUCUUUUUACACCUGUAACUCCAAAUUUCGUAAUAGUAGCAUUGAAAAUGAUAAUUUUUGAAUUGGUUUGUCAUAAAGAAAACUAUGUCAAAAAAAAUAUAAAUUUAUUUUUAAAACUUGUGAAUACCCUAAAUCAGUUUAACGGUUGUGAUCUCGUUGAAUUUGAACAUCCUAGAUCACGAAAAACGGAAACGAUAGUACGGGACCCCGUAUUAUAGAUAGGUAUAGGAGAUAGCUCAUAAUAAUAUAUAUAUGAUGUAUUUUAACUGUAUUUCGACAGCACUGGCCGUCUUUCAGCUAUGCGUUUUGGUUAGGUGAUAAAAAGGCGGUUAGGGGUUUAACCCCUUUUAUCCCAAACGAAAACUUUUGGGGCGUAGGGUUUGUGUAACCCAUCAAAUGCGGCGUUAAACAAACCUACCCCCACUAUUGAAUUGCUGGUGGAUUAUUAAUCCCACCCCAAUUUGAAUUUUAAAUAUAAAUUUUAAAUAUUUAAAUUCUUUAUUUAUAAAUUUUUAAAUUAUAAUUUAUAAUCUUAAAAUUAAUAUUAAUAUUUUUAAUUAAAUAAAUUUAAAUUUAAAUUUUUUAAUUGUUUAAAUUUUACAUUUGACAUUUUAUAUUUGAAAAUUUUAAAAAUGUAUAAUUUGCAAAUCUUAAAAUUAAUAUUUAUUGUUUAAAAUUUUAAAAUUUAUAUUUUAGAAAUUUAUAUUUUUAAAUUUUAAAUUUAAAAUUAAAAUUUAAAAUAUUAUUUUUAUUAUUUAAAUUUUAAAUUUAAUUUUUAAUUGAAUUUUAUAAUUUUUAAAUUUGAGAUUAAAAAAUAAUUUUAAUUUUGAAGUCUGCUAUUUUGAAAGUUAUCUAUUUAAAUUUGAAAUUUGAAAUUAUAAAAAAAAUUAAUUAAAUUCAAAUAUAAAUUAGGGCCAAAAUUAAUAUUUUUUAUUUAUAACACACCACAAUCUUCUUGAUUUCCACUUACUCCAGCCAAACGUUUAUUUUUUAUACCUGCGACUAAACCCAGUUCUCAACCAAAACAAAAUUACUUAAUUCAUUAAAUCCAAAACUUAACUCUGAUCUCUGGAUAACUAGUUAUUUAUUACCACUGAACUAAACGAAAAGGCCUCAGGUAAGUAUAAAAUAUUUAAGUACAUUAAUGAUUCUAAAAUUUUUAAGGCAAAUAUAAAAGCGAAAAAGCAAUUAUUCAUUAUUCAUUCGUAGCAAAUCACUCAACGGAUGCUCUACCUUCGGGCUCCGGGUUGGAUCAAAUGACCAAACUAAUCCGCACUGCUUUCAAAUGAAGGGGGCUAAUGAACAAAAACGUAUAACUGGCGGAUAAUGGAUGAUCCAAAAGCAUCCGAAAAAAAAAGUGAAAAUCGAACAUACAGAAUCGCCAUAUCAUUAGCAUUGUUUNNNNNNNNNNNNNNNNNNNNNNNNNAUUGCCAAAUAUGUAUCUAAAAAAUUUAAAAUAAUAAAUCACGCUAUUAAGAAAGAUAUGCUUUAAAUGAUAAAUAAUUAACAAUAAUCUCUAAUGCAAAAAUUACUUUUGAAAUUAAAUAGAAAAAUAAAAUCUGUUAGGAAAUAAAUUUUUGAAAUUAAAUAGAAAAAUAAAAUCUGUUAUCUUAAAAAGAAAAUAUAUUUUGAAAUUAAAUAGAUAAUAUGUAAAAAAAGAUAUUUUAAAAUAAAAUAGAAAAAUAUCUUUUAUAGAAUUUUCACACCUGUAAUCUGUUAUAGAGAAUUUACUUUUGAAAUUAAAUAAAAAAAUUUAUAUUUUAGGAUUUUCACAUCAGUAAUCUGUUAUAGAGAACUUACGUAUUCAUUGUUGUUUCUAUUUUUAUUCUUAUAUUUAAAAUUUUUCGUACGGAAAGAGAAAAAUGAGCGCUAAUUUUUCCGCCGAAAAAUGGGUCUGUCGACAAACCCAAAUUUGAAUAUACGUGCUUUUAUAUAUAGUAUAGAUAUUUAAAAAUUUAUGUACAAAAUGUACAAGAAAACAGUAACAAAGAAAAUUUUGUAUAUUCAUUAAGAGAUAAAAAAAUUUAUGCCAAUCUUUGUUAUCUCGGAAUCAAACGGAGCUUAAGUACAUACAAAAGUACAAAUGUAACAGUAUACAAUUUUCAAAGGACAUAACCAUAAUUUCAUAUCAAUCAAUCGGCGCGCGCCUCCACCGAUCGAAAUCGAACUGCAGGAUGUAUCUGCUGCAUUCAUAACUCAUGCGCCCGAUUCUCCGAGAUUGUUGUUACGGCACCGCGCCCCGUUCUCGCAGCCCCUGCUAUGGGGCUCGACGGGCAGCGGGCGGCAAUUCUCGAGCCACGGCCUGCACGGAGGUUGAUCCCUGGCGAUUACACGGUAGUUCAGAGUAGGGGCAGCAUUGGUUCCGGUCGCCAUCACCACGCAUGCCAAGAGCGCGAGUAAAAUCCAUGCUCGAGUAACGCACGCCAUCUAUUCAAUCAAAAUAUAUAUAUAAAGAGAUUUUCUUUCUUAGAACACAAAUUAAUUUUAAAUACAGUAUAAGGCAAACUAUUACGUUUGUGAGCUAUAUAACAAUAAAGUGCAAAACAUAAUAUUACAGUUUAUAGUGGUAUAACAUACAAACGGAGAAAUUAGCUGAACUGCAGAUAAGCUAAUUGAAAUAUGUCCUAUUUUAUAGCGCGAAAGGAAGGUUAUUUAUAAUACCGAUUGAUUGUAGUGCGUGUUCGUCGGGCUAAGAUCAAGUAUGGAUUGUAUGUAUUUGCGUACGAAUGUAUCGAGUACGUAGAAGGUGGUGGUAUUUAUACAGAGGUGGAAGUAAGAGAAACCAACUGAAGCUUAGCUGGAGAAUUAUCAUCUAUACUAAAUCUGAAUGAUUUGUUGGAUUAAUGUGAGGAUGAGAAUGUUUUUCUCUUCAGUAAAAGUUCACAAUGCUCUUUAAAGUAGAAAACGGAAAAUUAGUACUAUAAAUGGGUUUUUUUGCUUCUGCUUUUAGUUGCUGCUGUUUUUGGAAAAUGUAUAUUAGGUUAAAUAAAAAGGUCUGAAACUUUUUCUAUAGUGAGAAUUAAAAAUAAAAUUUUAUUUAAGCAUAAAUUAAAAGGUUGAAGCUAAAAAAAAUAGGGGAAACUUCAAAUACCCCUAUGUGGUAUCGCACUUUCUCAAUUUAGUAUCCUGUGGUUUAAAAUGUAUCAAAUUAGUAUCCUGUGGUUUCAUACUUUUUCACUUCAGUAUCUUAUGGUUUCAAGUGUAUCAAGUUAGUACCUUAUGAUUUCAUUUUUAUAUCAAGUUAGUACCAUGUGGUUUAAUUUUCUCUUUUUAUUAUUCAUUUCAGGGUGUAUAAUUUAAUGAAAUAUUAAACCACAUGGUACUAAAGUGAGAAAGUGUAAAACCACAGGUUACUAACUUGAUACAGUUUAAACCAUAGGGUACUAAAGUGAAAAAGUGUGAAACCACAAGGUACUAACUUAAUACACUUUAAACCACAGGAUAGUAAACUGAGAAAGUGCGAAACCACAGGGAGGGUAUUUGAAGUUUCUCUAAAAAAAUAUAAGUUAUUCUGGAAUAACAACCCUAAACCUUUAUAUUGAUUGAGAGCCCACGACUUUUAGUUUUUUUUAAAAAAAAAUUGAGUGAUUUUAGCCAAAUUGAUUUAUAAUUAUAUCAAAUCUAAUGAUUUAAGCAACUUCAUGUGAAUAAAAUUAGACUAAUCAACUGUUAAUAGCUAAUAAAGCAAUAUCAGUUUGACAUCCAAUGUUUUUUAUACUAACAAGGCCCGGAAGGUUUAGUGGGUGGUCGUACGCUGGUUAAGACUUUCAGGUAAGGAGGAUCGCGCGUGGCGUCGAGGUGGGUAGGUGAAUAGGGUUUGAUGUUCGUGCAGCAGUGGGUCAAGGAGGCGGACUUCCAGGAGCUCAGGGUAGUGAUACCACAUGAACCAUUUUUGCGUAACUCACUUAUCCACCAGGUGUCUGAGUAGCACUCGGGACGUCUCGUGUGUCUGACACAGAGGCCAGGUGGGAGCGAAUUGCUCCAAUAGUCAUCAUUCACGUUCCAUUUAUCAAUAAAGACGAACUAGAAAUGUUUGUAAAAAUGGCUAGUUAUUAAUCAUGUCUAUUAUAGAAACAUGGUUUCGUAAAAAGUGGUCCGUUUUGAAAGUUACACUCUGUUUUUUACUUCCUUUACGGUUACAGACCCGUUGUUAGAACGUCACGGACAGUGAAAGUAAUUGCGAAACUCCUUAGUUGGUUUUAAAGACGAUAAGAUCACGAUUGAGUCACGUCGUGUUGAAGAACAAUAAUUAAUAGGUAAAACCCGGUAGGAGUUAUUAUCUUAGAAUUUUUUCAAGCAUUUAUGAGUAUUAAUCUUGAUCCGAUUUUAUGAUAGUUAUCGUAGUUCGAUAACCACGAUAAUUAAAAAAUAGGAAACCUAACUUUUUACGUACCAAUCUUAUUACACCUGUGAGAUCCCAACUCACUCACCAACUAACUUAUCAUAUUAGAUUGUCUAUUUUUAUUAGUUUACCAAUUUAAAUUGCCACUUUUUAAGCUAUCGUGGUUUAAGAACUAUGAUAGUUAUCAUAGGGUCGGCCUGAGGAGUAUUAAUAAGAUUAGUGCUUUUCUUCGAAGGAAAAGCGCUUCCCUCUUCUUCAGCCUCUCGAGUAAGCCGAGAAACCGAUCGAAGCCUCACUCUAGUUCAUACCUAACAUACAGAAACGCAUGCUUACAUAGCUCAUGCAUCUUCUCACCACCAUAAAUAUGUCUCCAACUUCAUUCUCUUAGAAUGACUUCGAAUCGACCUCUUAGAUAGUACAUAUGAAUUAGACUUUACUAAAAAACCUAACUACACUCCUAAANNNNNNNNNNNNNNNNNNNNNNNNNNNNNNNNNNNNNNNNNNNNNNNNNNNNNNNNNNNNNNNNNNNNNNNNNNNNNNNNNNNNNNNNNNNNNNNNNNNNGUUGGUUGGUGGGUGAGUUAAGAUUCCUCGGGUGAUAGUUGGAUUAGCAUUGGUGAGAGUAGGAUUGGCGUGUAAAAAAGUAGGCUUGCCGGUUUUUCAAUACUCAUGUUUUCCGAGAUAUGAGUAUACUCAUAUCAUCGGGGUCAAUAUUUUCUAAUAAAAUAUAACACAUUAAUUUAUAAAUAUAAUUUUUAUUGUAAAAUUUUGGAUAUAUAUAAUGUACAAAUUUAUAUUGAAUUGAAAUAAAUUAUAAUAAUUGUUACGUGCAUUUGCACGUACAUUCAACUAGUAUAUAUAUAUAUAUAUAUAUAUAUAUAUAUAUAUAGUCCGGCUACUAUACUCUUAUGAGUACGAUCACCCUCGUACUCAUAAGUUGUUUUCGAUGAUAUAUAGAGCUUCCGAAUCGACGAUCUAUACCGUUAAACGUUAUUUAGAGCAUUUAAAACUUCUAGAAAUCAAAUUUUAUAAUUUUUUGACAUCAUUUACCUUACGAUUAAAAGGUCACAAAAUUGACAAUUUUUAACGGCCGGUGUGGGAUACUUGGUAGUUUAACGGUGUAAAAGAAUCGGAAUCGGUUGAAUUUUUGAUAGAAAAUUUUAAUUACUACGUAGAUAAAGAUCAAUAACUCCGAUCUUAAAUUGAAGGAUCUGAUCAUCCAUUUUUAAGACGUCGUUCGAUUUCGACCGUUCAUUUUAUGCCCGCUUGAUGGACUUUAUUAUGAUUUCAAAAAAUUACGAAAUUUAUAUUCUAGAAGUUUCAAAUACUCUAGAUCAUUUUUAACGGAAUGGAUCGUCGAUUCGGAAGCUCCAUCAUCGAAAACAACUUAUGAGUACGAAGGGUCCAAUAUACUCAUAAGAGGAUAGUAGCCCUACUCUCUCUCUCUCUCUCUCUAUAUAUAUAUAAUAUAUAGGCUGGGGCUAUUAUACUCAUAUGAGUAUAAAGCCUUUUGUACUCAUAAGUUUUCGACCGUUUGGAUGAAAAAAUAUGCGGUUAGAAUGAAAGUGGUUACAGUUAGAUAAAUAGUGGGUCCCCAAGAGUUGAGUGGGUGGUUUGUUGAAUAGUAUAAUCUAAUAUAUGAAAAUAAUUAAAGGGUAGAUCUAACGGUAAAAAACUCAUAAGUACAAUAGACUCUAUACUCAUAAAAAUAUAGUAGCUGGACUCUAUAUAUAUAUAUAUAUAUAUAUAUAUAUAUAUCAUAAAUUUUUAAAAAUUUAUGUACAAAAUGUACAAGAAAACAGUAACAAAGAAAAUUUUGUACAUUCAUUAAGAGAUAAAAAAAAAUUUAUGCCAAUGUUCGUUGUCUCGGAAUCAAAAGGAGCUUAAGUACGUACAAAAGUACAAAUGUAACAGUAUACAAUUUUCUAAGGACAUAAUCAUAAUUUUAUAUCAAUCAAUCGGCGCGCAUCCACCGAUCGAAAUUGAACUGCAGGAUAUAUCUGCUGCAUUCAUAACUCAUGCGCCCGAUUCUCCAGGAUUGUCGUUACGGCACCGCGCCCCGACCUCGCAGCCCCUGCUAUGGGGCUCGACGGGCUGCGGGCGGCAAUUCUCGAGCCACGGCCUACACCCAGGGUGAUCCCUGGCGAUUACACGGUAGUUUAGAGUAGGGACGGCAUUGGUUCCGGUCGCCAUCACAGCGCAUGCCAAGAGCGCGAGUAAAAUCCAUGCUCGAGUAACGCACGCCAUCUGUUCAAUCAAAAAAUAUAUAUAUAAAGAGACUUUCUUUCUUAGAACACAAAUACAAUAUAAGGCAAACUAUUACAUUUGUGAACUAUAUAACAAUGAAGUGCAAAACAUAAUAUUACGGUUUAUAGUGGUAUAACAUACAAACGCAGAAAUAAGCUGAACUACAGAUAAGCUAAUUGAAAUAUGUCCUAUUUUAUAACGCGAAAGGAAGGUUAUUUACAAUACCGAUUGAUUGUAGUGCGUGUUCGUCGGGCUAAGAUCGAGUAUGGAUUGUAUGUAUUUGCGUACGAAUGUAUCGAGUACGUAGAAGGUGGUGGUAUUUAUACAGAGGUGGAAGUAAGAGAAACCAACUGAAGCUUAGCUGGAGAACUAUCAUCUAUACUAAAUCUGAAUGAUUUGUUGGAUUAAUGUGAGGAACUGAGGAGGAGCAUUUUUUUCUCUUCAGUAAAAGUUCACAAUGCUCUUUACAGUAGACAACGGAAAAUUAGUACUAUAAAUGGGUUUUUUUGCUUCUGCUUUUAGUUGCUGCUGUUUUUGGAAAAUGUAUAUUAGGUUAAAUAAAAAGGUCUGAAACUUUUUCUAUAGUGAGAAUUAAAAAUAAAAUUUUAUUUAAGCAUAAAUUAAAAGGUUGAAGCUAAAAAAAAAUAGGGGAAACUUCAAAUACCCCUAUGUGGUUUCGCACUUUCUCACUUUAGUAUCCUGUGGUUUAAAGUGUAUCAAAUUAGUAUCCUAUGGUUUCGCACUUUUUCACUUCAGUAUCUUAUGGUUUCAAGUGUAUCAAGUUAGUACCUUAUAGUUUCAUUUUUGUAUCAAGUUAGUACCAUGUGGUUUCAAUUUUCUCUUUUUAUUAUUCAUUUCGGGGUAUAUAAUUUAAUGAAAUAUUAAACCACAUGGUACUAAAGUGAGAAAGUGUAAAACCACAGGUUACUAACUUGAUACAGUUUAAACCAUAGGUACUAAAGUGAAAAAGUUUGAAAUCACAGGGUACUAACUUGAUACACUUUAAACCACAGGGUAGUAAAUUGAGAAAGUGCGAAACCACAGGGGGGUAUUUGAAAUUUCUCCAAAAAAAUAUAAGCUAUUCUGGAAUAACAACCCUAAACCUUUACAUUGAUUGAGAGCCCACGACUUUUAGUUUUUUUAAAAAAAAUUGAGUGAUUUUAGCCAAAUUGAUUUAUAAUUAUAUCAAAUCUAAUGAUUUAAGCAACUUCACGUGAAUAAAAUUAGACUAAUCAACUGUUAAUAGCUAAUAAAGCAAUAAAAUUUAACAAAAAUUUUCAUUUCUGUAAGUAUACAGUAGAUCCGAACUAGUAAGAUUGUCGCGAGCGUUUGAUUUUGCCAACUUUUUUGCGAUUCUAUCAUCGAGAGACAAGAACCAUACUGUUCACUCCGAAGCUAGCCAAAGAGCCGAAUGAGCUCUCCGACUUCUUCUCCCUUCGCGAAAAGGAAGCUUCUUUUCGUGAUUAGAAUAAUUAUGAGGAGUCCGGCUGGGAUACUAUUGAUAGUAUCAAGAAUUUGGUGCUAUCGAAUUUUUCACCGUUAAAUUUAACCAUUUGAUUAUUUUUAUCUGUUAGAUUAUACUAUUCAAUCAACCACUCACUCAACCCUAGAGUGUCCACAUUAUUCUAACCAUGCAUUUUUCAAUCCAAAGGAUAAAAAAUUAAUAGCACCAAUAGCUUGAUGCUAUUGAUAGUAUUUUAGCCUAGUUCUAAUUAUGAGUAUUUACGAACUUUUUUAAGAUUCUAUUAUUGAGGAUGGCCCAAAAUGGAUAAUUAAUAACAAGAAGUUGUGCUGCACUGAGUUAGCACUAGAAUAGCAGAAAUUUUGGUUGAUUCCUCAAAGCGUUAAUGAAAGUGACAGGCACUGCAAGAUUGUUGCCCAGACAUUGGCAUUUCCUUCAUUUUUUGUCUCACAUUGAAAGUUUUGCCUGGUGAAAAAUGCUUUGGUACAAAGAUAUUAUCUGUACUAAUUAUUGAUCGGUAAAAAUGUUUGUAAAGAUCAAGCAGAAAUAACUAUUUACCUUGCACUUACUACUGAUAACCUCGUUAAGCGAGGGUGGACCGGAGACACAGUCUGUGUGCUCUGCAGGGCUCACGAUGAGUCUGUGGACCACCUAUUCACUCAAUGCGUUUUUACCAAGUACACCAUAGUGAUGGGACUCGAGGACCUUCAGGCGGAGGAACUGGGUGACGACGUGCUUGUAGUUUGGGAUAAGUGGAUGGGUGGAGCUGCGGUGCGCGCUAGGAGGAAUGGACUUUCAGAAUUGGUCGCAUGCUGGUGGGUGAUUUGGAAGGCCCGGAACAAUCAUAUUUUUUGUAACCUACAGUUUGACUCUGAUUUAGCCGUUCAAAGGCUCAUGGCACUCCUAACUUCGUGGAAAGAUCUGCUAUGAUUUUUUUUUUUUUUUUUUUUUUUUUGUGUUGUUUUUCUUGAGGCCUUUGUUGCUUCACCUCUGUAGUCAAAUUCAUCCAUUCAAUGAAUGAAGCAGGUAGCGUGCUAUCUAUUCUCAAAAAAAAAACUUCUGAUUUUGAUUACUACAUAAAUUUUCAUUUACUUGAUUUUAGUUGUUUUGUAAUUAUGAGAAACUAUUGUACACACUUGGUGUACUAGUACAUUCUUAUGCUGCAUUUUUAUUGAUUAUUUGUUUUAUUUGCUUUUUCUAUCUCUAACAGCCGAUAAGUUGUCGUUUUUUAGUUAAAAGUUGAGUAAUUGAAUUAACAACAUGAACUGCACUAAAAAAAAAGAAUCUAUACAACAUUUUCAAAACAUGUUUACAAAAAAGUAAAUUUUCUUUUAGUAGGAGCAUUAACAUAUUAAUUAAUAAUAUACAAAGAUAAUAUUCUGGAGAGCUUAUUGCAAAGCCCUUUAUACUCAUAAAUUUUCGACCGUUUGGAUGAAAAAAUAUGCGGUUAGAAUGAACGUGGUUACGGUUAGAUAGAUAGUGGGUCCCCUAGAGUUGAGUGGGUGGUUUGUUGAAUAGUAUAAUCUAAUAUAUGAAAAUAAUUAAAGGGUAGAUCUAACGGUAAAAAACUCAUAAGUACAAUAGACUCUAUACUCAUAAAAAUAUAGUAGCCGGACUCUAUAUAUAUAUAUAUAUAUAUAUAUAUAUAUAUAUAUAUAUAUAUAUAUAUAUAUAUAUAUAUAUAUAUAUAUCAUAAAUUUUUAAAAAUUUAUGUACAAAAUGUACAAGAAAACAGUAACAAAGAAAAUUUUGUACAUUCAUUAAGAGAUAAAAAAAUUUAUGCCAAUGUUCGUUGUCUCGGAAUCAAACGGAGCUUAAGAACAUACAAAAGUACAAAUGUAACAGUAUACAAUUUUCUAAGGACAUAACCAUAAUUUUAUAUCAAUCAAUCGGCGCGCGCAUCCACCGAUCGAAGUUGAACUACAAGAUAUAUCUGCUGCAUUCAUAACUCAUGCGCCCGAUUCUCCAGGAUUGUCGUUACGGCACCGCGCCCCGACCUCGCAGCCCCUGCUAUGGGGCUCGACGGGCUGCGGGCGGCAAUUCUCGAGCCACGGCCUGCACCGACGGUGAUCCCUGGCGAUUACACGGUAGUUUAGAGUAGGGACGGCAUUGGUUCCGGUCGCCAUCACCGCGCAUGCCAAGAGUGCGAGUAAAAUCCAUGCUCGAGUAACGCACGUCAUCUGUUCAAUCAAAAAAUAUAUAUAUAAAGAGAUUUUCUUUCUUAGAACACAAAUUAAUUUUAAAUACAAUAUAAGGCAAACUAUUACAUUUGUGAACUAUAUAAUAAUGAAGUGCAAAAUAUAAUAUUACGGUUUAUAGUGGUAUAACAUACAAACGCAGAAAUAAGCUGAACUACAGAUAAGCUAAUUGAAAUAUGUCCUAUUUUAUAACGCGAAAGGAAGGUUAUUUACAAUACCGAUUGAUUGUAGUGCGUGUUCGUCGGGCUAAGAUCGAGUAUGGAUUGUAUGUAUUUGCAUACGAAUGUAUCGAGUACGUAGAAGGUGGUGGUAUUUAUACAGAGGUGGAAGUAAGAGAAACCAACUGAAGCUUAGCUGGAGAACUAUCAUCUAUACUAAAUCUGAAUGAUUUGUUGGAUUAAUGUGAGGAACUGAGGAAGAGCAUGUUUUUCUCCUCAGUAAAAGUUCACAAUGCUCUUUACAGUAGAAAACGGAAAAUUAGUACUAUAAAUGGGUUUUUUUGCUUCUGCUUUUAGUUGCUGCUGUUUUUGGAAAAUGUAUAUUAGGUUAAAUAAAAAGGUCUGAAACUUUUUCUAUAGUGAGAAUUAAAAAUAAAAUUUUAUUUAAGCAUAAAUUAAAAGGUUGAAGCUAAAAAAAAAAAGGGGAAACUUCAAAUACCCCCUGUGGUUUCGCACUUUCUCACUUUAGUAUCCUGUGGUUUAAAGUGUAUCAAGUUAGUAUCCUGUGGUUUUGCACUUUUUCACUUCAGUACCCUGUGGUUUCAAGUGUAUCAAGUUGGUACCUUGUGGUUUCAUAUUUGUAUCAAGUUAGUACCCUGUGGUUUCAAUUUUUUCUUUUUAUUAUUCAUUUCGGGGCAUAUAAUUUAACGAAAUAUUAAACCAUAGGGUAUUAAAGUGAGAAAGUGUGAAACCAUAUGGUACUAACUUGAUACACUUUAAACCAUAGGGUACUAAAGUGAGAAAGUGUGAAACCACAUGGUACUAACUUAGAUACACUUUAAAUCACAUGGUAGUAAACUGAGAAAGUGCGAAACCACAGGGAGGUAUUUGAAGUUUCUCCAAAAAAAUAUAAGCUAUUCUGGAAUAACAACCCUAAACCUUUACAUUGAUUGAGAGCCCACGACUUUUAGUUUUUUUAAAAAAAAUUGAGUGAUUUUAGCCAAAUUGAUUUAUAAUUAUAUCAAAUCUAAUGAUUCAAGCAACUUCAUGUGAAUAAAAUUAGUCUAAUCAACUGUUAAUAGCUAAUAAAGCAAUAAAAUUUAACAAAAAUUUUCAUUUGGUUGACUAAAUAUAGAGCCUCAAAUAAAAAGAAAAUUAGAAGUUAAAAGCAAUUAAAAAGAGUAAAAUUGAGGGUUCCAUUUCAGAAUUGCCUUUAGUUGAGAUCUUCAUACAUUUUCACCCAAAAUAGAAAAUGAAAAAAAUAAAAUGUGUGCCUAUUCCCCCAUUUUUCUUUUUUAUUUUAAUCACUUAUCGUAGCUUAUUUUAAAUGAUGAACUUUACCAUUUUUACUUUGCUAUUAUAUGGUUUAAACAUUUACACUUAAAUAUCCUGUAAUUUUAUUUUUAUUCAAAAAAUUCACUAUUAAAUAGGAUAAUAAAAUAAUUUUUUUUGAUAAUUACAUAAUAGCUAAGUAUAACUUUGUAAAACACAAAAUGAUAAAAUAAAUAUAAGCUAAACCAAAUGAUGCCUAAAUGCUACUCUUCGAACUACAAAGUAACAAACUAAAUAUGAACUAAACCACCAAAUUAACGUUUACCCUAUUUUAAAACAUAAUAAUGGACAUAUGUUUAUCAUUGCUUUUAAUACAUUUUUUUAUCACUUUUACACAUAAUUUCAAAUCUACUUCUAUGAACAAGAAUUGAGAGAUUCUAUCCUUCUUUAUAUCAUCCAUCAGCCAAAAUUUUAUUUCAAUAAAACUACCCACUGAAUUUACCUAGAAGCAUCAUGAACAUUAUCAUCCGAAGCUAAUACUUGGUAGUUACUAAAUAUACAGUAAUUGAGUUGAUACUUUUUCUUUUUGGCUCCAUUGGUGUCCUGAACACAUGAAUUUUGAGAUUUUUUUUUUCUACUCUUAUUAAGCAAAUAAUUCAAAGUAACGAGUUUCCUACGAACAUAAUGCUUCCCCCACAUAAGACACAAAAUUAUUCAACAACAAUUAUUGAAUCUCUUCUGAAGCCUUUAAACAACAAUACAAUCAUGUAGAAGAGCUCUUCGCGGCUUCGUAGCUCUUCGCGGCUUCGUAGUUAUUUCUGUUGUAUUAUAAGAAGGUGAAAAUCUGCAUUUGAUUGUCCCCAUUAUAUCAAAACGAGCUACAACUUAGUGUACACGACGAAUCAGAUCGUUUUCACUGGCGGUGACCUUCCGGAAGUUGAACAACCCUGUAGAAGGGCACGCUCCUUUGCGGCAACGACCCAUCUUCCUCGUCAUCGUCAAACUCAAGGAGAUAGCUGAUCAAAAUCAAAGAGUUUUUCAGAUGUUAGAUAGUCGAUGUUCAUAAAUCAACAAAAAUAAAUGCUCGAAGGCGCGAAACAUGACACCAAUUAGUGCUUUUGAAGCAAAUAAAUUUAACUCCGAGAAUUAUACGAGGUAAAAGACUUACUCAUCAGACUUCCUCUGACGUUUGCAGAAAGUUUGGACCACCCCAUCACAUGAAAAGAGGAAAAAUAUUAAAAAAAAAUAAAAAAGAAAAUCAGAAAGUUAGCAUAUCAGGGUGCAGGAAAAGUAGGUAAAAGAUUUAAGAAAACCCUUCUUUUUAGAGGUUCAUUACGCAGCAUGGACUGUUAUUAGAUGAUUAACUAGAUGACAUCAGCAUACAAGAAUUCCGAUUGCAAUAACUAGUAAUUGUGCACGUCAUAUGGAGGAUUCAUAUAGUCACAAAGUAACAGCACAAGUUCGGGACACACUUUUCCAUUUAUGCUUGCAACACAUCAAUCAGACCUGAUUUUGGACCCAAUGUUGAGUCGAUUACUCAUGGGUCUCUCUCUCUCUCUCUCUCUCUCUCUCUCUCUCUACACACACACAAGUAUAUAUGUGUAUGAAUAAGCAUGUAUAUAUAUAUAUAUAUAUAGAGAGAGAGAGAGAGAGAGAGAGAGAGAGAGUCCGGCUGCUAUGCUAUCAAUAGUACCAAGCACUUGGUGCUAUCAAGUUUUCUGCCGUUAGAUUAACCCCUUUGAUUAUUUUUAUCCGUUAGAUUAUACUAUUCAACCAACUACCCACUCAACCCUAGGGGGCCCACAUCAUCCUAACCGCACAUCUUUUAAUCCAAGGGCGGAAAACUUAAUAGUACCAAGUCAUUGGUGCUAUAAAUAGUAUUCCAACCUAGUUCUCUCUCUCUCUCUCUCUCUCUCUCUCUCUCUCUCUCUCUAUAUAUAUAUAUAUAUAUAUAUAUAAAUCUUUAAACUAUUUAAAACAAAAUCUAUACUCUUGAUCUUGAUUACAAGACUUCUAUCAUCAUUUUUUAAAGAAUAUACAUUUUCAGCCGUUCAUUUUUGUGUCCACUCGAUGGGUAAGAGAACAAUAUCAAAAAGAUUUGAAAUUUGAUUUCUAAACACUUCAAGUGGUAUAGAUCAUGUUCAAUGGUGCCGAUCGUCGAUUUGGAGGCUUUAUCAUCAAAAACAAUUGGGUGGCAACGGAGCCCGUUUGCUAUCAAUAGUAUUCUAGCUCAACUCUCUCUCUAUAUAUAUAUAGAGUUGAGCUAGAAUACUAUCGGUAGUAAACAAGCCGUUUUACUACCGAUUUGUUUUCGAUGAUAGAGCUUCCAAAUUGACGAUCGGCUCCGUUAAAUAUGAUCUAAACCAUUUAAACUAUCUAGAAAUCAAAUUUCACGCACUUUCGAUAUUGUUCUUUUAUCCAUCAAGUGAACAGAAAAAUGAAUGGCUGAAAAUGAAUACUCUUUAAAAAAUGAUGAUAAGAGUCUUGUAAUCAAGAUCAAGAGUAUAGAUCUUGUUUUAAAUAGUUUAAAAAAUUUUCUAACAAAAAUUCAAUUGAUUUGGAUAUCUUUACGCCGUUAAAUGAGAAAACGCCUCUUAUCGAUCAUNAAACGAAGCCUAAAUCUAGUGGUGGAAAACUCGAUAGCACCAAAUCCUUGAUGCUAUCGAUAGUAUUCCAGCGGGAUUAUAUAUAUCUAUAUCUAUAUACAUAUAUGAAAAGAGUCUUUAUUGCCAUGUGUCAAUCUCACCUCAAUUUUCCUCCCCUCUCUCACAUUCUUACAAAUGAAAAUUAUUGCCUACACCAAAUUUGUUAGUAUAUUACACGAAGCAAACAAUUUUUUUAAUAAUAAAUAUAGCGAAAUCAAAGUUAACCUGAAAUAUGCAAUGCCUGGUAUAUAUAGUCUAUGUAUAAAAGAAAUACCGAGUUUGAAUUUUUAUAAUAGAUUUUAGGAAUACAGUAUAUAAGAUAAGAUACAUUUAUACAUAAUAAGAGGCAUACAUAUAUAUAUAUAUAUAUAUAUAUAUAUAUAUAUAUAUAUAUAUAUAUAUUUACACAUGCAUAUAUGUAUGUGUAUGUAUAUGUAUAUAUGUUGUCAAGUUGCUUAUAAAUCAACAAAAAAUUUAAAGGAUUAAAGAUUGACAGUUGUUAGCUACAAAGAAGUAGAAUUAAAAUAUUGAAGAAACUACUCAGUAAUUAAAGAAAGAGAAGAUCUCUACAUUUCUAAAUAAGAGCAAGAAAGCAAUUAUUGCCUAAUAAACACAACCUCUAGGCUAGCUUCUCUGACAUAUAAACAUCAAAAUACGUUGAUGCUAACAUGAUACUGCAUGCAUGAGAUAGUGUGUAAAUGUUGCAUUACCUUACGGUGUGAAUUGACAACCGUUGCCUUAUACAAUGCCGUCGUCCCAGGAUAAACUGCCAAGACAUGUCUGCCCGGGGGAAAAUCUGGUGCACUGGAAGGAUCCCCCUUCUUCGGAAAAGGAAUAAUGCGCUGCAUAGGCAGCUUGUAUUUUCUACGAAAACAACAUUUAAUUAACAAGACAUUCUUACCAUCUCUCUCGCAAUAUCAAAUGAGCAAUAUAAACUACAUUUAAAACAAUUAAAUGAUAAUUUAUUACAACUUGUCCAACAAUGAUAAAUACACAGUAUAUAUGCACAUAGAAAGAGUUGGACUACACAACACUCCCUGGCAAGGGAUCAAAAGUCUCUAGAAUUAUGAGAAACUCGAGUGGAACCAUAAAAAAUUUAACAAUGUAACCAUUCAGUUCAAUAUAAAACAUUCGAUUGCAUCUAAAUAAGAAAUUAUUUGCUUUGAAGGUCCCUUUUAUGCAUCAAGCAAGUGGAAAAUGGAAGGACUCACAGAUAUAAAAACAUUUCAUGGCAUUGCCAAGAACUUGCCCAAAAGGAUAGAAGUUGUCAAUAAUUUUUUAUAUCGCAUGAUAAUGGCCUUUGUGUAUUUUCAAAUAAGUAUAUCAACAAGCAUAACAACAAGCUUUUUAUUAAACAUGCAUGAACUUUCUAUACGAGUAUAGAAAUAAAUAUUCUUGAUUAUCAUAUUAGUUAGAAAUGAUAAACAGGUAAAGACUUAUAGAAGACAACAGGUAGCCCGAUCAAAGUGAAUAGUAGAAUAGCACGUUGUAUUAGGGACCAAACAAAGUUAUAGAUGCUAAAGGGGUACAUGGCGAAGGUGGCCUGAUCGAUGCGGUUAAGAGUGUGAUUGUCAUAUUAACGGCAAAAACACAACCAAGAAAGCAAAAAGGCCAUAAGUUUGAUGAAGAAGUUGCGAAAAUUAGAUGCCUUGGUACACACUGCUUCCUAUAUAUAUAUAUAUAUAUAAGCGUUAAUUGAGAGUUCGGCAUGAAUUGAGUAUGUAAAUAAAAAAAAAAUACACUAUUUGUCCAUCAACAUAAAAAGUAAUGUGGCAAGCAAUGGCAAGCAAUAUAAAGAAGGGACGGAAUAAGGAAGUGAUUUUUCACCCAAGACCUACCUCUGCAUACUUUCCUCAUCAUCACCUGGCUCCUCAUCAAGCACUUCAUAUCUGCAUGUUCAGGAAGAUCCAUAACAAUCAAUUAUGACAUAUACCGAUGACGUCUAAUCAAGUACCAACAUGUGAUGUUUGAAGAACCUAUUCUACAUUUGCAUAUUAUUCUUGAAAAGAGAUCAUGAUUGAAGCACUCCAAGAAGAUUAUAUAGUAUAACUAUAGCAGGUAAAUGCUACAAUUGUCUUAUCACAGCAUUGAAUCUCAAUAAUAAUUUCUCUGAAAAUGAUACUGAAGAGAUGAUCACAUAAACGUACUCUUUUGCAUCCUUGUCAACAUGUAUAACUUUCACAACAAACCACUCGUCUUUUUCAGCUUCAUCAGGUGUGACCCUAGCUGCCACCUGAAAGUAAUUAAUAUUACUAAUACACACAUUAAAAGGAAACUUGCCACAUGUGCAACUAUAUUAUUAUUUUUACAAAUAGAUACAAUCAACCAGAACAAAUAGUAGAACAAUCAGCAGAUAUAGGGCAAUAUAUAGUCAACACAUAAAAGAACAACAAAUCAAGGAGUUUUUAUAGUUUCUCUUCCUUGCUAUCCAAUAGAUAAUAAGCGACUCCAUUUGCUUUGCAUACUUGUCAAGUAAUUACAUGUCAAUCUAAAGUAUUCAGGAAUUGAAUUGAAGUUAACUCUUUCUAUAUUGGACUACCUAGGGGCUUUUGACCCAAGCUUGAUUGACGCACCUACAAUGAUGCGACAGUGUCGCAUUACAACAAUCUGUUGCGCAACCAAGCUUCAGUGUGAUGCCACCUCCGCUAACCAUUAGUUGCCUUACGAGUUACAGCUAAGUUGAUUAAUGUAGGCAUGCAUUGUCAAAUACAGUAUGCAUUCCAGAUUAGCUUACUAAUGGAAUCACCAUGCAAAAAUCGUAUUGGCACUAUUAAGCACAGUUAUGAACAAAGGCAAAACUUAAUAACAAUCGAGUGUUAGCACAUCUUUAUGCCCAGAGCCUGCAAUGACCACUUGCAAGUCCUUGCGCCACUGCUUAGAAGCAAAAAGAGCUCCCUGAAGACUUCUACUUCACCCAUCAGCUUUGUAACAUGCAGUCUCCUAAGAACCAAGGUAGUCCAACAUAGGACUUUGGUAAGCCAUCACCUUUUUAUCUCUUUCAGACGAUUACACCAGCUAGGCUACUCCAUUAACAUUAAUACUCCGGUGUUUCAUAAGCGAAAGGAACAGAUUUCUUAUAAUAUCAGUUUUUCCUCCACUUUAUAAUGGCUCUCAAACCGUGCCAACGCUCCACAAAGUUCUAAUUUCACUUUCCAUAUUUUUACGCAAAAAUAGUACAUCACAUAGUUGUAAUUAACUAAAAAAAACUAUUCCAUGACGUGUGGGCAUAAUUAUUUCCCUAAACGCACAAAAUGACGGAAGAUUUUUUAUUGUGAACAUGAUUUUCAGGUACUUCAAUUUUUCUGUGUAGACAACUAGAUUUUGUGCUAAUGCCUUCAAGUGGUUCAAAACCCAGAACCAUCAAACUGAUUUCAGAGGCAAUGUUUGUUAUAUAUUGAGUGCAUUAAGGCAAUUGCACGUUUGUUAUAUAUUGAGUGUCCAUUAGCGACAAAUUGAGGAUCUCCAUAAUGAUAAGCCUGUGAGGCUGUGACAAGUUGCUACCACAUCCUGUGACUUGGUGCUUGACUAAUGACUUGUUGAACUAUCAGCGCUUCUUACUUAUUUGCCUUAAAAGAUGAAAUCCAAUGCUUUCAUUUCACGGCUUACAUUUCAGAUUUUAAAUCUUUCGAAAUUCAGAAAAGGCUUCUUUCUUAUAUAGAAGAUCAGAAUCUGAUUUAUCACCAAAAAAAUGGCUUUUCUAAAGAAAUUGGGAGCUGACGUUUCUUAUGUAGUGAGUCAACACUCAACAAUUGGUAGUACUGUAUAUAUCUCAAAGGGUACGCUUUCUUUAAAUAUGCACCUCUCACGUCUGGGAAAAAGUAGUUUCGCUGAGAAUUUUAAGUUUCUUUGUUUGUGAAUAUGCCUGUCCAAAGGUCACAGGCUUGCAUAAAAAUCCUUUUGAAAACUCCAAAAUUUUGCAUAAAUACUGUAUGAAUAGGUGGUAUUUCUAUAUAAAAGAGCAUAUAAGAAACAACCAUUUAUGAUGAAUACUUACGUAAAUAUGCACUUUACAAGAAUAUUCGCAUGAAAAGGUUCUUUUAUCUUAAUAUUGUUAGUGAUGCAUCAAUUACUCAAACAAUACUAACGUAAAUAAGUUUGUAAUGCAUAUGGCUGUCAUUAUGGGUUUUAAGUAAUGAUGCCAGCUGGAUCCUUGAGUUGCAACAUUACUUCUUCAUGGAAGCAACAAAUAGAUAGAAGCAAAAGAAUAAUUUUGUUAAAUUUUGAUGAUACAUGGACCAGAUGCUCCAAUGCACCAAAACAAUUUCGGAGUUGAAAUGGAAAUGUUCAACAAUAGUAAGCACUAGUCUUGAACAAACUAAUUAGACAGUUACAACUGCCUUCACAUGUUCAUCUCUGCUGUGAAAAUUGAAUGCGACGAGUUCAUAUAAUGAAUUCUCAUAAUGAAAUUCUCAACAUCUGCUAGCUUUUGAUUUCUUUAUAUAUACCUGCUCUCCUUUCAGAUUUGCAGGAUGGUCGAGUUGGUUUCUCAUUGAUGCAGCUGGUGGAAAUCGUGCAUUAUCUCCAUCAAUCUUCAUCCGCUUCUUUUUCUGCUCACUGCCUUCUGCAUAAACCACCAGUUUAUAAGAUAAGAUGCAUAGAGAAGAAAACAAAUAACUCUGGUUUUACAACUAUGACUUGUUGCUAAACAGUGUAAAAUUUGAGAUUUCAAAAAAUAUCUUAACAUACAAUUGAGUCAUUUAGAAACUAAAACAUUUCAUUGGAAUGAAUACAUGAAGUCAACAAUUACCAGAGCCUGAUAAAUAAGCCUAGCAUUGAAAAAAUGAAAUAGUGUUACAGCAUAUUUUUCAUGACUCUACCUAUGGAAUCAAAGGAAGCUCAGAUUAAACAGAUAUACUGCAAAACAAAACAAAAUCGCACUCGAAUUCAGCAUAGUGCAUUGUAAGGAAAAUAAUGAAAGUUAGUUAAUAAUAAGCACCUAAACUCUCUGCCUGAAAAAAAGGAAGUACUCCACCUAGUUUAGCAAUACAGAGAGAGUACUAAAAACAAUGAUUUAUCUGUAAGUUUAAAAUAACAUAAACCAUAGUGCGCUGUCUUUGUUUCAUUAGGGUCUAUAUAUAAAGGCGCCAAGCACGUGUAAAAUACCUACCUAAUUUUCAUGCAGAUAACAGCAAUGAUCACUUAUUCAUCUGAAUUAAGUUAUCUAUGCACUAUGUUCCAUGAACCACAUUUUUUUUUUCUAGGAUCACGCAACUCCUAAUACCCUAAAAGCAACACGGAAUGUCCAUCACAAAGCAUUAAAAGAUGCCAUUCCAAGUUUAGAAAAUAAAAAAAGGAUUUGAAUAUAGGAUUGAAAGCUAGUCCUGACUGUCAAAUUCUCCCUGAUUCGAAUUCCUACAUGCCAGGACAUCAAACAGACCAGUUGAUAUGGUGGACACUCAGGAAUAGCAUGAAAUAGCAGGGAAAAAUAGUCAAUGAUUGCAUCCAAAGUUAAGAUAUGUCAAUCAUGUCCAUCAAAUUAAAGAACUAGUUAUUUUAAACUACUAUCUUAAAGUACAAAUUCUGUGGGAUAUGAAUGCUACAAUACAGACAACAAAAAUAGAUGGCAAUUGAACUAGGGUACCAUAAUAUCCUUUUAAACAUGAGAAUAGAAGUUACAAUAGAUAAUAAAUGAUAGCUUACACCAAGGUUCAUAGCAAAAGCAUAUGGCAUAAUUUUAACUUCAAAAACAUAACAUCCUUCUUCCAAUUUUCAUGCUCACCAAUCUUUUUUCUUUGUGGAACUGUUAGUCCAGACUGCAGCAGAGCAUCCAACUGGCUCAUCAAUACAUUUGAAACACUAAGCAAAAAGGCAAAUCACCUCAAUUAGAAGGAAUGAAAGUAGGAAAAAUUCGUAACCACAAACUUGAAACAUGCAUAUGCAAAUGUUACACCAAAAGCACACGAAGCAUGGCCCAGAUAACAAUUUUAAUAGAUAAGAAACAAGUUACACAAAAAGCAUAAGAAGCAAUUAGGUUAUUGACUAUAAUCAAGUUUAAUCCACAGCACUGAUGAAAGAAAAUAUGCACACCCUAGACUAUUUGGGGAACACAGAGGAACUUUUUAUUUGGUAUACAUGCUGAUAUUAGCCAAACCAGAAUCUUAUGUUUCAUAAAUGUAGAUAUGUUGUAACCCUGCCAGUCCAUGGCUAUUGAAUUUGUCUUUUAACAACCAGUUCCCAAGCCCCCAAAAAGGCGAUCUGCAACAAAAAAUCUCAGUAGAUUUGUCAAGAACUACAAAUUUUAAUAUUUAUGAUGUGCCGGAGAGUGAUCUUGCCUAAAUAACUGGGACAUCAAUAAGUUUAUUUCAUGGAACAAACAACAACAGAAUCAGAAAAGAAAAAAAGGAACUACUGAACAUUUAAUUCAAUAAAAAGAGAAAUCACUACACCAUAAGGAAAUACUGAGUCAUGAUUCAUCAUUCUUGACACACCUCACUUCAUUUUCUGAAAGGUCUUUGGCAGUAGCAUAUAAUUGUCGGAGCUUACCCAAAUGAUUAUCUGGUGCUUUCUCGCUAAAAUCCGAAACUACAAUCACAAACAGAAGGGAGUUAGUUCCAAAGGAACAUCAAAAUAUAACAGGUCAACUUUACAGAAAAAGUCACUUUUGGCAAAUGAAUGAAUACUGAAUAGUGCAAUGUCAAAUAAUAAAUGCCAAAAUGGGGACUUAUAUUGAUUUACUUGUUACUUUUUCUACAAAAUCAAUUAAGUAGCUCCGACUAGUGCUUUUGGUUACUCCCAACAUAAUUUUCCUCUAAAUUAACUUACACAUGCUUGAAAGUCCUGUGAGUUAUAUGCUGAAAUUUUGCAACCUGCUGUUAUAUAGGAGUGUUCAACACCAACUAAAACUCGUGUUUACCUAAAAUGAAUGAGAAAAGUUACUGAGGUCUGAAAUUUUAGUGGAAAGUUCUUUGUACUGCAUAAGUCCGUACACUGAAGUCCUCAUUUCUUAGGUCUCAUUACCGUCUACUUUUCUACCGCAAAUAGUUCGGUUUCGAGUCUAGAACUCAUAUCAUCUUGACACUCAUCAAACUAAAAUACAAAGAAAAUUGCAAGAUAGUCACUACAAAAGAAAUAAACAAACCCGUAAGCGUAGCUCAUAACAAACUUUUAGAGGCAGGUUUUCGUAGUUAUAUCUUAAGAAGGAACUUUCUGAAGGAGACAUUCUUCUCCUUAUCUAUGAUUAUAUUCUAAGCUAGGAAUGGCUAUCUUUUCAUAAAAAUCAUCCACAAAAUUGUACUCUUCCAAAUAAAUCACUCAAAGCAAACAAUUACUCCCUCAUCAUUGAUACAGUUGUCAGUAAUUAAUCACAUAACAACAAACAAAAUCUCCCCAUAAAAAACAAAAAACAACUCUUUUUACAGUGUAGAUUGGUCCUAGCAGUGUGUGCAUUUACCAAUCCCCCCAAUCAUCAUAAUCCCCGAGACAACUUGAAACCAACACAAACAUCGAUCCACCAAAACCCUAGACACCCAAACCUUAAUCUCAAAUCACUGAUUCCACAAAACCAGAUCAAGAUAGGGCAAAAGCAAAUUAGAUUGUGAGGAGCUCACGCAUUUUCCUGUGGAGCUUGUUGAUCUCACUGAUGACUUCCUCCUGCUCCUUCCUAAGCUGAUCGAGCUCCUUGGAUUUCUCCAGAAGCGUCGCCAUAUCCACCCCCGACAUUUUCCUUUUUCCCCCCUUUUUUUCGUCGAAUUUGAUUGGAUAUAGCGGCGGGUGCUCGAUCGAACGAGGCGGAGAAAAGAAGGGUUUUUGCUGUUUCUCCUGCAAUUCAGGGAAAAGACCCUCCCCCAACCCGGACAAAGUUCGGACAAUUUCUAUUUUGGCCCCUGACUUUAAAGAUAAUGUUCAAAACUCCUUGCCAAAUUAUCUUUCCUUAUUUGUCUUUGGACAUUAAGUUUUUUUUUUUUAAAAAAAAAAAUCUCAGCUUGAUCAUGUUUCAAUUGAGUUUAGAAUUGUCUAGUCACUAAGAUUUUUUAUAGUCUUACUAUUUGAAUAUGAUAUCUAUAUAGAAAUUAAAAAAAAAUAAGUUAUUAGACAAGAAGUAAUAAAAUUAUAAUUAAAGAAAAGGUUUUAUAUGAUUUGUUUAUAAGAAAAGUUUUGUAAAAAAAUUAAAAAGAUUAAGUACAAAAGUGUUGACAGUGUAUCUUAAUUUCCAAAAAUAUAUAUAUUUACUAAGAAUUAUCUGUAAAGGGCACAAAAAAAAGGAUUUAAGUGUAAAAGUGUUGAUGGUGUAUCCUAGUUUCCUAAAAAAAUAUAUAUUUACUACGAAUUAUGUGUAAAAAAGAAAAAGAUUAGGUAGGUAUAAAAGUGUUGAUAGUGUAUCUUAGUUUCCAAAAAUAUAUGUAUUUACUAAGAAUUGUGUGUAAAGAGCAAAAAAAAAAGGGGGGAUUAAUAUAAUAAAUAUAAAAGAAAAGAGUUUGGCAAUGUAUCCUGGUUUCCUAAAAAACAUAUACUUACCGAGAAUGAUGUAAAUAUAAUUAAAAAUAAAAAUAAAAAUAAAAAAUAAAUCCGAGCCCAACUUAAGAGCCCAAAAUUUUGUGUUUUGUGUGCUUAACCAGCCCAACCCCGACUAAAUUUAUUUGGGCCGACCUAGGACUUAGCAUGGCUCCAUUAGAAGCCGGCCCACAUUUAAUUUGCGACACCUAAUAGUCCUACAUCGGAACGGAAUAAAAUUAUCAUUAAGUAUAUAAGAAGACAUUAUAUUAGUAAUAAUAAUCGGACUUAAGUAUUUUGGACCAGUAGUUUGAGCUCAACAAGUUAUUAUUGCUAGUAGAUCGGAUCGUUACAUUUAGUACCAGAGCUAAUUCACCAGUCAAAAGUAUGAUGAUCACCUAAAUGGAGGUAAAUGUUACGAUCGUUACCGUUCCAGGGUUCAUAGAAACUUUAUUAGGAACGCAAAUGAGACCUCUUUCAACUUUUUAAAAAAAUCUAUUUUUAAAAAAAAUCUAUUUUUUAUCUUUAUUUAUCGCUUCGUAAAAGACGUGAAUAAAUUUUUAGUGAAUUUUUAAUUAAUUGAUACAAAUCAAAAGCGGAUAGUAGUCUCUCGGCUUUCGCUUUAAUUUUUUUUUUUUUUUUUUUUUUUUUGUGUGUUGAUCGAAUCGAGUUCGGAACAAAUUAAUUUUUUCCUUAUUUUUGAUUCACACCGACCCCGCACCCAGGGCGAAUCGGGCCGGAGCUCCAAUUACUACCCGGAUCCAUUUACAUCCCUAUAUCCUAUUAUAAAAAAUAACGGGGAUAAAGUCCCCGGAGUAGUAGCCGUUGCCCGUUCGUUUCCGCUCCUUCCCAAAACAUUCGCGCGAUGCUCCUCCUCCUCUCCAAUUCCUCCUCCCCUCUCUUCCACUGCGCGAAUCCCCGCCCCUCUCCUCCGAAACCCUACAUGCGAAUCCACUCCCCUCUCCACUCGCCCCGCCCUCGUUCUCCCACCCCUCGAACCCACCUCUCCGCCGCGCUCCACCCCGUCGCCCUCCCCGACCAGGGCGGCGCCGAGGAGGAGCUCGCCCCGCCCUCGGCGGCGGCGGUGGCCGCCGCAGUCCGCCGCGCGUCGGCGGCGUCGCCUGUGGAGUUCACGCGGCGCCGCGUGGAGGAGAAGGAGGGGGAGGAGGGCGGCGGGGUCGUCAUGCCAAGCCCCGAUUUCCGGCGCCUCUGCGUCGAGCAGCUGCAGCUGUUCCGGAUGGUCGUCCAUCGGGAUGCUGCGUUGUCGGUAGGUUUGGAUUCAUUUCGAUUUGGGUUCUUUGGCAGUGAAUUAUUAGCUUGUGUUAAUCUGUUUCUGUAGGAAAGUUUCGAUUUUGUUUGGCGAAAAAGGCAUGCUUUGGAUUGUGUAUGUUGUAUUCGACAAGGUUCUGUUUGAUUAGUGCUGUUAUGAGAGGCACCAUAUAUUGAAAUUCCCCUAAUUAACCUCUCUUUGCAGCGGAAUUAGAAGCUUCAAGUUGCAGCUUCUGUUAUUAGGCCUUGAAAUCUCCAUUUUGCUUCCCAUCGUAGUAGAAUCUCUACAUGUAAGUACUAUGUUUAACAUAAUAGCAGUACAGUGCCUGAGAGUUAAAUCCAUGCUGUCGAGACCUAUGAUGAUGCUUUGCCAUAUCUUUGUAGCGUUGACUAUAUAUUUGAUCUGUUAUACCUACUAUUGGCCAACAAAUUUGGAACCAGUGGCAAUUUUCAUGACACUUAUCCAUGCUGAUAAUAUGUUGUUACUCGUGGUUUGACGAAUUCUUCGUCCGCUCUUAGGUGAUACUUUUUUAAUGUCCAUUUUGCAGGUCUACGUUAGGCCAGCAGGCAGUUAUGUUAUGGAUCAGUUAGAACUGCGUCAAGUUGCUAAUUUCCCGGGAAUUGAUGUUCCUGAGAUUUCGCAGUGUAUCUUAUUAGUUGCCAAUUUUGCUAUACCUGCUGGGCUACGUGCGGCUGAAGCUGCAUUGCUGAAGCAGCAAGUGUGGUGUUCAAGUAAACUUACAUUUGCGGCAGAUAAUAAAGACACUUAUCUCAUGUUCUGAUAAAGGUCUUAUUUUUGUAUGUUUAUGAAUUAUAGGUGGACUUUAUACCUGAAUCUAGAUCUUUCGUUCUUCCAAUGGUGAAACAUCCAUUUCUUGUGGGCUUCUUAGUUGUGGAGCUUCCAAAAUUGGAACUGGCUACAAAUAUGGAUGCACUUGGUACUGAAGAACAGUUACUGUAUAACCCUCCUAAAAAUAGAUCAUAUGAUUUGCCUUCACGUUCCUAUGGAAAAUUGUGGGAAAUUCAGCCUUCUGGAGAAGAUUUGCAGAAAGCUUAUGUUCAGUUUACUAAUGAGCAGAGAUCAAGAGCUAUUAUGAUUUCUAAUUCUUUGGCCAUGGCAUACGUCAUGGAUCAGGUACUUCAGAAUUAGCCUUUUGUUCAUUUUACUUUCAAAUUCCAUGCGAUAACAUAUCCACACCUUGACUAACUUUUCCCAGUAGGCUUUCUUUUAUUUUUCCUUAUACAUAAACUUGUAAAAGUUGUAAGUUUGAGUAUGCAAAAACCGAUUACACGUGAUAAUGAAUAAUAUAAUGAUGUUUAGACAUUUACAUUUUUAGAUUGAUUUGGUAAAUUCCAGUUCUGCUGCUGGAAGAUGCCACUUCUCAGCUGAUGCUGGUAUCUAUUAUUCUUCUCGACUGAUUAUAGUUGGUGAAUUUCAUAUAUGAUUUUUCUUAACUAAAGCAUAUCAGACUUUCAAUAUGCAUAUUCUCUUGUUGACAAGUAGAAAAGUCAUCACUUCUUCAGCGACACUAUUUUUAUGUAUAGAAGAUUUAAGGAUAGUUCCGUUGGUUGCAUCAACUUAAACGCUUAAUGUCAUAUCAAUAAAUUCAGAUACUAUGGGUUUCAACUAUUAAUGAUUCAUCUCUUGACAUAUCCAAACAUACAAAGAUAACUCUUUGGUUUCUGUUUUUCGUUCAUUUCAGAAAGCAUUGUUGCUCCAACAAACAUCCUGGCAAAAUAAUGUCAGAAUGAGUCAUUUAGUAGAACAAGUAAGUCUUUCGUCUGUUAUUGUGUAUAUAUGUAUUUGGUACUGUACUGAUCAAAAUCUUAUGCUGUUGAACUUUCUGUCAGAUUCGUGGACCUCUUGCCAGCAUAAGAGCUCUUGCAAAAAUGUUGUCUCUUCAUCUGAAGAGAACCGAGGUGUGCAUAUUUAUGAUGACAUAAGAAGCUACAGACUAUUGAGAAUCUAUGACUGUGGGAAGGUAAUAUCUUCAUUUUAUCACAGAUUCCUUACGAUAUCAUCGAAGACAUACUCAUCCAAGGCGAUCAUAUGAAAGAUGCCUUGCAACAAAUUCAGGAUGUAGUCUAUCUCACCAAGGUAACACUCAGACCCAUUUCUUUAUAUUGAGUCAUAAUAAUUUGGGAGAUGCAAUUUUUGUUUAAGUAUAACCCAUCAGUCCCAUCCUUAAAUCAUGAACUCCAUUUACAUAUUGAACCUGAAUAAAUUUGUGGACAGCAAUGUUAUUGAACUCGAGGGUAACUGUGACAACAGCAUUAACUGUGGCAGUACAAUAACAUGCAAUGAAGGGCUACAAUAAACUCAUAACAUCAUUCUUUUUGAGAGUAAUGUGAUUCUGAGUAUGCAUAUCUCUUCCUGUGAUCAGUAAACUUUGCCAGGCUUUUGGAAAUGUAACUGGUGAGAGACCUUGUUACACUUGUAGGUUUCUUCAAAAGCUUCUUUUGAUAACCAAGUUGAAUCAUCAUUCACAUUCACUGAUCACCAAGAGAUUCUUUCUUAUGAUAACCAAGUUGAAUCAUCAUUCACAUUCACUGAUCACCAAGAGAUUCUUUCUUGCCUAGUUCCCUCAAAAAAUUACCCCUACCAAAUCCACCCCACUCCCCAUCCCAACACCCCGCCACCCGCCCCCCUGUGACACACACACACUCUUCUCCUCCUUUUUUAUUUUUUUUUUGCCAUAUACGGGUAAAAUGUUGUCAUUUUCUCAGUGUGGAGAUAUCUUGUUGUGCAACUUUUUUCAAGAUCACGUAUUGCUUCUUGUUCUUCAUAACAUGGCACGUUCAGUUUGUUUUAUGGAUUUUUCCAGGCUAACAUAGUACGUUGCAAUGAUGAAACACUAAAGAAGAAGCACAGUUCAGCAAAUGGUCAGUUAAAACCUUACCGAUCUUUGCCAUCGGAGAAUAGCUCAGAAGAUGUUGAAAACCUUGGUGUACAGAAGGUGGAUUCAUUACUGCCGCUAGUCUCAGAUAGAAAGGACACCGAGAUGCCUAUGCCACCACUUUGGCUUAUACCUCUUCAACAAUAUAAUACUAGGUAAUAUUUGGCACCAAAUAAAUGGCUGUUGCCAUUAAUUUAGAUCCCAAAUUUCCACAUUAAUUUCACUGGUUUGAUUUGGCAUCAUAGCUUUUGAUUUAUAAGUCUCCUCAUUUUGUGGUUUGACCUAGAAUGGGAUGUGUAACACCAAAUAUAUUUGUUGGAGAAAUUUCAUUCAGAUCCUUGACAUUUCAGGCAAUUUUAAGAAAGUCUGUGACUUCUAUCUUUUCGUAUAAAUCCCUCAUGAAGUCUUUAUUUCAUAAAAGUCUCUAACGAGCAUCUUUUAGCUAAAUCUAAGGCAAUUUCUUAUUUCCUUCUACAGUAUUAUGUUUCUCGUAGUGAAGAAAAUUGUCCAUCUGAUGAAGUGAUGUUGGAAAAGAGGGCUGUAGUUUGCGUUUUCAUUUGAUAAAGGAGACAGGUGAGCAAAAAAGUGAAUUACUGUUGGGCGGGGAGUGACGAUUGGUUUUGUGCUGGUUCACUUCAUUAUAGUUCAUUCUUCAUCUUUUAGCAUGCACACCCCUAUCACUCGAAAUAUCAAGACUUGGUUUUAUAUGAAAAAUUUAUAAUCCUAUGAGUCAAAUGAACUUAUUAUAACAACUAUUAAAUAUAUGUAAAACCUUAAAAAUAGCACCAAUUAUAUCCACGAAUACCAAGAUACAUGUAAGUCUUCAGGUAAAAAGAUCUUAUAAUAUGAAAGCAACCCAUUGGUUUUAGUUAUUGGCUGUAUUGUACUAUUUCUAAAUUCAUCGUGUCUGAUUUGUUCCAUUAAGGGUAUUCUGAAUUACCCUGAAAAUACUGGCACAAUUAUUCCUAGGUAUCACAUAUCAUUUUCCUCUGUUGUCUUUAUGUCAGGCAGACCAUGCGAUGUCUCAGAUGUGUUAAAGGAUUUGGUCGAAGCUGCUGCACCACUUGUUAAUAAGCAGCAACGCUCACUAGAACUCGGUGGAAUGUCUCAUCCUCUCCUAGUUGCUGUUGAAGAAUCUUCUCUGAGACAGGCACUCAGUAAUCUCAUAGAAGGCGCUCUUCUGCGGACUCACAUUGGUGGCAAAGUUCAAAUAUAUGCAGGUGGAGCACCUGGUGGCGGAGCACUUAUUGUCAUUGAUGAUGAUGGGCCUGACAUGCAAUACAUGGUAACUACAAAAUCGCUUGUUUUCUUCUUUUCUUCAAUUUUAGGUAUUUUCUUUGAAUUUCUGUUCCACGAUAGCAGGCAAUAAGUAGCUACUCAUCAGCUUCUAAAUGUAUUCCGAAUAGCAACAAUACCGUCCCAAAAUUUUCCUUUUGUUUUCCUUUAUAUUCAGCAGCAAAGUGAUAACAAGCUCUAUAUGUUCUGGGUUUUGUUGUAGAUGAUAACUCUGAAAAAUGGAUUAUGUAGGACUCGACACAUUGCGUGAAGUAAAAUGCUAGGACCAGAACAUAUAGAAGUCGAAUAAACGAGUUGCUGGAUUAACUUUAAUCUUGAGAUGGCUGAACUCUCUCUCUCUCUCUCUCUCUUUGUUAUGUGUUACAUUAUCUAUCAUUUGCUUGCCAUUUUUGUUUAAGAUUCAUAGCAAGCAUCAGUAUUGCUGGUUAGCUUUUCUCAGUAUGUUCGUAUUACCAUUUAGCUGACCACUUGACAUGCUUAUGUUUGUAAGCUGUUUGAUCAUGACCUAGAUAAAAAUAGAAGUUCGUCAACCUGUGCAUUUGCUUUCAUCCCAUUUACUCUCAUGUAGUUGCCACAUUGUGUUUUCAGACCCAGAUGCGUGCACUCACUCCGUUCGGAGUAGACCUUUUUGCGGAUGGUAUGCUGGAGGACAACAUGACGUGGAACUUCAUCGCAGGUUUGACUGUAGCUCGCGAGAUUCUGGAGAGCUUCGGCUGUGUCGUUCGCGUCGUCUCGCCCUGCAAGCCCAAUGCUACCAUCGGUACGGGAGGGACGCAUGUCGAACUAUGGUUGCCCUCUGUGCAGUCCGACUCGGCCCACCAGCAAGCGCAAGAAGCGUAGGUAAAUUUAUCUGUUUUUUCGGGUACUUACUGUUGUAAUCUGUAAGCUUCUUGUUUGUUCAUUCAAUAGUAUGUACAUAGUGUUGGCGGAUGAUUAGCAGUGGUGUGGACAAUUUAAAAGUUUGGUAACAAUAUAAUCAGGUUAUAAUUGACUUAUAUGAAGAUUGUUUAUGUAUAAUCAUUGUUUAAUCAUGCUCACAUUGUUAAUCCGUGAUACUUUUGAGAUCUCAUCCACUGUUUAUUCAUGCUCACGUUGUUUUCUUUUUAAAAUUCAUUUUUAUACGCUUUACAUUUCAUCUUUUGUUUGUGUAAUAUUCGUGCCUUCAUUUAUUUUGAUACUUGAUAUUCAGGCUUUAAGUUGCUACAAUUAAUCAAAUUAUCGUAUUGUUAAGGACGCAAGCUACAACAUGGAUGGAUCCUCUCGAAAUCAAAAUUUAGUCUUGUAAUAGAACGGAGGCUAAAUUGCACUUUUGAUCUUCAAACUACGAGAUGUGUGAUGCUUUAAUUCUCAAACUUUAAUUUGCUGUAAAAUUUCAAUUCAAACUUUGUAGAUGAUCGCAAUUAAGUCUCCCGAUGUAAUUUAGUUGAUUGAAUGAUGAUAUAUUGUUGAUGCGAUAAUGUUGUGAUAUUUUAGUCAUUUUUAUGUCGUCUGUCAUAAUACUAGUAUAUUAAUGUCAUGUUGACGGCAUAUUACUAUUUGAUCAACUAAAUUGUACUGUAAAAAUUGAUUACAAUAAUCUAAAAACUUCAACUCAAAAUUUACGACAAAUUAAAGUUCGAGGAUCGAAGUAUAUCGCACCUCACUGCUUGACGACCAAAAAUGCAAUGUAACCCAAAAUAGAAUAAUUUUUACCAAUUUUACUUCCCAAAACAUAAAUGUCGCAGCUGUGAUUAAUUUUACAGUCAAGUACAAAUUCUGAGUUUAUUAUUUCUCGAUCUAAAACCGUCUAAAAGGCUUGAAUAUCAAUUAUUAUUUUUAAAAAAAUUCUAUGAUUAUUUAAGUUACCGACCAUUUAACGAGACAAAACAUUAAAAAGAAAACCUCGUUUGACGUAACGCAUGAGAAAUUAUUAAUGAAGCAAAUUAAUGCAAAAAUGAAUCUCCCCUUCAACUCCUUAAUUAGUGCUUUGACUUUUCUCGCACUGUCCAUUGUUAAAGUCAAACUAAAGGAAAUCAAAUAGUAAACACUAACUAACUAACAAUCUCAAAAGCACGUGCUGAUAGAAAGGACAUACCCAUCAAACUUAAAGAGCUCAAUCACAGUGCUCACAGGCUUCAACAUGACUCAAUCCAUCGGAACGUUAGGUUUAUUGUUGGGCUUCGUGCCAUUAGGUUUUUCGUGGACCGCAAUCCUACUCAACUUAUUACACUCACCCAACUCAACUUAUUAGUCUUCCGAGCCUAUUGUUUCAGGGGUAGAAAGUUGAAGCUAUUUUAACCAAAUAAUAAAUAGCCAACACUUGGAACCUUUGAUAUUAACCAUCAACCGACCGUCCCUAGAGCAAGUGGCAAAGGGCUUGGUGGUUGGUACCCGAGAUCCAAGUUCGAAUCCUAGUUGAUUCAUAUUUCCAACUAAGUUUAUUUCUAAAUGAAAUAAACAAAGCGGGUAGCGUGCUACCUAUCUCUCAACAAAAAAAUAAAUAGCCAACACUUGAAACCUUUGAUACUAACCAUCAAGCUUAUAUUGUAUGUAUCAUUGGUUGAGAUAUAUUCUUUGCAGUUCAACGGAAAAAUCGAAACGGCCCUAAGUCGAGUGAGAAAAUGGUUCUUGGAUAAUAAAUAAACUAGCAUAUAUAUAUACAUAUUUGGAGAAUUUACGAGGUGGGAAUGGGUACGAUAAAGGGUUAAAAAAAAAAAUAAAUAAAAAUGAAAUGAUUAUUUUAUUUUAUUAUAAAAAUAUAGUAAAAAAACUUUUGAUUGAAUAUUAAUAUUCCUAUAAUCCUAUUCCCGUAAUCAUCUGAUGAUGGGUUUCUGAAUCUGACCUUCUCACCCUCGGUUUUAGCCUCAAAACCCGCGAGAGUGAACGGCAUGAUCACGCCAAACCUUUAAUUUCCAAACUAUUCGCUGCACCCGGUUCACCACGCCAUCUCAUGCACAGUAAUCAAAAUAUUGUUUCUGUACAAAGCAAUGCUAUUCGCACGUUCCAAAAUUAUAUACACAUCUCAUACCCACUUUAUUGUAAGACCAUUGUUGAUAUUCAAUUUAUCAUAUAAAUUUUUUUUAUUUUUACUAAAAAUAAUUUAAAUUUUUAUCAACCCUACAAUUAGUUUUACAAACGAGGCAGAUCUGGGGGCGGGAGGGUUCUCCCACUUUCCGCUCUAUUUCUUGUGAGAGGAGGGCGGGUUAUUUUUUAUUUUAUUUUUGGCUCUUACUUACCGCUCCAUUCGAGGUGAAUCGAGGCAGCAGCGGAUUUUUGACAGAUUUUUGACGAAUCGAGACAGAUUGAAAGAAGAAAAAGAUCUUUCGUCACCCGCUCUAUUUACUCAAUGUAUCAGAGUGAAUUCGGAAUGGAUUAUAUUUUUUUAUAUUUUUCGUUCCCACUUACCGUCCCAUUCGGAACGAUCGAGACGAGAGCUCCACCAACUCGGAUCCAUUUGCAUCCUUAUUAUAGUAGAAGGUGUAAGAUCUACACUCUUUUUUUUUUUUUAAUGUAUAAGGAGCUUUUUUUCUUUUGUAAAAGAUAUUCUACAUAAGAUUUCUUAUCCGCUUUAUACAUAAAAAAUAAAGUUGGGAAAAAUAUCAAAAAUCACAAAUAAAAACAAACCUUUCUAAGUUUCUAAAUGAGAUGAUGAUGACAUUUGAAAUUCAGUGUUACUAUUUAUUAUUGAUUAUACAGAGUAUCAGUGGGGUAAAAAAAAGAGUUUAUUAGAUGCUUACAGAGGCCGAGGUAGAAAUGAAAAGACGUAAACUUCAAUUUGAUCUACUGUUGUUUAGCUUAUUUUUAUUUUAUCAUUUUAUAGUUCAAAAAAUUAUACUUAAUUAUCUUAUAAUUUUAUUUUUAUUUAUAUCAAAAAUCAACUAUUAAGCAGGAUUACAAACUAAAAUUUUCUAAUAACUAAUUUUUUAAUCACAAAACAACAAAAUAAAAAUGAGCUAAAUAAAAAUGAGCUAAACCGCACAGUUUUUAAGUGCUUCAACAUUUUAAACUGUAGAAUAACUAAAAAAAUAAGCAAAACUACAGUAGGAUAAAUUAAAAUUUAUUUUAAAAAAGGGCUAAGUUAAAACUUACACUUUGUCCUCUUAAAAAAUAAAAAAAAUAAAAAUUGUUCUUUGAUCUCCGCCGUCAGUGUUUCAUUAGGAUUCCGUUUAUAUCUUAUUUUUUAUACCCAAAGUACUCUUAAAACUCUCAUCCUUUCUCAUCCUCGGCUGCGCCGCCUCUCUCGCCGCCGCACCGCCUCCCCCUCCGCCGCCUCGCCCUCGACCAUCUCUCUGUCCAUGCCUGCACACACGCCUCCGCCGCCUCCCCCUUGCCCUCACCCACCUCUCUGUUCACGCUCACCCCGAAAAAGAUAAGAGGUAAUUUGAUUAUUUUGUCACAGUGUAUUUUCUUAUGAAUAAUUUUUAUUUUUAAAAUAAAUAAAAUAUAAAUUUUUAAAUGAAAGAGAGAGAAAAUAAAAAAAAUAUUGAUAGAAACAUUAUUUUCUGUAAUUUAGCCAUAAAAAAUAAGGGAAAUAAAUUGAUGUUGCAUAUGAAUAUAAAAGAGCAGUGCAAAGUUUUUUUUUUUUGAGAGAAAGGCAGCAUGCUACCUAUUUCGUUUAUUUCAUUUAGAAAAUAACUUAGCUGGAAAUGUAAAUCAACUAGGAUUCGAAUUUAGGUGUCAGAUAUCAAUCACUAAGUCUUUUUGCCACUUGCGCUAGGGACGAUCGGUAGCAGUGCAAAGUUGAAUACAAUGUGAAAGUAUAUUAAAAGCUACAAUUUGUAGCCUCUUUAAUACUAAUUAAUAUAUAUACUAUUCUAUGACAAGUUGACGCUGCGUUCUUAAGAUUCGUACAACGACGGAAAAGUCAACGAAAAAACCACAAGGACUGCAUCAGAAGACGUGGAAAUAUGAAUUAAGCAUGAGCAAUAAUUAAUCCUAAGUCUAUAACACAGGGGUUUAAAAAUUUUCAUGUAAAAUCCAACGUUCCUAAAGCAAGUGAUAUAGCGUUUAGUUCAGUGGUUGAUAUUCGAAGUUUUAAAUUCGAAUUCUACUUAAUUCAUAUUUUCAGCUAAGUUUAUUUUAAAAGUCUCCUUUUGGUAGAAUUGUGUUGCUAUUCCGUAAAUUUCUUAUAAUUUAUAUCAUAAAUGCCAUUAAAAAUAACUGAAAUAUAUUUAAAAAUUAUUUUUUUAUAGAAUAAGUAAGGAUAAUUUUAUUAUUUUGCUCUCUUAAUUAAUAUUGUAACUCUCUAAAAACAUUUCUGAAAUUUAAAAGAACAAAAUAGAGAUUUUUGAAAUUUAAAAGAGAACUAUAUAUGUUGUGAGUGUACAUUGUGGGCAUCCAUAUUUAAGAGAGACCGUUGAUUUCCUAUUAGAUGAUUUGUUUUAAAAAAAAACAUAUAAUAUUAGAGUCGAAUUUAAGCCUCUUCAGUUCCAAAAGAAGAAAAAAGAAAAUGUAAGCUCAAAUCCCACUUAAGUCAUUGUAUGACCAUUCAUCAAAAAGGAUGUUUAAAAGAAUAUUUAAAGUACAAGUGCUUACGUUGCACGAAAUUUUAUGAACGAAAAAUUAAAAAUAAAAAAAAAUUAUAUAAUAAGACCAAGGGUAAAAACAAAACUCGGGAACUGUGUAGCAAAUAUCUGAAAACUAAAGGAGCUCUGUGUAAAUUUCCGUGUGCUUCAAUAUUGAGAGGAGAAGCACAGCUUCAUUGUCUUGAAUCAGUUUUCCCUUUUAAAUUCAGGGUAAGAGUUUGUUGAAUAUAUAUAUUUAUAUAUUUAUAAAUGUCAUUUUCUAGCCGUUUUGAUCGAUUUUUAAGGACUAAUAAUUGUUUCACAUAGUAUCAAAAUAUAAGAGUUCUUAAGUUCGAUUCUCACUAAACUCAUCUCUUGUUUUGUUAUAAAAAAACACUUCCAUCUCUUAGUUCGGUGCCAACUAUUAUAUCUUUAGCAAACUAAACAGAUUUUUUAUUAUCUUUUCUCACAUUUUGUACAAUCAAUAUUUGAUUGUGACAGUUACAGUACUAUCACUUUUUUCACUUUGAUAAAUUACCCCUCAUGUGGUUAGUUACAAUUGCAUUGGAAAUUAUACAUCCAAUAGAAUUAUUAAAUUUUUAUUCUUCUAUUAGUUCAUACUAGCUAUAUCUGAAUCUACUGCCUAUGUUGUGUUUGUAUGGCAAAGAACAACUAGUUAUUUGAGCUGGAAAACGUUUGUUUUUAUCUUAAUUUAUGUGUACAUAUUAUGUCAUUUGUGUUAUUUCAGGGAUUGGAAUCUAACUGUGUUACUUGUUACAAAGACCAGCCAUUUUUAUGAAAAUAUUUGCAAUUAUGAACUCUUCGAACAACGCGGAACAGAACCUUGUUGCAAGAAUCUGUCUCUUUUAGUGAAUCUUAGAUAUCUAAGAUCAUGGCAAAGCUCGAAAAUAUUUUACAAGGGUAUGUAUGUUUUCUUUCUCAUUUGAUGCCCAUGUUCUUGCAUAUGCUUUUCUUUCAUUUUUCUUUGCUGUAAGGUGAUAUGUUCUUCAAUGAAUUGGUUACUCACAGUGAAUUUCUCGGAAAACGAAAUGGAAGUGUGAGGCUUGUUAUAACAGCAGUAACUGGAAUUAUAUUUGGUCUUCUGAUAGGAGCUUCUUUACCUGCUAACACAAUACAGGUAUGAAAUUAACAUCUUUAGUGCUUGUAUAUGUUUGUUGCGCUACGAGAGAGCGAAUAACAUAUAUGCUUUCCGAAUUUGGCAGAUCCAGUUCCCAUCUAGCAUUUUUUCAUACAAUGAAGACAGGAAUUCUAGUCUCAAAACUCCAGUAUUACUGAAUGAUACUUCUGCUAAAGAUCACAAUACGAAUACUACUAAACUGGGUUUAAAUUAUACUCUAGAGGUACAUUUUCGACCGAAGCAUGUGGUUUCAUCUCUCCAAAUGAAGUUUGUUGUGUUGUUGACAUUGAUGAACGAUAAUUUUUGUCCAUCGUUUAUUUAUUUGAGCUUACUUCAGUAUUAUACAGCAUAAUCUUAUGGCACAUUAUUGAAUUAGAUACAGCAUAAAAUUACAAAAUGAUUAUUGCACUUGUUUCUUAAUCCGAAAGUGUGCCAAUUGAAUGUGGUUAUGUGGAUGGUUCUCUAUCUAGUUAUAUACCGAUUUCAUCGGAACAUUCGUAACAUCAGAUUUCUGUGUUUUAACUGUCGUAAAAGUCACGAGAUAACAACUAUGAGAUGACUAUUGCGUACUAUGUGCAGAGAUAAAUCAACUUUUUUGUGUGCUCAUUGACUUCAAUCAUGUCGAAAAGUAUUGUUGUACGAUAAAUUUUGGUAUUUAAUCAUAAAGGGGAUGAUCAUACAACUGAGAUUAACUUCUUUAUGAUGCUUGUAGAAAUAUGCUCCAACAAAUCCUAAAGGUGCAGAAACACUACCACCGGGAAUCGUUGUUUCAGAGUCGGAUUUAUAUCAGCAUAGGUUGUGGGGACACCCAAGUGAGGUAUGUUACAGCUACUGGAGUUUCAUUGUUAGUUCAAAAUGAAUGUCCAGAGUUUCUUCUAAAUUGAGGAAUCUUUUCCUCUGCUCAUGUAAUUCUUGUUAGUAGUUACUUUGGUGAAUCGUACCGCCUUAUCAACUGAUUUAUUGUAGUUAUUUGUUGAUAACUUAAUGUGUCCCCUCAUAUUUCAUCUAUUUCUUGAAGUUUCAUCAUGGAAUCGAACGAGCUUCUGAAAACAUCUUCUAAGUUGAGAGAUUUUUCCCUCUCAUUCUUUUGUUUCAGUAAUUCUUCAGAUGCAUCAUAUGCCCUGUAGGUCCAAAUACUUCAAUUUUCAUUGUUCGUGUAAAUGCUCUUGGUUUUCGCUUCACACUACAGCUGUUUCUGUCCAUUACCAAAUAUUAUCUCAACUAAAAGGUUUAGCCUCAAUACUUUGCUAGACGUAAAUCGGUCCAAUCAAUCACGCAUCGCUUCAUUAGUUUGGAUGUAUUACUCUUUUUUCAUGUCAAUGCGCCACUCCAAAUCAAGUCGAUUAUGUUUCUUCUAUGUUGCGUAACGAACUGCUUUUGUGAUAUCCAGGACCUGUCCCUUAAGCAGAAGUAUCUUGUAACUUUUACAGUUGGUUAUAAACAGAGAGAAAAUGUUAAUGCCGCAGUCCAAAAGGUAAAAUUGUCUUCACAAAGAAGAACUGCUGAAAGAUCUUACAUGCCCUCUACUACUUUAGCUGUCUAAGGGGGGGAAAUUUUCCGAAGAUCAUAAAAUUGAAACCGGAAAUACAUGAUUUAUCUUUACUUUAUUAUUUUUACCAAUCUGAAUUUACUUAAUCAUCGCAUGAGUCAGACAUGUUGCAUUUUGUAAUAUGAGGUUUCUGGUAAUCGCGAAUUUCAUAAUGUUUAAGCUCUUGAAUAGAAGCCCUUUGAAGUCACUGUGACUUACUGCUGGAAUUCUGAUACUGCUGCAUGCAGUUUUCUGAAAAUUUUACCAUCCUACUGUUCCAUUAUGACGGAAGAACGAGCGAAUGGGAUGAGUUCGAGUGGUCGAAGCGGGCUAUUCAUGUGAGCACCAGAAAGCAGACGAAAUGGUGAGAUUAAUAAGUUGUUCGUCAGUAACUAAUUAUCGCUGCACGGUCACGUUUUGCUGUUUCUUGAUUUCAGGUGGUAUGCGAAACGAUUCUUGCACCCUGACAUCGUGGCUCCAUACGAGUACAUAUUCGUCUGGGACGAAGAUCUUGCAGUCGAGCAUUUCGAUGCCGAAGAGUAAACCGUCACCUCUAUUCACCUUUUUUUUUUGCUGUCAAUCUUGGUUUUUCGGAUUCAUUUCUGGUAUUGCAGAUACAUUAAGCUGGCGAAAAAGCACGGAUUAGAGAUCUCGCAGCCUGCUUUGGACACGGAAAAGGAGAUAGCAUGGCGAAUGACGCGGAGAAAAGGCGAUGUUGAAGUUCAUAAGUAAGCUUGCUUCUUUUUUUCUGUCGUUUCAAUUUGAUAUUCUAUGCGAGUGAAUGCGCCAGCGCAUGAACUAAUUUACAAAUAAUACUGCAAACAAUCCAUCAUCUGCUAAUCACAUACACUUUGAGUUUUUUUUAAAAAAAAAGCAAGAAAAAGCAAAAGAAAACAUCUUCAGUUCAUUUCAUGUGCUUUAAUAAGAUGAAUGAAUUUUCCUCGUAACAAUGCGAAGAUUAUCUGAUGAUGUCUUUGGCAGAGAAACAGAAGAAAGACCAGACUAUUGCCCUGAUCCUCAUCUUCCACCAUGUGCCGCGUAUUUAUCCGCCUUUACUCUUUUCUUUCCUCUUCUUUUCUAGAUUGCUCACAUUGAGAUGAAGAUAAUUCGACUAACUUCGUAAUUUUAUCAUUCCUUUUGCAGAUUUGUUGAGAUAAUGGCUCCAGUGUUCUCCAGAAAAGCAUGGAGAUGCGUAUGGCAUAUGAUUCAGGUACAUUCACCUCUAAAUUAUAAAUCGUAACUCGAAACUUACAUCUUGAAUUAAAAUGCGCUAUUCUUUGUGUUUCGUAGAAUGACUUGGUUCAUGGAUGGGGCCUUGAUCACAAUCUUAGGAGAUGUGUGCAAGAGGUACUUUGUCCACUAUCUUUUCUCCUAACUUGUUAGGCGAAGUACCGAGUUAUAUAAGUUGUUAUGAUGCUUAUUAUUCUAUGAUCGCAUCUUUUUUUUCUCUUUUUUUCCCCUUUUCUCUACAAUGUUACAGCCCGCUCGCGAGAAAAUAGGAGUCGUCGAUGCUCAGUGGAUUGUUCAUCUUGAAUUUCCUACCCUACGAAAUGAGGUAACAUGAUAGUAAAUUUAUUAGAUAUAGGUAAAAAUAUCAACAUUAUAUUUCUCUUAUUAUAGCUCCCUCAACUUUUCGAUUUUUUGAUUUGAGUUAUUUAUGUAAUUUGAAUCGAAGAUUCUGCUAAAGUUAACGAUUUCAUUUGCUAUUCAGACACUAACUGUUAAUCGAGCCAACAUUUUUCAUCAAGUAAAACGAAAAAAACUGUUAUAUUUAGUCGAAUGAACAUUGAAUUUCGUGAGAUCCUCAAUUUCAUUCGAUUGAGAUGACUUAAAAUCAAAGCAAUCUAAAAUUGAGGAAGUGUCAAUAAAAAGGAGAAGGUUCCAGGGCUUGAUUCAUGUUAGCCUACAGUUGAGGGAGAGUCUCAGUACAUUCUAAUCUUAUGUAUACAUUAUGCUGUCGAAAUCAUCGACAAUUUUACACAAUGGCCACCAACUUUGUGUGUGUGUGUGUAUAUAUAUAUAUAUAUUUCCUAAAUUUACAGGGCCAGGAGCAGAGUGGAAAACCUGCAUGGCAAGGGGUACAAUUCCUGAAAAUUUGUCCUUUCUUUUCAUCUUCUUUCCCAUCAGUAGUUUGAAUUUUGUUUUGAUUUUUAAAUUUGUUGUUGGUGUAUGGCCUUUUCAGGUAGGGGAUCGGUGUGGGGAAGAGUUGGAGAUAUACCAAAAUCGAAUGAAAGAGGCUGAGAAGGAAUAUUAUGAAGAGAUGGGUCUCACACCCGCAAACACGGCUCAUGUUUAGCUUUGCUGUUUCGAUUUAUAAGUAUUUUCGUGCACAUGGUGCAUCUCUAUAUCCUUGCAUCAUUUACCAAUCCAUAAUCUAUCUCAUCUCAUACGUCAAUUUAUUGUAGAUUUUUUUUUUAUUACUUUGAAAAUUUGGUGGUGGACCGAAAGCCGUGGACGAUUGUACAAUACUCUUCCUCUGCCUAAGUGUAAUUUAUACUGAGAACAUGGAAAGCUUUUUUGCAAGAAAUAUCAUUGUUCUUAAAUUUUUCUAGUUUUGCUCUGAUUUCGAUUCAUAUGCUAGCAUUGAAGGCUUUAAACUUUGGGAUCACAGAUUCUAUAUGCAUGUUUUCCUUUACCUUUCUAUAUAUAUACAUAUCCAGUAUUAGCAAUAGGGGGAAUAGGAAAUAAUAGUGUUUUUAGUAAAAUGAUUUCCGAUUCAACAGCUUAAUAAAAAAUGGUCACCAUGUUUUUUAUGAAGCCUCAUGCAUGUGGUGAUAAAAAUUAUCACUAUCUAGAGCAGUUGGUUUAUUACCAGAAAGAUUUUCUCUUUAAUACGAUUACUUUAUAAACUUGAUUUGACAAGGUGAAUUGCACCACUAGUCCCUGAACUUGGGAGAUACAGUUUGAUUUGGGGAUUUGAAUAUUCCAGAGAAGAAUUUGAAUUUUAGAUAUUCUUGCCUCUUAAUUUCUUGAAACUUAUAGAAUUAGUUGGAAUGGAACCCUGUGACGGUUUCUGCAGUAAAGCAACAUCUUUCAUAUAUAGUUCCAGUAACAAUACCUUAUGGUUUAUUAUAUUUUGCGGGACAUUAGAAAUAUCUAACAUAAUCUCCAUUUAUUCUCUGACAAGCACCGCAGAAUAUAAAAAAAAUUCCUCCUCUAUUUGUCAAGCAGGGAUACUCUAGCCAAAGGCUCUGUUUGGAAUUGCGGAGAGAAUGUAUAAUGACAAAGUACGAUAAAACAAAAAAUCAUAUUUGUUUCUGCACACAAUAUGGAAUUCCGCAUAUAGCAAUGAGUCAAUUUCAAUAUAUUUCCUGCAAUCACAUCGAAAAACAUAUAAAUUUAUUCCUAUAUACUUCCGUUCCAACUUUAUUUUAUCUAUUAACAGUUAUAUGGGGCUCAAUACCAAACGGGCCUUAUUAGACUUCUAUCUAUCUAUCUAUUCAAGGAGAGGUCAAAUAUUGUGUGAAUAGUUAUAGAAAUGUGGGUAGUGCUAUUACGAGUAAUUCUAUGUCCACACAGUUUACAUGCAAAUUAUCAGAAUGGAUGGAACAGAAUAGUCGAAUUUGUUGCAACAAAUUCGUAAUUGCAUUGUUAGGAAGUUCUCAGCCAGCUGAGACCCACAUGGGGCGGAGGAGGAAGUUCUCGCACCAUGCCCUGCAUAAGUGUCUGUAGUUCUCUUCUGUCCGAGCACAAACAGGUUUACUUCGCAGGUGUCCAGUUCUCAAUCUAUUACGACUGCACAACUGCAGUAGCUAAAACUUUGAUCAGCAAUCGUACGCUGAAAUUCGUUCUCUAUCUUGGCGAUACCGACAGGCUACAAGCUAUCAAAGGUGUGCAAAUAUCUAGAUAGUUUCGCGAAGACAUUGGAUUGCCCUUGGAUCCAGUACUGACCACAUAUCAGACAAAUCACCAUGUCUUGCAGCAAAACUUCCUAAAAGUCCAUGAACUCAAACCUUCGGGUGCAGACACUACAAUGAGUAAGUCCACAUACCCUAAUUUUAAGUAAUUUUUCACACAAUUUUCGUUUUCGAUUUGUUCUUCAACUUCGCAAAUCUUUACGAACCAGAAAUGAUUGAACACUUCAGAUAAUCAGAACCAUUUUUGUUCCUUGAGAUAAGAAACAGGUGUGUCAACUCAUAGCUAUAGAUACAUCAUCCAAACAAGUACAAGCUACAAACACAAUGUUGUUUCGAAAACUAUUCAUGCAGAUCAGAGCAACAUAAUCUCAGCAAAGAAUUAAUCUGAUAAAGAGGCCAUGAGAGAAUGAGGACUCCCCCAAAUCGGCAGCUCGAUGAGCGACUCCGCCAAGCUCUCUUCGCGCUUCUUGCACAGCGAUUCCGCGUAGUCGCAGACCUCCGACAGCUUCCGGAGAAUCGCUUCUUGCGCCUCCACCUGCGAAUCCCCAUCCAAUUCAGCCUAAAAUCCAAAACCCUAACCCUAGCAAGUACUAUUCGGGUGAUCGAUCGAGCGUCUAUCUACCUGAGAGAGGAGAUCGUCUACGAGGAGGCGGCGGGCUCCUGCCUCCUCCGCCGCCUCCGGAGGAGGAGGAGGCGGUGGAAGAGGAGAGGGGGAGGGAGGAGCGGCGGGGGAGGAGAGGCGGAGGAGGGCGGAGGCGAGGGACUCCCACUGAUCGAGCUCGUUCCGGUACUUGUCGCGGAGGCCGAGGAGGCAGAGGCGGCGCCGCGCCCUGCGGCGGCGCCGGAGCUCAGCCUCGGCGUCGCCGGGCGGCGCCGGAGGACGAGGGCGGGGGUCGUCGUCGGCGGCGGCGGAGGGGCGGAGGAGGAGGCGGCGGCGGCGGCGGCGCUUGUAGACGAAGCCGUCAUCGUUGCAGAUCUCCCACUCGCCGUCAUCGCUGUCGCCGUCGCCGAGGUAGGAGGCGGAGGUCACCGCCAUUUUUGAAGCUCGGAGGAGUUGUGCGAGUGAGAGAGAGAGAGAGGGAAAGGCGGAGGGCGGGAUUCGAAAUUCAUUAAGCCCUAUAAAAAAAUAUUAUUAUUAUUAUUAUUGCUUUUGUUAAAAAAAAAAAAAAAAGUUACACUUAAAAAUUUGAUAAAAAUGUAUGGAAAGUUGGCAACCCAUCUACCCCGUAAUAGAAAGCCAUUGUAUCUCACUUACACGGCAUUAUCAAUACCAAAUUAAUUAUAUAUUUUUAUUUAAAAAAUAUAUAAUAAAAUUUUUUUAUUAAUUAUGAUGGGACAUAUCAACUCAAAAAAGAAGAGACAUUACGUCGGUAAUUUACCAAAUGCAUUUCAGAUUUUUUCCUUCCGUAAAAUAAUUCUAAAAUGAAUAAAUUGAUGCCUACACAGUACACCUCUAGAUUAGAUUUAAGAUCUAUGCCUCAUCAACCGAAGAACUCUUACAUUUUCUCCAAUUUGUUUUUUUAACUUUAAGUUCAAAAAAUUACUUGUGAAUGCUUAAAAACUUAAAGACGAAAAAUUUAUUACUUUUAUAUAAGUAUACUAGACAAAAAUAAAAAAAAAAUUAUGAACAAAAAUAACCCGCCACUUUCGAUAAAACAAGCGUGCCCAUUAUGCAGUGAUCAUGCAACGCAUCUUCUCUGCAAUUCCAAACGAAGCAUCUGUUGUCCACAACCAUACCCGAGCAAGUGGAUGGGAUCAAGCCCUGGUCGAUACAACGGACCAGGCCGGUCCCAAGCAAUUCGUUUUUUUAGUUGGCCCGGGCCGAAAUUUUCAUAAACGCGAUCCGACCCGACCCGGUCACUACUCACAACCCGAAAUAGAGAGACAAAAACUGGUUAAAUUUUUAUUUUUACUAUUCAAAAGUCGCCGCACCCCUCGCAAGUGGGGUAAAUAUAAAGAACCCUUUUCACAUGUUGUCGAAAAAGGCCGUGGUGAAAUUGCAUGCUUCGUCUCCCGUUGUUUCCUCUAAUAAAAGGUCGCGCAUGGCAAAAGUUUUUUUCCUUUUUUUUUUUUGCAAAAAAAAAGAUAAGUGAAACAGCAUAUAGCCUUUGCAGCCAAUAAAGACCCUGCACGUGCCACCAGAUCCACCGUGUUUCGUGUGCGAGUUUUUACAGCUGCUUCGUUGAUCCAAUAGAUAUUUAUUUUUUUUAAAAAAAAAUAAGGAUAAUAAUAAAAGGUUGCAUCAGUGGUUUAAAAAUUCAUAUAUUUUCUCUUUUUUUCUUUUUUUUUUUUUUUGUUCUUUGGUGAAUGGUGAAACUCAAUGUUGGAAACAAAAUAAUAAAAAAUAGGCAUAACAAAUAGACUAUACAUAGAUAACACUAUGAUGAUAAGAUGGGAUCAAAUCAUUAAAAUUUUUAACAGUAAUACACGGAAUUCAAGAGCUUGAGUUAGGAUGAGGACUCAAGGUGUGACUAUCUGGCUCUUCAGUUAUGAAUCAGGAAAAAGAGAUUGAUUACUAUACUUUAAGCCCUUAUUUGAUUGGGGGUUAAGGGGUGGAAUAACCCCUUAACCCCCAUUUUAUCCCCAAACACCCUAAAAAAUGAGUGGGAUUAGCUAAUCCCACCUCAAUUAAAUUAUCCCGGAUUAGCUAAUCCCACCUAACCCCACCAAACUCCAACCAACACUAUUUUCUAUUCAUAAUAACCCACCAUCUUUCUUAUUACACGUAGGCCAACCAAUCAUUAUCCUUCUUUAUCAAUCAUUAUCUUUUUAUCCCAUCUACUCCAACCAAACACUAUUUUUUAUUAUUCUAGACUAACUCCAACCCCCAACCAAAUACAAAAAAAUUUUAACCCUAUUUUAACCCUGAACUUAACUCUAUCCCUGGAAUAGCUACUUUUUUCUUAACCCCGAACCAAACGGAGGCUAAGUAUAUAAGUAUAGAUUUUUUUGUACUUAUAAAUUUUUGACAAUCAGAUCUAUCUCUCUGACCAUUUUCAUCCGUUAGAUUAUAUUAUUUAACCAACCACCCACUCAACACUAAGAAAACCAUAUCAUCGGGGAUCACUAUCAACCCAACUGCACAUUCCUUCAUCCAAUAGUCGAAAAUUUAUAAGUACAAAGUUGCCUAGCUAUACUCAUAAGAGUAUGGUAACUCUACUCUAGAAAAAAAAAAAAGAAAAAGAAAGAAAAACUCUUUUAAAUGCUUUUUUUUUCUGUUCCUCAAUUAAAACAGUGCCUUAUCUUUGUUUUAAGCAACAAAAUUAAUCAUAUUAGAAAUCAUAAGUUGUGAAUAUUACAUAAUAAAUAAAGUGUGUGUAUACCCACACAAAAAAUAUAUAUAGAGAGAGAGAGAGUAUGUCUCCAGUACUUUCACAAGUACUGAGGCUUCCGUACUAAUAAAUUAUUUUCGAUGAUAAGAUAUAUGAUUCGAUAACCGGCUCUAUUAGGUAUAAUCUAUCUUAUUAGAACUAUCUAGAAAUCAAAUUUUAUAAUCUUUUUACAUUAUUUACCAAGUGAUCAAAAAGUUUUAAAAUUGACUAUUUUAACCGUCGAUGUGGCAUUUUUUAAGUUCAACAGUGUAAAAUAAUUCAAAUUAUAUGAAAUUUUAAUAGAAAAUUUUAUUUAAUAUCAAUAACAAGAUCAAUACUUGUGAUUUAAAAUUUGAGUCUUUUAUCACUGUUUUUUAUGAGAUUUUUAUUUUCAACCGUUCAUUUUGAGGCUACUCGUUUACUAGACAAAUAAAGUCACAAUUUGCAUGGUCGCAAUUUGGUUUCUAGAUAAUUCCAAUAGCUUAAAUCAUGUCUAACGGAACCGAUCGUCGAAUCGAAUGUUCCAUCAUUAGAAACAAUUUAUAAAUAUGAAAGCCUCCGUAUUUUUUAAAGGAUAGAAGUCUAACUUUAUAUAUACUAGUGAAAACCCGCGCUUCGCUGCGGAUAAAUAGUUUGAUAAACAGUAAGCAUAACUCAGCAUUAAGUUGUUUGAUAAACAUACAUCUGAUGGAAAUAUAAUUAAUUAACAGUACACUAAAGUAGAGUGCGGAUAAAUAGUUUGACAAACAUACAGUAGUGCAGCAUAAAUACAACAUUAAGCAUAACUCAACAUUAAGCAGUUUGAUAAACAUACAGUAGUGUAAUCAAAACACAGCAUUAAGCGUAACUCAGAUGGAAAUAUAAGAAGCCAGUAUAUAGGCACAGGCAGAGGGGUUGCAACCAAUCAAAUUGCUCACCUUACACUGUAGAGAAACAGAGAGGUUCGUACAGCUAUUUUUUUGGGGCAAAUAGUACAUGCUAUUUAUAGGCUCAGAAACACAGGAUAUCUUCAGGAUAUUUUUUCUACGAAGCUGGAACAAUGAUUUUUUGCAAAUACAAAAGCAGACAUGAUGAUGACAGAAUAGAUUUCAGGAUAUCUUCUCAUUUAUUCUAAAAAUCUCAGAAUAUCUUUAGAAUUAUUUUUUAAAAGAAAGCUUCUGGCAAUAGGGAAUAAAGAAAUGCGAAGUAAAAUCUCAGGAGAUCUGAUGAGAGAGGAGAUGAGAGAGGAUUACCUGUAGGGAUUACCUGUAGAGGCCAGAUUAUAGGGAUAGGGGUCACCUGUAGAAGCCAAAGUAGGUAUAGCCGUAGGGGUUCUGCUGAGAGAGGAUCCAGACUGGCGAUCGGUUGAGUGUGAGAGAGGACCAUAGAUGGUAGAGAGAGAGAGCGGUAGAACCCAGCACCGAAGAGAGAGAGGGGCGAUCGGUUGAGCGCGACAGAGGAGCAGAGAUGGUAGAGAGAUAGAGAGAGCGGGAGCCGAUCCAUCAGCCAGCAGAGGGAAGGCCUCACCUGUAAGGCUCGUAGGUAUAAGUGUAGACCCAUGAGAGAUGUUCCAACCCGAUGACAGCUAAGGAGAGAUCGUGAGGGCAGCGCGGAGCCGCCGAACGACGCCCAGGGUUACGCGGUACCACCGAAACAUGGCGAGGGUUACGCCGAGCCGCCGAACCCGAUAAUAAGCAGGGAACAGUGAGGAGGGCUACGCCGAGCCGCCGAACCCGAUAAUAAGUAGGGAGCAUUGGCGAGGGUAACGCCGAGCCCCCGAGGAGAGAAGAGACGGCGCGAGAGAGCGAGAGAGAGAGCGGCGUGGAGCGAGAGCGUCGCGUAGAGAGAGAAAGAGAGAGAGAGAGCGNUUUUUUUUCUUCAAUUUUUUUUUUUUGGGUUGGCAGUCGCACCUCCUCAGCGGUUGCCACGUGGAUUAGGCUUCUCUGAGCUCGCCACGUGGCUCCGUUGUUCUGUCAAAUAGAAUAGUGUAAGAUAUAUAUAUAUAUAUAUAUAUACACACACACACAUCAAAGAAAGGGCAAUCAUAUAUAUAUAUAGUAUCUGUACUCUGAAAGCCAAGUCUCAUUUAGAACACUCAAAAUUAUGCCAAAUUGGAUCAUAUCCCAUCCAUCCUCAAAACUUCAAAUACCCAAUCUCAAAUCCUGCUGCAGCAUUAAUUACUAAUCUCCUAGAAUUCUAUCUUAAUGAUUCUGGCACUUAAAUGUACAAAUUUUAAUUGGUUCAUACGUACAGCACAAAACGCUACAUAGAUUUGCGAUAUGAAAACUAUUAAACUUCUUUAAAAAGAAAAAAAAAAAAAAAAAAAAAAAAAAAAAAAACCUAUUUACACUCAAUUUUCUUUUGAUUUUAGAGUACAUCGGUACCGGACAAGUAAACAGUAAACACAAAUAAAUAUAUCAGCUGAUCUACUGAUACAUUUAAUCAGACAUGUUUGCACACAGGAAACAAAUCUAAUCAUAUGUGUGCAAUUUAAUUAAUUACCACCUUACAUGUCAAAUUUAAAAUUGCUCUUUUGGUACUGCAACUGCAAAAGGAGACAAUUGAAACAGCGAUUAGAAGCUCCUUCACAUGCUACUACGUACAGUGACAUAUUACUAUGGAUAGAGAGACAUAAUUAAUUAAAUUCCUUAUCAAAACUAUAAUAUACCUGAUUAAUUAAUUGAUCAGUAGUACACUCCAUGAUAAUUUAGAACUUCAAAAUCACAAAUCUAGUCAAAAAUAUACACCAACAUUACUCACUCACAACCUUAGCCUAUUUGCAUCAACACCCUCAAUAUCAAACAAACAAGCCCAGUACUCUGGCUUUUCGCAAUAACGAUUACAACAUAGUGAAAAGAAAAGAAAAGAAAAGAAAAGAAAAGAAAAGAUAAACUCAUCGGACCAGUGAGCUCAAUUCCCCGCGCUAGCUAGCUCGAAAGCCGAUUCAGAGGCAAAACGGCUCAGGACACGAAUCCACCGACGACAAGGCGACGUCGGUCCUUCGGAUCACCGUCCUUUGCGAGAGCUUCCGCCAACUGUGCGGCUUCGCAGAAGAGAUGUUCAUGAUCCAUGGCUCUCAAACAAGAGCUCAGGACCAAAAUAUACAUGUGUAUAUAUAUAUAUAUAGAUAGAACACAAGUGUUAUAUCUCACCACUUACAUAAACUCUCUCUCUCACACACACACACAUAUAUAUACACACACACACAUAUUACAUGAACUGAGAAAAGAUGUGUGUGUGUGUGUGUGUGGGUGUGUAAAGUUGAAGGGAAAGGAGAGUGUAAAGUUGAAGGGAAAGGAGAGGGAGAGGGAGGGGGGAAUAUUGGUCCAAACUUUAUUUUAGUGCAUGCUGCUGUAGCAAUAUUGCGUUGCACGCAUUCUAAAGCGCCCGCAUGCGAAGGGAGAGGAGGCCACCACCCCCCUCAAAAGGGUGCAAAAGCGCUUUUAAGAACAGCCCCCUUGGCACCCCCAAAGUUGUGCAUCUUUUUCCUACUCAAGCCCCCUUUCAAAAAGGCCCUCUCCAUACGAGUUUGUACCUUAAACUGCAACAGUAGGUGUUGGAUUUAUAAUAUACAAAUGUUUAUUAGAGUUUGUGGUGGGGGGUGAACAUGAUGGUCAUUAUACAUCUUACAUAUUUAUACAUAAUUUUGUGUGUGAUCGAUGCAUGAUCUAAAACUAUUAAAUAGUUUGGACUUUGGCCUCAUUUGAGAAAAUCAUAUAUAUAUAUAUAUAUAUAUAUAUAUAUAUAUAGAGUGAGGCUACUAUGCUAUCGGAAACACGAAGCCUUCCGUGCUUCCAGCUCGUUUUCGAUGUUGCGACUUUCGAAUCGUCGAUCGGCUCCGUUAAACUUGAUCUAGAGUAUUUUGAGUACCUAGAAAAUAAAUUUUAUUAUUUUUCGAUAUCAUUUGCCUAGUGAUCGAAUGGGCUCAAAAUCAACAAAUUCCAAUGGCCGUAGUGAGCCGUUUGCAAGUUUAACGGUGUAGAAAUAUCCAAAUCACGUGAAAUUUUGAUAGAAAAUUCUUUAUACUAUAUAAAACAAGAUCAAUAUCUUUGAUUUAAAAUUUUAAUGUCAUAUUAUUACAUUUUGUAAGAUUUUUAUUUUCAGCCGUUGAUUUUGAGCCCCUUCAUUCACUAGGCAAAAUGAUAUCGUAAAAUCAUAAAAUUUAUUUUCUAGGUACCUCAAAUACUCUAGAUCAAAUUUAACGGAGCCGAUCGACGAUUUGAAAGUUGCAACAUCGAAAACGAGUUCGAAGCACGGAAGGCUCCGUACUUCCGAUAGCAUAGUAGCCUCACUCUAUAGAGAUUGAUUACUAAAGUAGACCUCAAAUAUCGGUCCGGGUCUAAGAACUGAGGCCUAUAAGUUUGGGCCCGAAAUUUUAGCUUUCAUUCGACCCGGUUCAAUCCGAUCCGAACCGAUCCAUUCAUUUUCGGACCAGGUUCAAGCGGAGCAAAUUUAAUCCGACCCGGAAGUCCUAAUGAGUUUCACUAAUCUAGCUUGCUGAUUCAGCGAACUGAAUAGACUUACGAAAUUGAUCAUACGAGCGUUUGACAAGGAUGCUCCAUACAAAGUCAAGCGUAGCGAUUCAAUCGAGCCGAAGGUGAUGACAAUAUUCGCGGUCGAGAUCAUUUGUCGUGGGGGGUAGAAAAAUUCCAAAGCCGUGUUGUUGGUUUAAAAAAAUCAGCAUUUUGCUGUACCGAGUCACGUUCGAAAUGACGCGAAACUGGUUGACCUGAAUCACAAUCAAAAUUUACAGACGCUGUAUUCGUACGCUUUAAAUGAAUUAGUCGCAUCUUAUUUUCAAUUGUUAGCGUCAGCGAUACGACAUGUAUGGACAGCGGAUGGACCGUCUCCACCAUUUUUUUUUUUUUAAUUUUCUCAGAUUGUUUAGAACUAGUGGGGAGGGAGUUUACUAUGGAAGUUCGUUCAAAAGGGGUGGGUAGGUACAUAGGAAGCGUGUGGGGACACGGUUACAUGUUAUUUGUGUGCACGCUAAGAUAAAAUGCACGAUGGAACACGCCGAAUCGAGAACCUUCUUACAGUUGUAACCGUGCAACACAUAUGAUGCACGAAUUUCAAACUACCCGUGGACGGUGGGUUGAUUAGACCGUCUCUCUGGGGAAGGCUCUUCAUUUUUUUUUUUUUUUUUUUUUUUUGGGUUCCGCUCCGCAACUUAUAUAUUUUUCUUACAUAAUUUCACAUUAUUUGAUUUUGUUUCUGUUUUUACUUUUACUUUUAGAAGCAGCAGCUUUUAAUAAAAUAUUUGGUAGAAAAGGAUGGGAAGCAGAGAUGUUAAAAGUUGUAUUUUAUUAAACCUCUAACUCUAAUGCACUAAAGAAUUUAUUAUAAAUAAUUUAGUAUAAUAUAUUAUUUUUUUAGUUUGUAGUAUUUUUAAUAAUAUGUUAGUAAAUGACACUGUAUCUUGCAGUGGGGCUAAAUAAAUAUUUUCUAAUGCCACCGGCUGUCUCCAGCGUAAGCGGCAAAAUAGACUUGAUGAUUGGUUUUCGAAAUUCACGUUUUUUAAAACGAACAAAAUAUCUAUCUUUCUAUAUUAAGGAAAAGAAUAUAUAUAUAUAUUUUCACAUGCUCUGAUUAUCCUGAUUUGUUUCUUAGGUAUUAUUAGAUGCUGUUCUCAUGCCAAAAACCACAAGCAGCCACAAACUAAACCAAAAAAACAAAUUUAAGUCCCAAAUGUAUAUAUAUGAAACCCCCUAAUUUUUGUUGGUAUGUGUGUACUGUCCCCCACCACAUGCACUGAUGCACCUCCUCCUCACAUCCAAAAUUUUUUAUUCCUUUGCAAAUUGCCAUCCCAUGCCUGAUGUCUGCCACAUGAUCCUAAUUCUUUCCUCAUGCCCACUCUAAACACCACACAUCCAAGAAUAAAACUCUCACAAUUGAUUAUAUUCACAUAAUCAAUCCACUCAAAUAAGCUCGACCAAACCACCUUAACUCAAGCAGAAGAUACUUCAUUUAUUUCUCUAGCGUUUUAUCCUGAUAUUGUUUCUUUUUUUUUUUUUUUUGAGAGAGAUAGAUAAUACGCUACCCGCUUCGUUUAUUUCAUUUAGAAAUAAACUUAGCUAGAAAUGUGAAUCAACUAAGAUUCGAACUUGGGUUUCGGGUACCAACCACCAAGCCCUUUGCCACUUACUCUAGAGACGGUCGGUGAUAUUGUUUUAUUAUUAUUAGACAAACAAUGCAACUUGUACACCCUAAAAAGAAAUAUAAAUCUAAUAUUCAUUAUCCAAGUAUUAAUUAUUAGGUGCAAAUUUUAAGAUCGAAAGGCUUAGGCCCAUUUGGUAUCGUGAUUAUCUUUUCUUUUUUUAAGUAAAUUUUUUUACAUAAAACAAUUCGGGAGUUGAUAAUAGAUUGUUUGUAAUUUUUUCAUCCAAAAUAUUUAUCUGUCAACAAAAGAUAAAAGAACUCAUAAACAACUUUUAUUUUCGCUUUCAAUUUUUUUUUUUUUAUGAAGUUAUCAUUUAUCGCUAGACCUGAUUCGACAACAAGAAAAGAAAAAAAUCUUCUAUAAAUGCAUCAAAACAUAUAAAAUUAGUGUUUUAAAAAAAUUAAUAUAUAACAAUAAGGUCAAACGAGGCAAAAAUUUAAUACUUGUUUUUAUUUAAGAAGAUCUAGUGUACUUUUGACCUAAAUCCGAAUCCAUGUAUCUACAAAAAAAAAAAAAAAAAAAAAAAAGAAACAAGAUAAACUUCAAAAUCUUACCAAUGUGAUGUUCGCACUUUUCUCCUUUUAUACCAAUGUUUUAUUUUCUUUUCGUCAGCUCCUCCAUUAACAUUUCGUUAAAUUAUAUAUAAAAAAUUUCAGAUAUCCCACCUAUGUUUAUCAAAUAUUCAUUUAAGUACUUUUUAGUUUUAACUUUAUCACUGAUUUAGCAAAAAAUAAUAAGUGCAAGAAAUAAUAAAAAGGGAAAAAUAAAACUACGGAAUACUAAAUUGAUACACUUCAAACUAUAUAAUACUAAAAUAAAAAAAGGUUAAUUUCAUACAGGUCCCUACAAACAUGGUAAAUAACAGAUAUAUUCCUACAAAGUUCAACUUUCAUAAGUUAUCCAUACAAAAGUCCUAAUGUAUUCAGAUAUGUCCCUGCCGUUAAUAUCCGUUAGAAAAAUCUAGUUAAUCACAGUUAAAAUACUUAACCAUGAUUAAUUAAUAAUGUGAAUUAACAAUUUUACCCUUCUUCUUCUUCCUCUUCUUCUUUCUCUUCUUCUCCGUAUCCUCCUUUUCCUCCUCCUUUUCUCCUCAUUCUUGUUUUUCUUCUUUGUCGUCGUCAUUGAUGAUCUGAUCGUCGUCGCCGUUGUGGUGCCUGUGUGGGCCAUCAUCACGAGCGCCUCCGACGGCAUCGGCCUCGCCCUCGCCUUCCGCCUCUUCCUCGUCUGCGUUGGCCGCAACCCCGACAAGCUCCGCAAGGUCGCCGUCGCCGUUGCCGUCGCUGCCGUCCGCUCCCGCAGCCUGAAAAGUAAGAGGAAGAGAAAGAGGCAGAGGGAAAGGGCAAAAGUGUCAUUUCACAACUUUACUGUUAAAAAAUUAAUAAUUCUCUAACAGGUACUAACCAGAGGGACAUAUCUGAAUACAUUAGAAUUUUUGUAAGGAUAACUUAUGAAAAUUGAACUUUAUAGGGAUAUAUUUGCUAUUCAUCAUACUUGCAAGAAUCUGUAUGAAAUUAACCCAAUAAAAAAAUAUAAAAUUAUAGGAAUGGGAUAUGUAGUUUUUCCAAAAAAAAUUUGUAGCUAGCAUAUUGAGACAAAUGAGAGUCUCUCUCUCUCUCUCUCUCUCUCUCUCUCUCUUAAUUGCCUAUUUAGUGAUGUUGAGACAAAAAGAAGAGGCGUAGGCGUGGACGCAACAUGAAAACAGCCCAAGGCCACCUCCUUCCACAUGAAUGCCACCACGCGGAUUUGAAAGAGUAUUAUUCACAACUCCACACCAUACAUAUAUAUACUCACCCCCUCCACUCCAUAUAUAUAUAUUUAUAUAUAAUUAAGAAAUAUUAUUUACGAGAAAUGCUAAAUCUACGACCCAAAAAGAUUAUAUGAUCAUCUUCUUAAUCCGAGAAGUGUUUGUAGUCCUGUCCCGAAGAGAUUUAGUUUUUUGUUUUUUUUUUUUGAAAAAAAAAGAAAUUUAGUAAUAGACAAAUAAAAGAUGAUAAGACUUUGCGAAGAAAUAUGAGUUAUUACGUACAUAAUAGAGUUGGAAGAUUAUAAUUUGCUUCUGGUUGUAGGGCUUGUCUUGUCUUUCUAUGGCUACAAUUAAUUCACCGACGAGUCUAUCGAUUAUCUUUUAUUUGUUUUUUUUUUUUUUUUACUAAAAACUCAUUUGGAGUUUUUUAACCUGGCGGAUCCAACAUCCAAGGAUGUAAGAUGUACAUCCUUACAAGAUGGCUUUUUUCUUUUAAUACUAAAAGUUUUUUUAGUUUGAAAGAGCUUUUUAAACUCUAAAAUAAUAGGAUACAAGAGAUGUACACUCUACAAUAGAGUGUGCGACCAGUAUUUUCCUAAUAUAUACAUAGAUACAGAACUAAAUUAGAAUGUGGCCUUUGGGCGAAAAAAUGUACAGUUAGAACGAUGUGUGCCUUCUAGGGCUAAGUAUCAGUAGUAUUCCAACCAAACUCAUAUAUAUAUAUAUAUAUAAGUCCGGCUGCUAUGCUAUCGAUAGCACCAAGCACUUGGUGCUAUCAAGUUUUCUGCCAUUAGAUUAACUCUUUUGAUUAUUUUUACCCGUUAGAUUAUACUAUUCAACCAACCACCCACUCAAUCCUAAAAGGCCCACAUCAUUCUAACCGCACAUUUUUCAAUCCAAGGACUAAAAAACUAAUCGCAUCAACAACUUGGUGCUAUUAAUAGUAUACCAGCCUAGUUCUAUAUAUAUAUAUAUAUAUAUAUUGGGUUGGAAUAUUUUUAAUAAUACUAAGUUAUUGGUUUGGAUUAGAAUAAUAGUGGUCCCACUAAGAUUUAUUGGAUAGUUGGAGGAAUAGCACAAUUUAAGGGGAGGAAUUAGUGAAAGAAUAAAUCUGAUGGCGUAAAUUUUGAUAACACCGAGUGCUUGGUACUAUUAGAAAUAUCUCAACCGGACUCUCUCUCUCUCUCUCUCUCUCUCUCUCUCUCUCUCUAUAUAUAUAUAUAUAAAUCCAUGUUCACAAUAAACACAAACAAACACACACACACACACACACACACACACACACACACAACCACCCUCUGGUACACACACAGACAUACAAUGUCGGUGUACUAAGUUGUGCCCCCUCCUUGUUUCCUUAGAUGCUCCCACCAUUUACUAUUAUUAUUAUUAGUGCACAAAAAAUAAAUUAAAAGGGAAGGAGAAGAGAUUAUCCAGGAAGAUCGAGCAAGGAGAUGGGGAUAUCCAGCUUACCCACCCCAUCUGAGGCCUUCUUCCCCUUCGUCCUCCUGGCGAAUGCUUUGACCCCUGUCAUAGUGUUAGUGGAUGGCAUGAGAUGGGCUUUUGUGCAUGUCAUGGGCUGCUCUUCUUAUCAAUCCCAAGGAGGAGUACUUGGUGGUGGACAACAAGCUGAUGAUGAUGCACAACAACAUCAUCAACAACAACAACAACAACAACAACAACAACAACAAGAACAACAACAAGAGGGGGAGAUGAAGAAGAGGGAUUUGGUGGGUGUUCAUGUGACCAGGUUCAAUUUGCUGGCUGUGAGGGAGAGGGAUGAGUGCUGUGUGUGUCUCCAUGGGUUUGAGGGGGAGGAGGAGGUGAGUGAGGUGGUGGCAUGCAGGCACUUGUUCCACAGGGGUUGCUUGGAGAGGUGGGUCAGUCACUUGCACUCCACAUGCCCACUCUGUCGAUCCAUGCUCUGAAAUCUUUUUAUUUAAGCUUUUUUGUGUGGUAUUAGGCAUAUAUGGUGUUUGCGUAGGAACACUUUUUUUUUUAUCUCAUUAUUAUAUGGGGGCUUUUUUUUUUCCCUUUUUUUUUUUUCUCUUUUUUCAAUUGGGUAUAUACUAUAGGAGGCUGUUAUCUACAGAGGGUCUGAGUUUCUCUUAUUAUUUUCCCCUCUCCCUUGUACUAGCUGCAUCUAUAAUGUAACUCACAGGUGGUUUUAGUGUGUCAUCAUCAUGGCCUUCUUCCACCGAUUAUAAAUUUAGGAUUGUAUUUAGAAAAGGGCUUUUUUUCAAUUUUGCUGUGUGCAGGUUCAGUACUAUGGAGACCCCUCAACUACAAGCCAUAAACAAUGCCCCCACACUUAUUUAAUGGAUGAUUAUUAACAAAAUCCUUUUAACUUCCCUAAGUUUUUGAAUUGAGUGAUGUUAGUCAAAACAAAAAGGGGGAAUUUCAUCAGACUCAUCAAUGUUAAUCAAGGAAAACUAGAGAACAAAGGUCCAUGAGCUUUGAUGUUUCAAAACUAUCAUCAUUCAUAAUUAAAAAGUCAGAGGCAUUAACUAAUCCAUCCAGGAACAUAGUAACUAACAUCUAAGCACUAAAUGGGUGUUCUACAAUAUCCUCCAUCCAGAACACAAGGUUGUUUCUUGUGCGUAUUAACUUGGAAAACAAACAGCACGAUUUAGUGAGCAAGGAAAAGUUACUGGCUCGGCCUCGCAAAUCCCAGGGGUUCAAUUCUGAUUUUUGAACAUCUCUAUGGCCAAAACUUUGGAGAAGCGGUGAUAUAUCAUAAUCAGCGUCAAAGUUUGGUACGCAAAGCAUUCCGAGCUUUGUACCUGCAGCUGUAAUUGGUGCCAGCAUGAGCAUGUAAAGCAGCAGAUAGCCAGCAAAUAAUAUAGCAGGUAACCAUCCCAGAUGUUAAGCGCGUGACUCGGAGAGCUCUCUUCGUGCAGUCUGUAUUAACGCGGCCAAGAAUGUGGAAGUAGUGCAAGUUGAAGGGUUGGUUAUAGACGCGUGCGCCAAGAACGGAAGCUUCCUGAGAGCUCGACCGCUCAGCCCCUGCAUCAGUUUACAGAAUCGCCAUCAGUUAACCAGCAACGAAUAUAAUGCAGAGAUUUGAAAUUUCGCGAGAAUUCUUGCAGUCAAGAGGUGAAAGUUGUUUACCUGGCACAAUUCAGCUGCUUCAAGCAGCAGUCUGGGUAGAUAAACUGGCCCAUGAAGUUCCCCGGCCUCACAGGAAUGGAGCUUCUCCUUUAAGGUUGCAUAGGUCGGAAGCGGGAAAUGAUCGUGCAACUAGAAAUUCAGAGCAUUGGGUUUUAACAGAUUCAGUGAAUAUUUCAGUAAAUUGUGAAAUGUUCGAGCAAUGUUAUAGGCUAUAGUUCACUUUUUUUCCUUUUUGCUUGAGAAAGAGAAAGGCAGCAUGCUAUCCGUUUCAUUCACUUUUUCAAAAAAAAAAAAACAAAAACAAAAACAAAAAACAAAAAAAACAAAAACUUGGUACUUCGGACUUUAGGCACCGACCAUCAAGGCCCCUUGUCACGUGCACUAGGGACGGUCGGCUAGAAUUCACAUUUGUUGGAGGCCAAUAGGCAAGGGUCCCAUUAUUGUUGUAUCAAUAAUAAUAACACUUUUCCAAAUAAGACAAGAAUAUAUUAGACACCGUAGCAAUUAUAGGGGCACCACUGCUGCUACGAUUCUAAAAUUUGGUUCAUGCAGCUGGAUAAGCACAGCAAAAGAAAACAUGGCACUUGACAGCAACGUGUCUGCAAAUUUCAAUACAUGAUCAGCUGAUAUGUCGGUUGAACAAGUAGCCUUUAUGCAGACCACAUGAAUCAAGGUUAAUCAGGCCGGGAAAGUUCCAGUUGAAGCCGAUGGCCCUUGGAAGAGGAUUUAUUCCCUCAGCCUUUGGCCUAGGUGUAGCUUUAAAUUAUAAUCUAUGCAUCAUGCGUAGAUUUUUUAUUAUCAUUAUUAUUUUGAUCUACCGACUAUCCCUAGAGCAAGUAGCAAAGGGCUUGGUGGUUGGUACCCGAGAUUUUAAGUUCGAAUCCUAGUUGAUUCACAUUUUCAGCUAAGUUUAUUUCUAAAUGAAAUAAACGAAGCGGAUAGCGUGCUACCUAUCUCUCAAAAAAAAAAUUUAUUAUUUUGGUCUUGGACUUAGAUGACAGAUAGCCCAAGUUCUCGUAGACAUUCAAGUCUAAAUAUAAAUGAAACUCUCUCUUUAGGUUUAAUUCUUUUUGUCUUAAAAGCGACAAUUGAGUCCAAUCAAAUAGCAAUCUUAGAAUAAUUCAAGGAUGGAUAUGUAGUGAAUUUGCAUUCAACAUAUUAAAUUAAUUAGAAUUUGUAACAUGCUCAUGGGAUUUGUAACAUGCUUAUACUAGAAAGGAUUGUUGUCCUAUUCAGCCCACCUCCAACCAUGGAGCAGAAAAAGGAAAGAUCAAAUGUACAGAGCUCAAGAAGUAAUAAAAACUCUGAAGUAUUAAAAAUGGGUCUAGAGUAAUGAGUAUUUACUUGAGGAUGCGUGAGAAUUCCUGCUCGUAGCAAUUCUUGCAAGCAAGACCUCAGGAUCUCAUAUCGUGCUUGAAGAGUAGGGGGACCAACAUAUGCUUUGAUAUCUGCUCGGUCAACAAAAGCAAUAUCUGCAAUCUAGACAGAAGUGAGUUUUAUGUCGAUGAACAUAGGUGUUCUAGAAGAAAAUAACUAAAUUCAUCCAUUUUUCUCAAGUUGAAUGUGACAGAACAAGAGAAAAGAGGUUAGUUUUAACCUAUAGACGCAUAGAUCAAGUAACUAAGGAAAAGCAACAAAUGUAACAAAUAGCACAAGACUAUAUUGUACUUUGAAACUGUUAAAUCAUAAGAGAUAACUCUAUAAAAUAUUGUACACUGUGCUGUUCUCAAUUCAGAUGCAGUUGAUGGAUAGUCGUAACAUGAAAUGCAGAUGCAGAAAUACCAGUUUAUUCACUACAACCACUUAGGGCCUAUUUUGGGAUGGAUAGAACAAACAGAAGUGUUGUGGAGUAAAGCUGCUCGAAAUUCAUUAGCAACUUCUAUUAAAACCUUCCUAAUAAUUAACCACUGACUAGACGCAAAAGCUUUAAUGGAGCUCCUGCCUUUGGGCUUCCAAAGCCACUUCUAACAUAGCAAAAAGAUCAAUACUUCUUGUCUGCCAAAUGUCUAACAACUACUUUUAAAUAUAGAAGCUGUUUAAGAAACCACACAAUGCUUAAUUUAGCGGGGUUAAUAUAACCAUAACUAAAUCUGUUUAUAUGUUUAUGACAUAAAUGAAAACUGUAAUAUUUAGUGGGAUUAAUAUAACCAUAACUAAACCUGUUUAUAUGUUCUAUGACAUAAAUGAAAACUGUAAUAUUACCCUUUAUAACACCAUCUUUUAUGUAUCCUAUCUCGAACAACUAAUUACAUUUCUAUUUUCUCAAUUCUCAUCAAAGUAAUUUUAAACAUUGUUUUGAAAAACAGUUCAUGCAACCCACAUAUGCGCCCGUGUUAAGUAAUCGCUAGAUAACCUCACAAAAGGCUGCAUCAUCAAAUGGCAUAGGAAGAAGAGGAGCAAGCUGUAUAGUAUGGUGUGCCAAUGAUCAGCUACUCAAAUACUUGAAAACAAAUUAUGCUAAAUAAGUCUUUUGACUUCUUUCUAUGAAAGAAUCGAGUGGAUACCAAUUGCUGCAGUUAUAUUUGAUGUUGUAAGAAUGAUCACAUUUGGCCAAGACUUUAAUUUGUCCAUUUGAGUGAGCAAUGCAUUGACGACCUGAAAGUUUCAUCCCAUGAUUUAGACACAUGUAUUCAGAGUUACACAUAUUCAAACAAUAAUUGCAAAUGGAUUAGUAAAUCAUACCCUAAUAGAAUCUGAAGGUUCAGAACCAGACAAGGCAGCCUGUCUGGCAGCAGCAAGGCUUUCGACUUCGUCUACAACAUCACAGAUCAAGAACAAUAAGGAUAAGAUACAAAUGUAAGCAUAGCAAGCAUAAGAUCAUAGUUUACCCACAAUAUAUUUCAAGGAAAGUUACACAACUAAUAAAUCGACUCCUUUUCUUUGAAUGCUUCAUGUAGCUAAUUGCUACUGCACCAAAAACACCAUAUGUGAGAAAACAACAUUCUACCAAAAUUGAACUAAAUCACACUGUUGCAAAAAAAAGUAAUCUAAAUCCUUACAAGAGGCACCGAAUAUGCAUGUGGAUUUGUAAAAGUCCAAUGUGAGUUCAUAUGUUACUAAACCUUAGGCACAAUUUGUACACUAGGAGAUCAAUUACAAUAGCAGAAAAAGAGCUAAGAAAAUAUUCACCAAUCAAGACAAAGACUAGGUUGUUUUCUUCCUCCACCAUCUCUUGAAUUUUUUGGAAAAGUUUUGCCACCUGAUUUAAAGAAUGUAAAAGAAAAUGAACAUCAAAGAUGUAAAACUUGAAAAAUGAGCAACUUAUGAAAGAUAAGAACAAUCUUCUUUACCUAAAAACUUGCCCUAGGAGCCAAAAAAUCAAUUAAAACUUUUAAUAUAUGGCAUAAAAAAGAUCAUAUACAUACAUACAGGGUUUAGGGUAUAGUAUGAGAGCUCUGGUACUAUAGCCUCAUUUUCGAUCUUAGGGUGUUCAAAUCAACGAUCCACACCGUUAAAUAUGAUCUAGGGUAUAUAAAGUUCUUAGGAAUAAAAUUUUAAUUUUUUUCGACAUCGUUUGCUUAGUAAGUAAAUCAUGCCAAAAUAAACAGUGAAAAUUGAACAAUCUUUAAAAUUUGAUGAUAGGACUUUUGAACUCACGAUCAAAGAUGCUGACUUUGAUCUUGAUAGUUUAAAGCAUUUUCUAUCAAAAUUUGAAUAAAUUUAGAUUCUUCUACACCGUUAAAUUAUAAACCCGCCAUAGUAGCUAUUGAAAAUUGACAAUUUUAAAAUGGUUUGAUCAUAAAGUAAACUAUGUUGGAAAAAUAUAAAACUUUAUUCCUAAAAACUUUCUAAUACCCUAGAUCAAUUUUAACAAUGUGGAUCAUUGAUUUGAACAGCCUAAGAUCGAAAACAAGACUUUAGUAUCAGAGUCCCGAUUCUACAGAUAUUAUAGAAGCCUAGCUCUUUGUAUAUAUAUAUACAUACAUACAUAUAUAUAUAUAUAUAUAUAUAUAUAUAUAUAUAUAUAGAGUCCGGCUACUAUACUAUCGAUAGUACCAAGCCCUUGGUACUAUUGAGUUUUCUACCGUUAGAUCUACCCUUUGAUCAUUUCCACCCGUUAGAUUAUACUAUUAAACCAACCACCCACUCAACCCUAGGGGACCACUAUCAAUUUAACCGGGGACCACUAUUAUCCUAACCGCACAUCCUUUCAUCCAACGGCCAAAAACUCAAUAGUACCAAGGAAUUGGUACUAUUGAUAGUAUAGUAGCAUAAUUCUAUAUAUAUAUAUAUAUAUAUAUAUAUAUAUACACACAAACACACACUUGUACAUAUACAUACAUAUAUAUAUAUACAUACAUAUGAGUAGGGCUACUAUACUCUUAUGAGUAUAGAGCUCUUCGUACUCAUGAGUUGUUUUCAAUGUUGGGGCUCUCGAAUCGACGAUCCACACCAUUAAACAUGAUCUAGAGUAUUUGAAACUUUUAGAAAAUAAAUUUCGUAAUUUUUCGAAACCACUAUAAAGUCCAUUAAGCGGGUAUAAAAUGAACGGUCAAAAUCAAACGACAUCCUAAAAUGGAUGAUCGGAUCCUUCAAUUUAAGAUCGGAGUUAUUGAUCCUUAUUUAGGUAGUGAAUAGAAUUUUCUAUCAAAAAUUCAACCUAUUCCAAUUCUUUUACACCGUUAAACUAGCAAAUAUCUCAUACCGGCCGUUAAAAAUUGUCAAUUAUGUGAGCUUUUGAUCGUAAGGUAAAUGAUAUCGAAAAAUUAUAAAAUUCGAUUUCUAGAAGUUUUAAAUGCUCUAGAUAAUGUUUAAUGGUAUGGAUCAUCGAUUCGGAAGUUCUAUUAUCGAAAACAACUUAUGAGUACGAAAGCGAUCGCUAGUCUCCUAUACUAUCUAUAGUACCGGGGCUCCGGUACUAUAGUCUCGUUUUCGAUCCUAGGGUGUUCAAAUCAACGAUCCACACCGUUAAAACUGAUCUAGAGUAUUUAAAGUUUUUAAAAAUAAAAUUUUAUAUUUUUUCGACAUAGUUUACUUCAUGAUCAAACCAUUUCAAAAUUGUCAAUUUUCAAUGGCUACUAUGGCGAGUUUGGAGUUUAACGGUGUAGAAGAAUCUAAAUUUCUUCAAAUUUUGAUAGAAAAUAUUUUAAACUAUCUAGAUUAAGGUUAACAUUCUUGAUCUUGAAUUUAAAAGUCCUAUACUCAAAUUUUAAAAAUUAUUCAAUUUCUACCGUCCAUUUUGACAUAAUUUAUUUACUAAGUAAACGAUGUAUAAAAAAUUAAAAUUUUAUUCCUAAGAACUUCAUAUACCCUAGAUCAUAUUUAACGGUGUGGAUCGUUAAUUUGAACACCCUAAGAUCGAAAACAAGACUAUAGUACCAGAGUUCCGGUACUAUAGAUAGUAUAGUAGCCUAUAUAUAUAUAGAGAGAGAGAGAGAGAGAGAGAGAGAGAGAGAGAGUACUCUCAAAAGCACCAAGGGGUUGGUGCUUUUGAGUUUUUAGCCNUAUAUAUGUAUAGAUGUAUAUAUAUAUAUAUAUAUAUAUAUAUAUAUAUAUAUAUAUAUAUAUAUAUAUAUAUAUUGAAGUUUGUGUAAUCAAGCUGUCUGAAAUGAGCUACAUUGCAUGAUGCAUUGAGGCUUGAAACAAAACAGUAAGCACAGCCAAACAAGGUCUAAAUCACUGCCUGCAUUUUUCGGUCCUCCCUGGGAUGAAAACAAAAUAAGCUGUUCUUUUAAGGAAGUAAGCUACAAAGCUAUAAUAUUCAGAUAAUAUUUCUAAUCUCAAGAAUAUAUCUAGGUUCUCAAAACUUGACUUAUCCAAUUAUAAGAAGGCCACUCAGCUUUGCAGGACUAUAUAAUAAAAGAAAAUUACAACACGGCAGAGAAUAAAAGUCGUCAUGAACAUGCUGAUAAUAUAAACAUCUGCAUGAGUCAAAAAAAAGGAGUAGAAUAGCAUACCAAUUUACCACUCUCAGAAAACCAUUUGCUAAACAAGGAAUGAGCAUUGACUUCAACCAAUUGGCAUUCAGAGUACCUUGUUGAAAUCACUAGAGGAUGAAACAAGUAAAUCAUAUCAAAUUAAAUCACUAAAAAUGAAAUGCUAUACUAACCUUGACUUGAAACGUAUGGACAGCUUCUGCGCUAAUGCUUUGCAUAAAGAUGUCUUUCCCGUUCCUGGUGGUCCAUGCAAAAGGAUAAUCCUGUAACACAAUUCUAAGAAAUAUGUUCUCACUAGUCUACACAUUUUUUUUCUUAGUACACUAAUUACAGAGUUAGCUUCUUGAGACAUUCUGGGAGAAAGCCUUUUAAGCACAAAAAUCACCUCACAGUUAGCAACAUAGAGGUAGGUAGUUAACGAGCACACUAAAUAAUAUUCAAUUAGCACAAAGUUUGAACAGAAAUUCCACUUUGCUACUAUUUUGCACCAUAAAAAUUAGAGAUACAGAAUAAAUGGCAUACAGAAGGCAGCUUACCGGUUCCAUGAAACAAGACAAGGAUCUACACCUCUCUCAGUAAAGAACAGCGCACUGGAAGCAUAUCUCAGCAACCUCUGCUUGAGCCCAGUUUCAUAAAUUAAGCUGCAAAUAAUUAUCAAAGAACUAAAUAGAAUCAACACCACUUUGUUAUGAGCAAGAAAAUAUUUAAUUGCCUAACAAACCUUUCCCACAGUCCAUCAAAUUCUUUUGCUGGUAAUGCCCACUCAUUGAAGAUAGAAAGUGUGUCAUCUCCACUCGGUUCCUCACCUGGCCCAUCUUCAUUAAGCUGCAACAUGUGUUAUUACUUGAUCGAAAAAAAUACCAAACUAAACAUUAGUUACACCUUAGAAAUCAGAUAGUAGUAAAAUUUUGACAAAAUUGACCAGAUAUAUACAAUGUCUCAAUUUGCAUGGCACAAGCAUAUUGUAGAUGAAGUUAUGGAUUUAGUAACAUCUUCGACAUAUAAAAAAAGUAGUAGAUACCUGGAACACAUAUACAACAGGCCUGACUUGCCAAAACAAGAGAACUUUAUGCUUGUCCAGCCACUCAUCUACAGAAGAAUAUUUUUCUUAUUAUGAAGAUAUUAAAACUAAAACCCAAGCACACGAAAGCUAGAUAUGACAACCAAAACAGGAUGUUUCCAAAUAUCAAGUACCAGUGUCGCAGAUCUGAAUUCUUUGUACAUUCUCAAGAAGAAAACAAUCAUCAACAGGCACCGGAACAGGACCAUCAACGUAACUCAAGCUUCUUUUCUCUAGCAUCCUGAUAAAAAUUGCGACAAAAAUCAGGAUCAAUAAUCAAAUACUCAUAGCACGGUAAUAGAAAAAAGAACAUUACAACAAUUCAUCCCGCAAUGAUAUGCAACAGACCAAAAUAUCAAAUGAAUCUGAACUAGUAGUCUAGUACACAACCAUCAUAUAUCGUGUUGAAGGAGUCAACCACUAUAAAAAUGUAAUAUUUCACAUGGAUUUCACUAUGGAAACAUGUAUGUCUGUCAACUGCAAAAUGAACAAUGCAAAAGAUAAAAGUAAAAUAUACAUAGAUAACAAAAGAAGAGUGAAUUAUAUUCAUAGAUUGUCAUCUUAAAUGGCCUUGGGAACAAUAAGACAAGUAGUAGGAUAGAAGCAUUAUCCUGUGUUCCCCCAAGGCAAGCAUCCAGCAUAUUCAAACACUAUAACCAUAUUCUAUGGCGCAGGCAUUUCCCUCGAACUUCUGAAUUAUGUGUGACAAUCACACAAAGCUUAUACAAUUAGUUGGAACCAAAUACUGUCGAGGACGCGAAGGCUUAAAAGAGGAAGUAUACCAAGUCUCUCCAUGUAUGAGUAUGCAUAGAACUAUCACAUCACAUGUGUGUAUGAAAGAUCUUCAGUAGUUAUUAGGACAAAAGAAUCCAAAAUAAUGUCCUAUUAUUCUAAUCAUGUAACUUUGAGGUAAUGCUGGGCCAUGCGGAGCUCCAUGCACUGCAUCGACAGCGCGCGCACACACGGAGCUGAUUAACUACAUUACCAGUUCCUAUUUCAUUCCUAAACAACUAAAUUUCCUCAACUACAAGUAGCGCAGUAGAGAGAUUGAAAUGGCUACAUUUCUCUAUUUUCUCAAGAUCGAUUGAGACCAAAGAGUGGACAAAGCACGAACCUUUCGACCGCCACGCGAACGUCUUCGAUCCGUGCUGUGCUCGACGGCUUCAAGCAUACCUCAACUGCCGUCGGCGGCGGCGGCGGGGAGCGAGACCUCCAUUGGAGAGCUCAUCUUCGUCGUCGUCGUCGUCGUCGUCGUCGUCGUCGUCUCCACCUCCUCUCCCUCGGCGGUAGAGUCGAGGGGUUCGGCAAAACCCUAAAAAAUCCGAGAAUGGGAGCGGGAACGGUUUCGAAAUCUUUCGAUUUCCCUCGCGCUCUACUCGUCGCAACACGCGACUAGCCUUUUUUAAAGUUCUACUAUUUUUAAUUUAAUAAUUUUUACUUAAUUAAUUUUUUUUGGUUAAAUUAAUGGUAAUUUGUUAAAACUAACUAUUCUGAAAUUUCUUUUCAUGAUGAUGUCGUAAAAUUUGCCAACUUUUUUUUUUAGAAAAAAGUAACACGCAACCUGCUUCAUUUAUUAAGCAAAUAAAUUUAGCUACAUAAAAUGAGACAACCAGGACCUCAAGAGGACGAAAAAGCAAAAGAACAAAGAUUCACGGAAAAAAAAAUGGUAAAAAAAAAUCAACGAAAACAUCAAGACAAUAUCCUAAUAAAAAAAUAGACGUCACCCGGCUCUAUAGAACUCGGCUCACUCUUUUGUCAAUACUCCGAUACGAUGAGCUAUUAGAAAAAAUAUCAGUGAAUAGAUUUUUGAAAAUAACAUUAUUUUUUAUCGCGCAAGACCAUCCACCAAGUGGCCACCACCAGUGUCAAAGCCUUCAGAGGGUCGCUCUGUGAACGCCUCUCUAGCAGCCGCUCUCAGACGAUGUUGAUAUCUCCAAUAAAAGAGUAGACGAGUCACUCUCCAAGGUGCGAGAACACACCCCACCAGCAAGGUGUGAGAAAAUAACAUUAUUUCUAUUUACCAACUAUUAAUGAAUAAUAGCUAAUAGAACAAUUAACUUUAGCAUAGACAAUCUAAUUUAAUUUUUAAAAACUAGUUUCUAAUUGAAAGAAUUAAAAAAAAAAAAACACAUCUAUUAAAAAAACAGUCCACAAGUUUAUUUUUCAAAAUAGCUAUUAUUGAGAGGUGCACGCUGUAUUUUUAUUUUAAUAAACUAGUACUUUGAUUUAAAUGAAUAACACACUAAUAAAUUAUUCUGCAAAGCUUCAUUGUAAUAGUGCAUCACAUUUUAAAAAUAUAAUUUAAAGUAAUUUAAUAUUUGUUAAUGUAUUCUUUAUUCGAUCUAAAAAGGGUAUAAACUAAAGACGGGGAAAUGAGGAUGGAUAGUCUUUGUAGUAUUCCCAUGUUUUUGAUUUGGUUUUGCACUUUUCACCAAAAUACUUAAAGUCGCCAAAAUUUUUAAACAUCGCAAUUUUAAUUCCGAUGAAAGGGGAAAAAGAAGAGAAAAACUAACACCUCUUCACCUUUUGGUAGGACCAUUUGCUUAUUUUGUAACACAGAGUUAAGGGUGGAACUGGACCCGGGCCUAAACAAGGCCUGGCCUGAUGGGCCAUGUUUGGGCCGGGCUUUGGGUAUUAAAAAUAUAACUUUGGGUCAAGCCGGGCUUAAAAAUUUAGGCCCGAAUAAAAUUUUGGCCUAUUUGGGCAUGUCCAAGCCCGGCCCGAGCCCGACCCAAAAGCCCGAUAUAUUAAUUAUCAAAAUAAAAUAUUUAAUUAUAUUAUAUAUAUGUAUUAUUUAUCUAUAAAAGAAAUAAAUAAUAUAGUAUAUCAUAUAUAGUAUAUAUUGUUAUUAAUGAUAUUAAUAUAUACUUAUAUAUAUGAGGAUAUAUUAUAUAUUAACAAAAUAUUUAGUUCCAUAUUAGGAUAUAUUUGAUAUUAGAUAUUAAUUAUUUGAUGUGAUCAAACUAAAAAUAGGCAUUUUAUUUUAAUUUUAUGCAAAUAAAAGUAUUUAUGUAUUAUAUGAUAAAUACAUAAAAUGAGCCUCUACAAAGCCCGAUGGGUAUUGGGCAUUGGGCUUGGGCUUGGGCUUGGGCCGGGCCUUAAUUUUCAAAAAAAAUUGGGUAACAGCCUUACCCGAAGCCAACAUUUUUUUGGGCCGGGCUUGGGCAUAGUAUUAACUGACCCAAACCCGGCCCAGUUCCACCCCUACACAGAGUCUUUUGCUUAUUUAUUUUUUAUUACUAUUCAAAAAAUUUUAUUUAUCUUAAAAUUAUUAAAAUAUUUUUUAAAAUUCAAUCUCAUUAGUAAACCAGAAAAUAAAAAAAUUAUAUUUAAAAUUUAGUUCUUCAAAAAUAAAUAAAAAUUUUUUGAAAUUAAAAAGGUAUAUUAAAUAUUAUCCCUCAACUGUAACAUUAUUUUGUUAAAUUACUCGAAAGUUCUAAAGAUAAGGAGGAGCCAAAAGUUAUGAAAUGUUCAUACAACCUUAUCUCCCUCCCCCUCCACACACACACACACACACACACACACACACACACACACGCUAUUACUGUUCACAUGAAGAAGUCGGCAGAGGAAGCCGAAACCGGCGCCGACUACUUGGAGGUCCUGAAGGCGGCGGCGCAGGCGUGGCAUGCGCAGUCCGGCAACCCGAAGCCGACCUCCAGCGAGCUCCGCACCGCUCGCGCUUCAGGCUCGAGGCCAUGCGGUCGGCUGCCGCUGCCGAUCGCAACGGCGUCGUCGGCUUUUACACAAACAGCAGCAGCAGCAGCAGCGUGAGUGGAACGUGGGACUUCACGCAGUCGCUGUGGGACUCGUACGAGAUCGUCGCGGUGUCGAAGAAGCUCGAGGCCAGCCUCGCGCUCGACGCCGACAGGGAGGCCGACCGACGCCCGGUGCCGCUGGGCCGUGCUGUCGUUGUCAGGCGGAGCGGCAAGAGAAGCAGGGAGAGCAAGAACUCUUUGAGGAAUCUGUUUCACAGAGUUUCGGAUUCUAAAAGUAACACCGUGUACGGUGAUUUACAAGAAUUAAAAUACCGUGACGCGAGUUCAUGUCGAAAAUGAUACGGUACAAUAUGUGCCCUGCAUGCUGGGUACACAAAUACAUGUGUGCCAAACAUAUUCAACAAUUUAUUUCUAAAUUUCUUCUAUUCACGUUUUUAUUUUUAUCUUUUUAUAUUGAGAAGAUUAGGCACAAAAAUAACCAAGAAUAUUAUGGUUAAACCCAAAUUUUAAAACCAAAAUCCACAAAAAUUUCAACCAUCUAGAAUAAAAAAAGUUCCACAAGAUGCACCUCUUUUUACUGUGGUGUAGCAUCAACCAUGCUUUGAGAUUCAGAAUUUUUUUCUUUUUUUUUCUCAUAUGAUGGGUCAAUCACUCAAACUUUUUUUAGGUAAAAACCUGUGAUUUCAUACUUUUUCAUUUUAGUAACCGGUGGUUUAAAGUGUAUCAAGUUAGUACUCAAUGAUUUCGCACUUUCUCACUUUAGUAGCCUGUGGUUUAAAGUGUAUUAAGUUAGUACUUUGUGGUUUAUUUUGGUACCAAGUUAAUACCCUAUGAUUUUAUUUUUGUAUCAAGUUAGUACCCUGUGGUUUUUAAAACACAGGGUACUAAAAUGAGAAAGUGCGAAAUCACUGGGUACUAACUUGAUACAUUUUAAACCACAGGGUAUUAAAGUGAGAAAGUGCGAAACCACUGGGUACUAACUUGAUGCACUUUAAACCACAAAGUACUAAAGUGAAAAAGCGCAAACCACAAGGUGCUAACUUGAUACAUUUUAAACCACAUGGUACGAAAAUGAGAAAAAAUGAAACCACAAGGGAGGUAUUUGAAGUUUUUCCUUUUUUAACUAUCUUUUUGUGUAGGAAUUAUUGUAGAAAAGAAAGAUACGAGAGAAUUCAUGAAUUUUUUCGAAGUGACUAACACUAAACAUUCCACUACCAAGAAAACGCAAGGAAUCUAUCCAAUAAUAUACUUUAAUAGUAGUGAACAGAAAAAUUCUGUAUAUUAGUUGAUCUUAUUAUCGAUCAUGUUAGACCUGACAAACGGACGGGUUGGAUAACUCACGGGCGAGUCAUUGUACCCACGGGUUACUUGGGCAUGGGUAAAAUUUACCCACAAAUUUUUGAAUAGCCAAUAUCUUUAUCCAUACCCGCCCACGGGUGGGCGGGUGGGUAUGCAGGUUACCCGCAAAUUUUUUUCUUUUUUUCUCUUAUAUUUUUUAAAUGCAAACACAUAUAUAUAUGUUUUAAAAAUAUAACAUAAGUCAUUUUUUAAAAUAUCAUAACAUACAAUAAAAAUAUUUAAAGUCUUAAAGCAAAAAACUUUUGUAAUAUAAAAGACGCGAUAAGAAAUUAAGGUUAAAAUUUUUAGGAUGGAUAAAAAAAAAUAUAUGUAUUUUAAUUAAGAAAAUAUUUUUUUUAAUUAAAAAAAAUAUGUGCGGGUAUCCGUGGGUACCCGCGGGUUACUCAAAAUAUCCACAGCUUAAUGGAUACCUAUUCGUUUUAUCCGUAAUUUUUUGAGUUAAAAAAGUUGGUACCCAUACCCGCAAAUUUGCGGAUAACCCGCAGAUAUGAGUCGAGAUUGUCAGGUCUAAUUCAUGUUGAUCCUAUCAUUUUAGCCAAAUCAAUAGACCGCUGCUAUUGUUGAGAUCAAUCCUGCCUCACAGAUGAACGGCGAUAAGAACAUCUGCACUCUCAGACCAGCUACUAACUAGCUUUUUAUACUUCGAAAAGAGAAAAGCUUUAAUUAUAAAAUAAAACAUGCUUUUGAACUCAUUAGCAGAAACUUUAAUUUGAAACGGUCAGGUUUUCUACUUUUACUGUAAGAGAAUGUAACCAGAAUGACUUUAAUGACGAAAGUUGCUAACAUUUAUUUAUAUAAUUCUAUUUAAAGAGCACUUUCCUAAGCACGGAUUGAUCGAACCAAACUUGCCUUUAAAGUUAUUUAAAGUUAGUCAUUGCUAAAGUUUACUUUGGUAAGCCUAACCUUUGUGAAAGUGGGAAGCAUCCUUGAAUAUUCCGAAGCUCUUUGAGGUCAGGUCCCCAGAAAAGUACUGAGUGGUUUUUGAAUACAUAUCUCUGUGAUUGGUGGGAGACAUAAUAUCAUGGGACAGAUACAUUUGAUGUUACGUCCUUUCACAAAAUAUUUUAUAUGGCAGUCACAUCUCAUCAUUUAUAUUCUAAUAAAUCAAAUUAUUUUAUUGAUACAUUUUGAGUUAUCUUUUUUCAUAAAGUAUUUUAUGUGUCAGUCACACCUCAUCAUUUGUAUUCUAACAUAUCAAAUUAUUUUAUUUAAUAAUAUAGUUAAAUAAAAAUAUUUUUUUUAAAAAAGGGACUAAAUAUGAUUAGUUAAAGAUACCAUAACAUUAAUAUGACCACCAUUUUUUAAUUUUUUUUUAAAAUUUUUUUAGGUUCUAAAGAGUAAAGACCCAGGUCUUUUAUUCCCGGGCUUUUACUGUCCAAUCCAAUGAGUGUAAAGAAGGGCUACAAUAGAUGGGACAAAGGGGCACACAUUAUCCCUUCUUUUAAUGGUAAAGGAAACAAAGACGGGGCUAUAAUAUUAUUUUUGAGCAGGCCAUUUGACUACAACAAUGUUAUGGAAAAAGGAGAUCCUGUAGUCCCAAGUAGGGAAUUUUAGUGCAUGUCAAUUUCUACUUUUAGAUUCUUAUUUGAUAGAUUUUUUGAUUUACUCAGAAAACUUAUAGCAGUUAGCAGAUGAAGAGGAUAAUCAAAUAUUUAGAAUAUAAUAUCGGCCUUAAAGUCAAAUCAUAUUAUAGAUGAAAUAUACUAAAAACCUUUCAAGAGCAAAAAAUCAAACAUCUAUUUUAUAGUUAUAUAGAAAAAUCUUCAUAGUUAAUAAGUUAUCUCUAGAUAACUUAUUAUGACACAUAAACAGGACCUAAGGUGUAGCAUUAUUUAACAAAGUUGCAGCAGAAGCAGAAGCAAAACUCCUACAUUAAAAUACACACUCACACACACAAAAAAGGAGAUAAAUGAAGUGGGCCAGUAUGAUUGCUAUUUUCAUUAGCUUUCGAAGAGACUUAUUAGUCAUUGUUUAGAUUAUCUUUUCAGGCACCAUUGAUGAGUUCAUGAAAAUGGGACAUAGAUUAAAUUGCAUUUGAUGUCUCUAUCAUGUGCCUCAGAAUGAUGCACCACUAAUUCAGUACAAUUGUCUUAAAAAAAGGAACCUUCCUUUUCCUUCCUUCGCAAUUCUAAGCUAAGCACCGAAUUUUCGAUUUGGAAAUGACUUUACACUUGCAUCUAUAAUUAUAGGCAAAAGUAGAUGCAGAUGCACUGAAAAUUGCAGAAGAUCAAGCAAUGGCAGAGACACCGACUACAUAAUCAAGUUUUUAUCACCCAAGCUCAAAAUCCAUGCAGAUACUUUGGAAUAGCCAAGUAAACUUUGUUGUACUCCUCUAGAUAUGGUCAGUGCUUCAACAUACAUUGUUACAUAAAGAGAUACAAUUCAAGAGGAUUGUGAGCUGUACAUUUUACAUACUUUUCAUAGGCAUAGUAAGUCCAAUUUCUGAUAUUGGGUAAUGUCUAAAGUUUGAUGUAACAUGAUUUUCGUAAGUUUCCGGAUGGGUUGUGCAAAAUUCUGUUCCUAAGUAUCAGAAACAACUAAUAUGAAGAUGAGAAGCCCCACACGAAUAAGAAGCUACUUCCUAUAAUCCUUUUAAAUCAUAUUCAAAAGGAAGUUAAAAGCUGCUCUAGUUCACCAACAUAACUGUCGCUGACGAGUUUUAACUCGAUAACAAUUGGCAAGACAUUAGCUACUGUAAUCGAAGCGGCACCGAACAUCUAACUUGUACAAAACAAGGUUGUAUAUUCAGGCUCUACCUUCCAAAAUUCAACUUGUUUUCAACUUAGCUGGCAUUUGACAACUUUCAAACAGUGACAGCAAAGAUAAGUGCCAGAUAAGCAUGGCCACAUAAAUAAGGACAUAUGACCAUGUGCACCGCUACGUUGUACAGCAACAAAAGAAGGGGGAUAAUUUACACUGAAGAAUUUUACAAAAGAUAGAGAGAUCAUGUAGUUUGUAAAAGGAAUCUGAAAAAAGAGGAAAUGAUCCGUGAAAGAUGCAAAAGUUCAGCAAUCGGAGACCCACAGACACAUAGCAUUCGAAAUGCACCAGAAACAUACACACAAUUGAAAUUUGAUAUGCAACGACUCCACACAAUCCCCUUUUCCUCAGACACUUCUCAUCUUCAGAAUUUAUUCAUCGAAUAGGCUAUUAAAAUUUACCUAAAUAUGACAAUUGUAGUAGACUGGAUAAUCCUCAGAAGAAAUAUCUUAGAGACGGUUGUUGAAACUCAAAUUUCAGGGAAAAAAUGGCAACACUCUAAAAGUCGGAUAAAGAACCACGAGUCAAGUUGCUGAAAUAUGAAGCUACGGUCUAAACAGCAUCAGUAAAUUGGAGUCAACCACAAGUCACAACUACAAAUGAUACAUUCAUGCACAAGAAUUUUUCUGCCCUUAAGUUUGACUUAAAAGCAAAAGCAAUAAAAAGGAGAAAAUGCCAAGGUUGAAUAGGCCAUUGUUUUCUUUAGAAUUGCACAGUUCAAUUUGCGUCAGCAGUUUCUCUGAUAAAUGCCAAAUACACCUAAAUACCUUAAAUAAAUCUUUUAUCUUUUUUUUUCCCCCCACAGCAGAGUCAAUUAAAACACAUCAACAUAGAAGAAAUCUCGCCAUAAAUCAUAUUAAAAAUUCGCCUCAAAAUGAAGAACUCCAAUACAUGGUGCAUCUCAAGGUGCCGUUAAAAUAUCUAGGCUACUGCAAAAGACAAUUACAUGAAUAAAUUAAUUCUCCAACAAAAACCAAUUUCCUAACUCACAAUAACACAAGUUUGGACUUUGGAAUGUCGGCUGAUUUUCAUUUCAACAAAAACAGUGCGAUUCACAUACCAACAAUUCGAAGAAAAAUGAGCGAUCUCCGUUGGUAGUUACACUCUGUCGACAUCCUUUUGUCAGAUAAACAGUGCGAGAAAGCAUGUAGAUGGUGUUUGCUCUUCAAUCAUCUUAAUAGAUAAUAAGCUCUAAAAGUUGUCCAUCCUCCACUUCUCACUGAAGAGUCAUUCCAUCUACGGUUAGAUACUUGUUUACCGUACAAAGUGGCGAUCUCUGAAUCGAUUGAAGGAAACAAGUGAUAUAGGGGAUAAAGUUUAGCCACUCUCUCUUAUGCAGUUUCCGGGUAGGAGAUAUCUGUACUGUUCGACAUUCUGUAGUAGAUAGCCAGGAAGAUGAACAGCAGAAUAUGUACGUGGAAUCGGCCCCAGCUUUGCAAUGAUCUCUUGAAAAGUGUAUUCCUCAGGAAGCAUAUCGAAUAGGUCCGCUCCUCGGCAUAUAACACUUUGAAUCCUGGAUCGGUUGAGGUAAUACUUAAACCUCACGCGGUCCACGUGACUAUACGCCCUCAUCUUGAACACGAAAUCGCUGAUGCGGCGGAAGCAGAAGCUGCAGUGCCACCCCGAAUCAGCCAAUAGGUUGUCAGUCUGCCGGAAAUGUGCGUAUCUCGUCUUCCCUGCUCGAUAGCGGUGGACCGAAGCCCUCCAACUCUUAUCAUCAAGGUAGAACUCGAACGAAUAAAGAUAAUUCCGGAGCUGGAGAUGCAGUAUCUCAGGAAUAUCAUCGCACCAUCUUAACAGGUCGAUCGUGUGGCCGCUAGGGAUCUCAUCGACGUCGGACAUGAUCAAUAGGUCAUCGUCAUUGAUGCCCGCGAUUCUGAUCAACUGGUCCAACGCCACUCUCUGAUACGACUCCUCGACAAACGGGUUCUCCCCCUUCACGAAUCUUCCACCGACCGUGCCAUACGUGAGCCUGGACUCGGCAAACUCAAAGCGGUCACGGUUCUCUGCAAAGUAGAGCUGCUUUCUCAGGCCAGUGAAAGUGGAAUUGGAUUCGAGGAGCACGAACUCGGAAACGUAGGGGCUCAGCUCAUUCCAACGGAUUUUCAGGAUGUCGAGCUCGUUGCUGAAGAGCACAGCAUCGAAGACUCUCCGCGGCGAUUCGCGGACUCUCCAUCCGUGGAGCUUGCAGAGGUGGUCGAACGACACAUUCUCAUGGUAAUAAUGAGGGAUGGUUUCGAAGGGCUUCGGCGGAGAUUCCCAAAGCGGGCGAAGGAAGUAGGUGAUCUUCUGGCCAUGUACAUAUAUGACGAAGAUGAGUGUCGGUAAGCCGACGAAGAGGAGAAGUAAUGCCUUGAGAUCGAACCCGCGGAGGGCGCAGCGCAGCCGCGACAUGCUCAGGGCGGCCCUCGCCUGCACAGUUCGAGAGAGAGAGAGAGACAGAAACACAGCAGUUAAUGCAUGCCCUGAUAUACCAAUAACAGCUAAAAUAACUAACAACAACAACAACAACAACGAAGGAGCACAUCCAAAACCAUAACAUGGUAUUGCUCAUUAGGAAAUAUCCAAUUUUGAUUUCUAAUAUUGCAAGAGGAAGCAUCAAAUGAAUUGAAACAGCACCAAAAUGCAAGGAACUAACAACAAUAGAGCAAAUCCAAACUCAUAUCUUGGGCAUUGCUCAUUCAUUGCAUAUCAUUUUUCGAUUCCUAAUAGAACAAGAGGCAACAUCCUAUGCAUCCAAAUUGUACGCAAAAACCAGGGAACCAAAUACACAAUUUGGAAAAGCAAUAGUUGUGGUAGUAAAGAUCACCAAAGAUCAAAACUUUGAUAAAAUACCAAAUUCAUACCAAAAACCAACAACAUAGCACAACCAAAUGGAAUCAAAAUCAAACCAAUCCAACCCCUUUUCCCAAGCAAAAAAAGAAAUAAAAAAGAAAAAAAAAAGAUCCCCCCCUAAAAGUAGAUCUCAACCACGAAAGAAAAGGGAACAAAAUAAAUAUAUAAUAAAAAAAAAUGGAGAAAAUUUUUACCUCUCCACACACAUCCUCGCAAAGAUCAUCUGAUUUCUUCGAAUUAUAAUACCCAGAAUCCGGCAUCGCGAACCCAAACGGGAAGGAGAAAAAAAAAAAAACCAAAUCACAAAAAGCCCAAAAGUCCCUAAAAAUCCCACCUUUUCUCUUCAACGGAAAUCUCAAUCAGGAUAAACAAUAUUUUUUUUAAAAAAAAACCCUUUUUUUCCCCAAAUUUCUCUACGGAUUCCGCCUUUUUCUCCUCGCAAAAGCCUCAAACCGUCCAAAUUCUAGCCGUUUGAGAGGUUGAGUGGCUCCUCCUAUUCUCCUUUUUCGCUUUUUUUUCCCCCAAAGCUCCUAUUUUUAUUAAGCAAUUUAGCAACCCACCCCUAAAUAAAAGUAAUAUUUAUACCCCUAUCUAAGGAAGUGGCCUUUUAAUGUCCUUUCAAAUCCAAACUCCCCUCCUUCCUCUCAGCUUCUUCUGCAACCCAACACGGCUAAGAAAGAGAGAGAGAGAGAGUGUGAGAGAGAGAGUACACAAAUACUUGGAGAGUAGUAGCAAAAGAGCACUCUUUGGUGUCAAAAGGUAGAGAGAGAGAGAUGGAGAUGAGAAGUGUUUUGGGUUGAGACCAAAGCAUUUGAUUUAUAUACACACGCACACAUAGUUCAACACGGAAAAGGCAUUUAUUGCGUGGACCAGGUCCACCAGGAUGCCAAAUAUACAUGGCCACUACAAUCACUGAGAAUGUUGGCCUUAUGUGUUGCCGAUGUGCGGUGGUGAAAAAAACUUUUACUUUUGUACUUCAAAAGAUGUAAAAAAAAUCUAAAAUGCUUAUAACCUUUCCUUCUCCAAAGCUACAUGAUUUUUCGAUGAUAAGUGCAAUUUUAUAAUAUCAAAGAAGAAAAAAUUAAGAAUACUUAUAAAAUUAGCACUUUUAAUCACCAUAUUAUUAAAUUAAAUCUUUGUUAAUUAUGCACGCAACCAAAAAAGUCUUACGAGUUUGUCGACGCAUUAAUAGUGCAUACAUGUGACAUCUUAUGGAAGAUCUGAAGUAUUUUUUAUUUACAAAAAUUCUGUUCGAAUGCCGCUGAGCUCGUAAUUUAGAUUGUUUCAAAUUACUUUAAUAAGUAGAAGUGAAUAGAAAAGCACAAAUGAUAUUAACCUACUUUUAAGCUUAUAAUUUUUAAUACAUGCAUGCAUAUUUUAGAUAUGUGGGUCAAUAGUUACAGAUCAAAUCUAAUCAUUCAAAUUUUGUACAUUAUAAAUAUUAUUCUUAAUGAUUAAGUCAUAAUGUGUAGUUCUUGAAAAUAAUGUGGUGGACCUGGUCCUAGCCAAAAGUUUCUCCUCUAUGUUCCAUUGUUUGUGCCGAGACGCGCUUAUGUAUUAAUAGCACAGGAUAAUUAAGACGUUGAAAAUUUUACACUUCGUGUUCUUUAACUUCUUUUUGCCCUAAAAACCGAAUUCCCAAUACCACUUCGGUGGUUUCAGAUUUUCUUAUUUUGUUACUAUGUGAUUUAAAAUAUUUUAAUUUAGUGACAUGUGAUUUUAAUUUUAUUUUUUAUUAUUAAUUUUACUUUUUUUUUAUUAAAUUAGUGACAAAGUUAAAAUCAAAGAGUACUAAAGUGAAUAUUCGAUAAACCUAAAUGGGAUAUCUAAAAUUUUUUUUGCAUAUAAUUUAACGAAAUAUUAACAAAAAAUCUAACGAAAAGAUAAAAAUAAAACCACAAUACACUAACUUGAUACACUUUAAACCACAUGAUACUAAAGUGAGAAAAUGCGAAACUACAUAUAUAAUAUUUGAAGUUUAUCCUAAAUUAUAAGCAAGCACCCAUUGAGCGUAAUUUACUGUAUGAAAAAAUUCCGAGCACGAAACAAUUUCACCAUUUUCUUUUUUGAGACACUGUUGCAUUUAAAUCAACGAAACAGAUAACUUGUUAUCUUUUUGUAACUUUUGGUGAUAAAUUUUGAUAUGGUUAUAUCAUAUAUUAUAGGAUUAAGAAAAAAAAAAGAAAAAAAAAAGAGAACAUUGGUUGUGACAAUCCCACAAUGGUCGAUCGCUACAAUGGCACCACGGUAAUUACGAUGUUUUUGGAUUAUUCUUGUUGGCUUCGUAUAUCAUAGUUGUUAAUUAAUUAAAUCCCAAAAAAAUAUGUUUCUUAAUAAACUAGUAGAUAUAUAGCGUAAAUAUAUCCAAUAAUUCGUUCGGUGUUUUUCAUACUAAAAAUCAAGAAAAGACACGUGACAACGGAUCGAAUUUGAAUUUUUAUUUAAAAUUUAGAUGAUUACUGGUGGCACGAGUCUAUAUUUGAAUUUGUACUUUAAAUUUAGAUGGUUAUUGAUGACAUGAGUCUAUUUUUCAACCGACUUAUUUUUUUAAUUUUGAUUUGUUUUUAAGUAUAUUUAUAAUUUAGUUUAUACCGUGUUAUUUUUUAUUCGUUUUCAUAACAUAUAAAUAUUUUUUAAUGUAUAACUAAAAUUAAAAAAUUUGAAUUGAUUUUAAAAUUGCAAUUAAAGUAUGAAUUUAGAUUUAAAUUUACAAAUCAAACUCAAAAUUUAAAUAUAACUUUGAAUCCGUUAUUUGAAUUUAAACAAUUAUCGAGUUUAUAGGUUUAUUUUAAAACUAUUAUAUUUUUCAAACAUGAUUUGAUUUUAAUUAGUUAUUUAUUUAAUUUUGCUAUUAAAAAACACCCAACAAAUUCUCAAACAAAGAUAAAACUGACACUUGAUAAUGAGUCGGCCCGUUGGGCUCCCCAAUGAAGCGUAGUUAGAGAGUUUCUCACUGAAGUUUUAUUCUCAAAUUUUAUGACUUGCUGAGUAUAGCACUUUUCUUAAUUACAUGAUCACCGUGAUUAACAAUAUAAUCGAGGGAAAGGAUUUUGUCACCUCCUACAACGGUAGGUGCCAUAUAAAAAAGAAAAAACUUCAAAUACUCUCUCUCUGUGGUUUCGUAUUUUUUCACUUUAGUACCCUGUGGUUUAAAGUUUAUCAAAUUAGUAUACUGUGGUUUUGCACUUUCUUACUUUAGUACCCUGCGGUUUCAAGUGUAUCAAGUUUGUUUUCUGUGGCUUUGUUUUUGUAUCAAAUUAGUACCCUGUGGUUUCAAUUUUUUGUUUUUGUUAUUCAUUUCGAAGUAUAUAAAUAUUAAACCAUAGGGCACUAAAGUGAGAAAGUGCGAAACCACAAGGUACUAACUUGAUACCCUUGAAAUCACAUAGUACUAAAGUGAGAAAGUGCGAAACUAUAGGAUACUAACUUAAUACAUUUUAAACCAUGAGUACUAAAGUGAAAAAGUGCGAAACUAUAGCGGGGUAUUUGAAGUUUUUCCUAUAAAAAACAAUUAUUAUUGGUUGAAAACUAAGGCUGAUACAGAAUUAUAUUCUUAUUUUUAUAUUCGACAGUAUCAUUAUUAAGCUCAACGGCUAUAAUUGAAAUGUAUGGAAAUUUCCAAUCGAAUCACGCUGAUCGAAUUGGGUUAGGCGUAGAUUCUUAGACGUUGUCCACCGAGAGAGGCUACAUGCAUCACACAAGCAAAAUUAUUCUUUUCUCUUUGUUUCCUUUGCCGUACAAAACCACACAGUUUGAAUUCGUGUGGCAUCUUCUAUUAUUCUAUGUAGAAAAUUGCUGGGGUAAUUUGUACGUUUGGUCCUCAAAACAUAAAUAUAUGAUAUUUUCGUACUUAAACUUUAGUUUGUUGUAAUUUCUGGAUCGUAGUUUUAAACUUAUUACAAUCUGAGUUCUAUAAUUCAAUUUAACUGGCUAAAUAUUGAUGUAUUGCUAAUACAACAAUGAUGUAGUUGUAUUGUGAUUAAUGUUGCACUAAUAAUUAAGAUGUUAUAUUAUUUUUACAUCGACGAUGUGCUAUUAUGUAGUGAGCUAACUAGUACUGUGGUGCUUGAUUGAAACAAUUUUGACUAUUCGAAUAAAAAAUUAUAAUAGAUUAAAGUUUAAGGACGAAAGUAUGACCCGUAUCAUAGUUUGAGGAGAAAAUGUGUAAUUUAUCCAAAAUUGUUGAUUAGGGUUUACUUUUCAUGCUGUUGAAGGAUAUACUGCGAAUAUAAUCUAUAGUGUUGUUCGAAAAAAUACAGUUUAGUGGUUAUUUUAGAAGAAACCAUAUGUUUAAUUUUUUUGCAGAAUUAUUAUUUGCAACGGAAGAAGAAGCUUAAAAGCUUCUUCUUUUGAAACCUAAAAAUAUCAAUAACUCACUCAACUCUAGGGGGCCCACAUCAUCGUAACUAUAUAUUUUUUCAUCCAAGAGCCGAAAGCCUAAUAGCACUAAUAAUUUAGUGUUAUUGAUAGUAUUUCAGCUUAGUUCUUUUGAAUAUAUUUAAAUUAUAAGUACAGGUGAUGAUGAUGAUGAUGAUGAUAUAAAUGUAUAUAAAAAUUUUAAUUAUAAUAUAUAUAAUAUAUAAUAGAAAAAAAUAUAUGAAUUAUUUUAAAUUUAAUUUUUAAGUAUGACUGUAAAAAAAAAUUUACAAACUAAACAUUAAAAAAAUAUAAAAUUUAUUUUUCUCCAAAAUUGUUUUUAAUGGAGAAUUAUCUUUCAUAGCUUUAAAAAUUGAACGAAAGUGACUUUUUUUGGAUUAAUUUCAUACAUAUCUCUACAAACAUAGUAAAUUACAAGUAUAUUCCUACAAAGUUCAAUUUUUAUAUGUUGUUCAUACAAAAGUUCUAAUAUUUUCAAAUAUGUUUCUUUAGUUUGUUACUGUUAGAGAAACCUUUAUAUUUUCAAUUUUGCCAUCACUAGUAUAAUAUAAUGGAGUAAAAAUAUAAAAAAUUAACUAGGGUUAAAUAUUUAACCUAUGGUUAACUAACUUUUUCUAACGAAUUCUAACGGUAGGAAUAUAUUUAAAAACAUCAGAACUUUUGCAAGAAAAACAUACGAAAGUUAAAUUUUAUAAAAAUAUAUUUGCUAUUUACUGUAUUUGUAAGGGCAUGUUUGCAUGUAUGAAAUUAAUCUUUUUUUUUAGGGAAAGCUUCAAAAACCUCCCCUGUGGUUUCGUAGUUUCUCACUUUGCCCCCCUGUGGUUUAAAAUGUAUCAAUUUGCCCCCCUGUGGUUUCUUUUUUCUCUUUUUCUUAUCAAUUUUAUUAUUUUUUUUUCUUAAAUCAGUGAUAAAGUUAAAAUUAAAGAGUACUAAAAUGAAUAUUUGAUAAAUCUAGAUGAGUAUCUGAAAUUUUUUGUAUAUAAUUUAAUAAAAUAUUAACGAAAAAGCUACCGAAAAGAUAAAAACGAAACUAUAGGGAGACAAUUUGAUAUAUUUAAAUUUCAGACGGGCAAAAUGAGAAACUACGAAAUUACAGGGGUUUUUUUUUUUUUUUGAAACUUUCCCUUUUUUUCUUGGGUGGGUCCGGGUAGUGGCAGCAACGCGUCACUUGACUGAGUCCGUCAAUUGUGCGAGUCUUCUCGUUGCGAAAACAGAGAAAGAGCCUCUCAACGAAACUAAACUCUGUGGAAGAGCUCUCUCUCGUUGACGUUGACUUUGCACGGCCUCGGCGCUUUAAUUGUUGCCCAGUAACCGAGGUGGCUCCAUCACUUGUACGUGGGCCCUACCACUUAUUCUGAGUUCAACGGACGACGUACUAAGGGCGCGUAUCUCAUUGGUUCACCCGUUAUUUACUCUAAAAUUAAUAUUUACUCUAAAAUUAAAAUCGAAAUGUGUGAAUCUAUUUGUCCGUAUUUGAUACGCGGGUUUUGUUUUGAUCCCGAUUUCUUGGUGAAUGAAAAUUCACUAAUUAUUCCUUUUUUCAAUCCGGCCUAGGAGACUCAAUUGAAAAUUGAAUUCGGACGGAAUAAAUUUGUUUGGAUUAAAUUUAACUUUUUAAGCUCAUUUUUUUAAUUAAAAUAUAAUUUUAAGUUUAAAAAUUAUAUUUAUAAUUUUUAAUUCUAAUUUGAAUUAAAAAAUUAAAAUUCAAUCAAACGUUUCAAAUCUAAUUUAUAAAUUUGAAUUUACAUUUAAAUUAAAUUAUUCAAAUUUUAUUUAAAAUUUAAAUUAAAAACUUAUGGAUUCAAAUUGAAAUUUAAAUUAUAAUUUUAAGUUUGAAUUUGAAUAAGUUGAAAUUUAGUUUUAUUUUUUAAAUUAUCCGUUCAAUUUAAAAUUUUAAUUUUUUUUAAAAAAUAUAUUUAAAAAUUUGGCAUCAUUUUAAAAUUUUGACAUAAAUUUUUAGUAUUUUAUUUUUUAUUUGAAUUUAAACUAAUAUAUUAUAAAGAUAAAAUUGACAUAUUAAUUUGAUUACGUUUCUAAUAUCUAUCUCAACCAAUGGUUCAUUCCGAUUUCGAUUCAGGUGAUGAAAUAAACAGAAUGAGAUAAUGAAUCAUUCAGAUUCCGUUUCAAGCUUAUUCUCAUUCCGAUUCCGAUACCGAUUCCGAUUUCAAAUCAAAACACAUCCUAAAUGGACAAAUGUAUAAUGAAAUAGAAAAUUUUCUUUACAAAUAUUCAUUUUUUUAUUUUUUGUUUUUAAAAAAUUUAUAUUUUACUCUCCUAACACUUCAAGUUGAUGGAUUUAACUCCCCUUUAUCAGGAUUCCAUCACUAUUUCAUUUAUUUAUUAUAAUUUAUAUCGAAAAUAUCUUUCAAAAUAAUAGAGAUAUAUUAAAAAAAUAUUUUUGCUUAUAAAAGAAAAUAAGAGUAAUUUAGUCAUUUUUGUCCUCUCCUUUAACGUUUAACCUUUCUUAAAAUAUUUCUAAAGUUUUAAAAGGGUAAAAUAUAGAUUUUUGAAAGUCAGGAAGUGAAAGAUAAAACAAAAAUAUUUACAUAAAGGUUCUCAAUAAUUUAAUUUUACUUUAUUUGAUUUAAAUAAUUUAAAACUUAAAUUUUUAUAAUUAUAUGAUUUCAUAAAAUAUACAAAUUGGACUAUAAUGGUAAAUAACGCAUUCAAAUUUCAGAAUUUAAAAGUCAUUACGGAUAAUAGUUGAGGUAAGCCCAAUUAAUUAAGAAGUCUGAAAGGCAUCUUAAUAAUUCAGGAUCAAGUUCUAAAUAGAAAAUUUGUCAAUAUUUCGCCAACUAAAUUGAAUUAUAUGACUUCAUUGUAAAAAUUUUAAAAUUUUAUUUUAUUAAUUAUAAUUAAAUUAAAAUUUGGGAAUUAAAGUAUCAAAAUUGUAAUUUAUAAAUCGAGUUAGUGAUGGGCGUGGAGGGAAUGUGAUCAAUUAGAUUUCAAAGUCCACAUUGCUCGGCCCAAUGAGUGGGCCAACUCACACUUUAGGCUUAAGAUGUGAGUAAAAGCCCCACUAGUUUCACCAAAUCUGAACCACACGGGGCAGGUUUGUCUCACCAAAACUAAAGUUCAGAUUAAAAUAGACUUUCGGGUGCGUUUGGUCCGCGCUAUCUUUUUAAGAUUCCUAAUAAUCUAAUAGAAAUAAAAAAAAUAUGACGAUAUUUGACUAAACGCACUAAAUAAUCUAGUUGGCAAUACUGGAUUUACUUGGGAAUGAGAUGCAUCCCAAAGUACUAAUCUCAUAUUCUCAUUCCUUUGAGGGAGGGUGGGUAUUCUUAUAUUAAUGGAUUGGAGUAAUUAUAAUAUGUCUAAUUUCUUUCUUUCUCCUUACCCGCCGGCUAGUUGAUAUUAUUUUUUUUUACACUCUAACCUCAUAUCUCUCUCUAAACUUAUCAUUUUCUCUCUCUAAAUUAAGCUAUUUCUCCCUCUCUUUUUCUAAAAUCUCAACCUUCUCAUUCUCUAUAACCUCACUCUAUUUCUCUUUCAAUUUUUUUAAUUAUGCUUUCUCUUUCUAACUUAUAUUCUCUCUCCUUUUUUUUUCUAAAAAAAUAUUGAAAUUUUUUAUAAUAUUAUUUAAAAAUAAAUAAAUAAAUAAAUUGUAUAUUUUUUGUAAUUUUAAAUAACAUGACUAAAUAAUAUGAUCGUACGAACCAAACAUCAAAAUACUACAUUCUCAGUAAUAGCAUGAAUAAGAAUAAGAUUCUCAGAUAUCUUUUUACUCCUAUUAAUCUUUCAUAGUGCGAACCAAACGCGCCCUUCAGGUUAACUAGAGUUCAGAUAAAAAUUAAUGUUCUCCGUUAUUUAUUUCUAUACUUGUAGAACUGUUUUUUUUUACUUUUUUUUUUUCUCUGAAUGACGUAAAAACUAAAGUUUCGGCCUUACUAGAUCGUUUCGGUCCGGCUCAUUAACUCUUAGGGCAUGUUUGGUUCACUCAUUUUAGACUAUAGAAUCAGAAUGGAAUUCAUUGAUUCCGAUAGUUGCCGUUUGUUUUAUAGAAAUCGGAUUCCGAUUUUCAUUCCACUUCGGAAUGGUAAUGACCAAAUCCAUUUAUGAUCUUAUCCGGCUUUGAAUCCCAGAUUGGCUUAUUCCAAAGUAAACUAUUCAAAAUCCUUUUUCAUCAACACCUACCUCCUUUCCCUUCAUCACUUUUUUUCUUUCUUAAUCAAAACUCUCUCUCAAAAAUUUUAAAAUUUUAUUUCAAUUUUCAUUCCAAUAAUGAACCAAACAUUUUGGAUAAUUCGUCAUUCCAUUUUCCAUUCCAAAACAAUGCAAUUCUAUUUUUCAUUUCUAUUCCAAUCAUGAACCAAACAUGACCUUAGAUGAGUCCGUAAAUGCCAAUACUUAUAUUUUUCUAUAAAAAAAUUUGUACAAAUUAUAUCCCACCCACCCAAUAGGUGGUAG